RNAcentral lists this long non-coding RNA (89917 nucleotides) under Fragaria vesca (wild strawberry). RNAcentral's name for it is "long non-coding RNA (FVES_LNC002909)". The record is from RNAcentral. Lineage: Eukaryota; Viridiplantae; Streptophyta; Magnoliopsida; Rosales; Rosaceae.
UAAUAAUGGACAGAUUUCAACAACACCCAAACUUUUUCUCCCGUUUUUUCUUCUCCCGUUUUCUUUUCUCAGAUGAGCUGCUGUCCAGAUCUGCGAAUAUAAAGAACUUUAGCCGACGAAAAUAUAAUUUAGCCGACGAAGGAAAAUUUCGUCGGCUAAAGUGUACUUUAGCCGACGAAAAAUUGUUUCGUCGGCCUGUUUUUUUUUUUUUCGUCGGCUAAAGUCUUUCUUCUGGUAGUGUUUUCUCUGUUAACUGAUGACAAGGCCGUUAAAAAAUUGCCACAUCAGUGCCUAGUCAGCUCGAAAUUUUUUUAGUAUCCUAUAUUACCCCUGCAACACAGAAAACUCAGCUGUCCUAAAUUCAAAACCACCAAAUGAAGUGCACACACAUCAUCCCCCUAAGCUCAAAACCAGCAAAUACCCCAAAAGCUGAUCUGCAAAAUAACAUCAACCAUAAUCUAAAGCAAAACCUGCAAAACUUGCAAAACCUAAUACCAGAACAUGUACCAAGCAAAACCUGCAAAACUUAAUACCAAAAGUCCAAAACCUAUACCAAAACAUGUACCUGCAACCAUAAUAACAACCAACACUUUCCAAAUCCAUAACAGCAACCAAUAGUAAUAGGUAGAUCUCCAUUAAUUUAGAUUUAGAACUCUAACAUCGUUCAGUCGUAAUAGGCAGAAACAUGUUUGGCAUACUGUAGCUUAACAAAAAUGACCACAAAAGCCACAUUACAUCCCUCAUAAACUAUUGUAGUAUGUACAGAAUUUAGCUCUAAUCAUCCUAACAAAGAUUAGAGCUAGCAACUAAAUUACAUCGCACUUAGUUGCACAAAAAUAGGAUGUCUAAUAUUCUGCCUAUGCUAGAGUUUAGCACUACUAAUCUCCUUUAACUGACCUAUUUCUGAUUCUUUGAGAUGCUCUUGUUGAAGAUGCAAAUGCAUUUUGCCUUGACAUUGAAUUUAGGGCAGCUGAGCUUUGUGUUGGCCUUGAAGUCGGGGCAACUGUGUUUUGGGUUAGCCGUGAAGUUGGGGCAGCUGCGCUUUGGACUGGUCUUCCUCCAACUUGUAAAGGCCUUACUGUGGAUGAGGAUGACUUGGUUGCUGCCAACUUUGUAGCUUUGGCAGCAACAUAUUUUUCCUAAGCCAAUAAAAACACAUGAAUGUAAAGAGCUUAUACAGUUGAAAGAAAAUACGUUAGAAUCAUUUUAAUGGAUGCAAUAUAGCUGAAUUGUUACCCUUUGGUUCUUGGCAUUCUUCCUUGCUUUUGCCCUCAUUUCAUUCAGAGUCAUAGGAGGUCGCUUUGGUUUCUUCGGCUGCAAUAAUGUUGUACACGAUAAGUGACACAAAUAACCAUAAAAAUUAAUAAAACAAGAGUACUCUAAGGUGAUUAGAAAACUCCAAUACCUGAUCAGAAACUUGAUGCCCUUCAUUGCUGGCCUUCCUCUUCUUGUUCUCCUUUGGAGGCAAAUGCCUAUGGCAUGUUAUCUUAUUAUGCCCUACUAUACCACAAAUGCCACAUUUGAGGGAUCCGUAUUUUCAGAUGCAUCCUUAAACUUUUCAGAUUGAUCCUUUUUCCUUUUUGUCGACUUCGGCCUACCAGGCAUUCUUGAAUAUGAAGGAGGUAAGAUUGUUGGCCCCUCACACCUUGACCACAUGUCUGUACUGUUAAUAGGAUAGAUGAAAUUGCUGUAGAUAGCCAUGUAUGUCUUCUUCGAAUAACACUCGGCAACAUAAUCCUCGGGGGAUUCCCUCUUCCAGUAGAUGGCUGAAACUGCAUGCUUGCAAGGGAUUCCAGUCAAAUCCCAUCUCCUGCAGCUACAUGUUCUCAGCCUUAGGUCGACAACAUUCUUGGUUCCUUGAAUGGUUUCAACCUCAAAUCUAUCCCCACCAUUGAAAGUUAAAGUACAAUCUACAGCUCUAAUCUUGUUCUUAUCCAAAGUGUCUCUUGGUUUGGGGCAAAUAUUGUACUCAUACUUGUCCAUUAUCUGCCUUCUCAUUUGAAUCCUUUUCAUAAGCUUCCACCUUAUUUCUUCGAACAUGGUAACGGGAGGCUUCUUUCUAGCAUCCACGAUAACUGCGUUGAAACUCUCACAUAUAUUGUUGUCCAUGAUGUCACAAUUGCUGGUUGUGUUGAAAAAUGGCCGACACCAAUGUCUUGGAGGCCUAUCCUCAUCUGCAAAACAGGUUGAACAAAAACAGUAGUUAAAUCAUAAAGCUAAAACUGCAAAGCACCAAAACAAAAGGACAGUAAGCAUAUAAACUUUAUGAAAAAUUGAAGAACCAAAAUUUUACCGCUUCACUUACGUGUCAUCCAUUUGUAGGCAUCCUCAUUAAGAUCAUUCAUCUCUUCCAUGUCUUUAAGAUAGUAGGGCAUUGUAGUAUCCUUGGCACACUUCCACAUUUGAUCCUUCAAAACUUUUCCAGGAAAUAGUUUUGUGAAAUUGGUCCACAUAUGCCUUACACCAGUGGCGGAUCUAGGAAUCAAAACUUGUCUAGGCUAAUUUCGUAAAGGGCAUUUUUUUUUGUUAGGUUUGGAACACAGGCUCAUCUACCUCUAUUAUUUUGAAUCAAGCUGCACAAUGGAUUAAGGUGCAAAAAUCAAUUUGUAACAAUCAUCUCCUACAUUAUAUAUGGAUUAAGCUGCAAAAAUCAAGCUAUCAGGUCCUUAUCUUUCAUUCAAGAUACACACUAUAGAACACCCAAAACCUAUGCCACAAUCCCUCCAAUCUCAAAUUUCUAUCAUCAAUAAAAAUUGAAAAACCCAAUUGGAGCAUAUAGCAGAGGAAUCCUUAUUCAAGAUUGAAAAACUACAUAGAGUCAAUGAAUGAGUGUUAAGGAUUUGAUAUAUGGGAUCUGAAAUUGAUUGAAGAAUAAGGAAGAGGGACAAAUGAGAAGAGAAGAACUGAGAGGAGAGCGCUUUUGCCGUCUGUUCGAAGAGCCAAAGAGGAGAGCUAGUUGUGCAGCGAACUGGAACUUGCUAACUCUUUCUUUUUGCAGGUAUGGUAAUGGACUGUAAGUAUAUACACCUACUUAAGGGUUUUUGACCCAAAAUUCUCUCUAGGCUUCAGCCUAUGUAGCCUUAUACAUGUAUUCGCCCCUGCUUUACACAAAAUCUGAUUUCCCCGCUUGGCACAACCACUUGACAUGCAGGAAUGAGGCCUUUCUGCUUGUCACUAAUAAAAACCCAUCCUACUCCAUCUUCCUUGAUAUCUAAGUCCUUGCAAAGAAGUUCCAAAAACCAUAUCCAUGAAUCUUUAUUUUCAUUUUCCACCAUAGCAUAUACAAUAACCCAGUUGUUGUUGUUUGCAUCCACACCAACAACAGUCAAAAGCUGGCCUCCAAAUGGACUCUUCAAGAAUGCACCAUCUAAGCCUAUCACAAUUCUACAACCAGAUUUGAUUCCAAGGCUCCCAAACAUAUAUACAUUCUUUGAAAUACCGGAUCCUUAUUACUGUUGCUAAAAUCACACCUUAUAUCCACUGUGGUAUCAGGAUCAACCCUCUUCAACUCACUCCCAUAGUCUUUUAACCGUGCAAACUAAUCUCUGAUGGAACCCUCAACCUCCUCCAAAACCGCCACCUUAACCUUGUAAGCCAUCUGCUUAUUAACUUUUGCCCUCAGCUCACUUGACAUUGUCUUGGCUAAUGAUUAUGCAACAGUCAUAAAAAACAUUGUUAUGGUAUAAAACUCAGUAUGAUUUGCACAUAAACACCCCAUAAGAAAAUCACACAAACUCUCACCUGGGUUCCAGUCCGAAUUAAGGGCAAUUCAAUCCUUGAACUUCCUCACUAGAAGUUUCAUCCUCACCAUGGUAUUGUUAAACGUUCUAGUGCAUGUGUGGUGAGGAAUCCACUCCUUGAUCUUAAGAGUAUCCUCAUGUUGAGUUUUAGAAGCAAACAACAAAAAAGGGCAAUUAUCUUGCUUGCAUAUAGUCUUGAGUCUGACCUUGUCAUUCUUCUCAUACUAAUACUCCCAUCCCCCUAGUAAAGCCAUCAGUCUAAGAGCAUCCCUCAAUAUCAUGACACUACCAAACAUCAUGUUCAACUGGAACCGUGGUCUGACCAUGUCAAUUUUAGGGUUGAAGUACAACCCUUGUUCUUCCCUCUCACCAUCAAAGUUCACAAUGUAGUUGGGCGGUUCUUCAUCAGAAUCUACUCCUCCAAACAUAUCCUCAUUGUCAAUAAAUUCUUUACCCCCUUGCAGCAUAUUUUCUCCAUUUAUUGAUCCAUCAUAACCAUUGAGAAGUGAUCUUUUUCGUUGCUCUUCUUCAUCCACAAUUUCUUCAACAAUAUAAUCAUCCUCAUCAUCUCCAUACUUGUCAUAGUCCUCAUCAUCUGGUAGAGGGUCGUAAUCAGAAUCCUCACUAUUUGAAGGUUCAUCUUCAUAACCCAAUCUUCCUUGCCUCUGACCACCAUAGGACUGUAGAAAAUCCAAAAAAUCAAAAUUAUCAAAGUCUUGCAGAUUCCCAGCCACAUUCUGCAACAGAUUACCCUGCUCCACAACACUUGACCCAAAACCAUUAGAUGACUGCCCAAUAUCAUUUGAACCUUCCCAAGCAAGCUGAACUACCUUUUUACGUGGCUUCAUGACCUUAGGAACCUCAAGCUGUUUUUGCUUUCCUUUUUCCUUAUUAUUUUUCCCGCCAGCAAUGCUACAUUGAGUAGGCACACCCUCUGAAUGUUCUUUUAUCACUACUCCCUUGCUAGGUCUAGCCUCUUCUAUCAAAACAUUGCUUGGUUGCAUGACAAACAAAUCUUCAUAUAUUAAGAAGUCAUCAUCUUCUGGUUCCUUGUGGUCAAGGUAGAGAAAUAUCAAUCUCACAAGAGGUACAGGGGUACACAUCACCAAAACAUCCCAAUCAGACUCCAACUUCAUUAAACACCCUCUUUCAUCACCAACUCUAUACCAAUAAUCUAUCCGUUGGUGAGCAUGAGCUGGAUUAAUCCCCUGUAGCAUACUAUCUAUUUCAACAAAAGACAUCUUAUCUUUGUCCACGUUGUCAAAGUAGCUUGUUUUGCCUCCAACAUAUUUGUUGUCUGAUAUGCACCCUCCAUGCAAUAUCUUAAGUGUGAAAUAGUAUGGAUGAUCUGCAAAGACAAAUGGUACAGAGGUGAACUAAAAAUGGAAGUAAAAUGUUUUUACAAAAAGAAAAAGAAUAAAAAAAAUCCUCUCUCAACUUUACUCACAGCCCAGACUCUUUCCAAAAUAAAUCUAAAAUGCAAUGCAAACACAAACACACUCUAAUAGCAUCAACAGCGGCCACACACAGUCACAUUGACAACACAAACAAGACUGAUAGAUUGACAACACAAACAAGACUAAUAGACAUGGCAUAUACAUUGAUUGGUAUGGUAUGAUUUACGGCCCUAUGAUUUUACAAGAAAGAAUUAAUGGACUGCCUCAAUAAUGCAACUAGUAUUACAUAUGCGUAUAUAUAUGAAUUGACAUCACCUGCAACCUACCUUUGAGAAUUGAGUUUGCAUAUAUAAAACCUAGUACCCUUUCAGCUAGCUUCUGUUUUCAAUCUUCAUUAUAAAUUUGAUAUAAUUUUUUGAUUCUUGACGCAUUAGUUUGGUAACUGUUAUGAUAAUUGUAAUUAAGAGGAGGAUUUAUAUAGCAGAAGCCAGAAGGGAUGACCCAUAGUGUAAUACUAAUACAACAAGUUGACUUGUAAACAAAACAUAUAAAACAAGACUAGUACUAUAAUAUUUUUUAUAGAAGUAGAAUUAUUAUUAUCAUUAGUUUGAUGACCACAAAGCAGGAAAGCAAUAUGGCCUGCGUAGGAAGGAAACAAACCAACUAUAUACAAAUACAGUUGUUUACUCCCAAACCCAGAAACUCAAAACCUUGCCACAAAUAUACUCUCAAAUCCAGAAACUCAAAGCCCUAAAAAGUCAUAAGCCCACCAUAAUCUAUUAUCUAGAUAUCGAAACCAUCAAAAACAGAUUCCACAUAUUCCAAAUUAUCUAGAUAUUGAAACCCAGAAACCUUAAAGUUUGAAACCCAUAAAUUUUUGGAAUCGAAACUCACCAUAAGGUUGAAUUCAUUCGUUCAUGUCCCCUUCUUCUCGACGAACCCAAACCACGAUGUCCUUCACCUCCAUUGUUGAAACACCCAACCCUCAACGGUUUCAAACUUCAUGGGGUUUCUACCGUCUUAACAGAGAAUUGGGUAUGCGCGAUAGAUUCAGAGAAGUGAAUUUAGGGUUUUGAGAGAGAAGAAGCGAUGGGUUUUCAAAAGAGAGUUUUGAGAGAGAGUAUGAAUCUGAUGAGAAGAGGCGAUAUGUUUUCGACAAGAGUGAAUCUGAUGAGAUUAGGGUCGAAAAAGGAGUGAAAUCUGACAAGGGCAUUUGAGUCAGUUCAUGUAAUUCUCGGCUGACUAGGCAUUGACGUGGCAGUUUUUAACGGCAAUAUCAUCAGUCUAACGGAGAAAACUAACGGAAGGAUCAUUUAGAUGAAAAAUCGUGACUUUAAGGACCAUUCAGAUUAAAAUGAAAUUUCAAGGACUAAACAGAUGUAAACUGUAAACCAGAGGGACUAAACAAAUUUUAAUUCUUAAUAUUAUUUUCUUCCCAUUAUCAUAAUAUUUCCGUUGGUUUGUACUCUUUUUUUAUUCAUACUGCCCAGUUACCUUUUUAUUUAAAUGUAGUAUGUUAGAUCAUGAUCUAGUGGCUCAUAUUAAAUGCUCGUUAUUUGACCGUUUUUUUUUUUUCCUAUUUGGGACAUGCGCAUAUGGGUGCUGCAAGUGGGCUAGGGCUGGCAUUGGUAGGUAUACCGACUCUAUUUACCAAUACCAUGUACCAACCAACUUAAGGUUGGUAGACAAAAUCUUGUAUCAAUACCAACCGUCAAAGUUGGUAUACCAACUUAGUUGGUACGGUUGGUACUCGGUUGGUACGGUUGGUAAUGGGCCUCUACCAAGUAUAGAUUGAGGCCCAACAAACUGAAAGACCCAACUCAUUUGAAUCAUUUUUUUGAGCCUCUAUCAAGCUUCUAUCAAUUAUCAAACUAUUCAAACACAUUCAAAGUUUUACACAUCAUAUAAUUUCAAAUGCAACAAGCCAACAAUGUCCAAAGUCUUAUACAGAAAAUUAAACAACACAUGUCCAAAGUCCAAACAACACAGAAAAUUGAACAACACAAGCCAAUGAAAAAACAAAAGUCCAAAUUAGCAGAAACUGGACAAAAUUUGAAGGGCUUUGAUGCUGCGAGGCCGGGAGAGUGCUAGACUGCUAAACACCAGUUUGGACAGAGUAUCUUCAGGUGCAAAUGAAGGUGGCAGAGGUGUUGUUAAUGAUGAAGCCUGUAAACCGGCAGUCAUCUCCUCAUAUGCAACAUAUGGAAAUGAUGGUGUUGAGCUUGAAUUGCCUACACAACCACUCUGCGAAGACAUGGAAGAGUCCAUAGCCUAUGUGAAACACAUCUAAUAGAUUAUACUCAUCACAAAUUAUACUCAUCAGUCAUCACAAAUUAUACUAACACAGAACAAAUUAUACUCAUCAGCUCAAAUUAUAGAACACACUAACACAGAACACAGAAGUGAAGAACAAAAACCAAAUUGAUAGAUAACACAAACUAUAGAUAGCACAAACAGUCAAACACAGAAGUAAUCGUACACAACACAGAACACACAAACACAGAAGUAAUCGUACACAAUCAUACACAAGUAACACAAACACAGAACACACAAACAUAGAUUGAUAGAUAGUUAGAUACAUACGGAGAUUCGAGGCUUCUCGAACGGAGUCGUCGGAGAGUCGAGGCGCUGCCCUUGGUGUUGCCGAGUCGACGGCGAGAGAGGCGAGGUGCUACCCAGUUCUCGAGGCGAGGUGCUGCCCAGUUCUCGAAGCGAGGUGGCAGAGAUGCUGCGAAGUCGAGGUGGCGGAGGUGCGAGGUGAGGUGGCGGAAGUGCAAGGUGCUGCCGAGUCGAGGUGGCGGAGGUGCGAGGUGCUGCCGAGUCGAUCGAGGUGGCGGAGCCGCGGAGGUGCGAGGUGAGGUGAGAAUCGAGAGACUUUGACUCUUUGAGCGAGAGAGAGUAGAGACUGAGAGAGGCGAGAGAAGGAUAGAGAUUGAGGGACUGAGGGACUUAGGGUUAGAUCAAGUGAUCAACGGCUUGGAUAAUGGUUUUAAUUAUUUUUUAUUAUUUUUAAUAUAACUCGGUUGGUACACGGUAUACUGUAUUUUAGGAAAACUUGUACCAUGUACCAACCGACUUCUCAAACUUGGUACGGUACUACUGUACCGAAAACUCGGUUACCAACUACUUGGCAUACCAAUUUACUUGGUACGGUUGAUACAUGGUUGGUUGGUUUCGCCAGGGUCCAAAUUGCCAGCGUGGGCAUCACCUUUUAGCUAAUUUUAUGUGGGGUUGUGUUGUCUUCUACCCCAGACUAAUUCAGGGACCAAAAAUUACCCCGGGUAUUAACUUGGUUAGGUGGGUCUCAUGUAGACCCCAUGGUUACCCCAGACUGACUCUUGCCGGGUUUUUUGGCCAACAUCUGCUCUUACCCACUCUCUCACUCCAUUGCAGCAUCUAAUCUAAAGGAAAAGAAAAAUGAAAAGGAAAAAUAGGUUUUUCAUUCAUGGGGGCUGUUUCUUACAUGUUACUAUUUAUACCCAUAAUGGGCCAUCCGGAUCUUGCCACUUGGCAGUAGAGGCAGACUUAUGACGGGGCAACUGGGGGCCAUUGAUCCCACUUAGGUUCUGACAUUUGCGCUUAGUUUUUUUUUUUUGUUUUCCUUUUAAUGCUUAGCCCCUGAUUUCUAAUAUAAAUUGUAUUUACUUAUGUAAAUUUAAAGUUAAUCCUAAUCUCAUGUGUUUUGUAUUCUUUAGUUUUGUUGAGAAACCCUAGUUUUGUUGAGAAACCCAAAGCAACCAAACUUUUAGUCUACCCAAGUUCUAGACUUCCAGCUUAGGUUCAACUCUUUGCUUUCGUCCCUCUUCAAGUCUAACUUCAACAUACUCUUGCAGUCGUUGAUCUCUAUACUUUUUCAAUUCAAGUAUUCAACCCUUGUUUAAAGCAUAUGCUAUUCUUUUGUUUUAGUUACAAGGUUUUACAUAGUUGGAAAAUUGGAAAUAUGUCUUUUGAUUUUGUGUGUUAUUCUUGAUUUUGUACAAUAUAAAGGAAUGAGUAUAUCUAUAUAACUCGAUGACUUUGGUGCCCAAAAAGCAAAAUAUGCCCCUAUGAAAAUUUAUUCUUGCGUCCGCCACACUACCGGGUAGCCAUCCAACUAAACAUGAAUAAACCCUAAGACAUAUUACAUAAUAUAACAUAUAUAGUUGAUCAAAUGGUACAUGUGCCACACGUGUGGGAAAACCACUUCUUUAAAUGUCACUCAAGCUUUCCUAAAGUCAUUGGGAAAUUCAUAGCAUAUUCGUAUUAAUCAAGACUCACAUAUUUAACAAAGAAACCUACUAAUGUUGAGUUUUACAACUCAUCUACGAUCAUUCUAAGAGAACAAAUAUACCUCAAUGAUAUUGUUUAAAUAUAAUAUUGUAGUUAUACGUAUGAGGAUGUUGUAGGUAAUGCGAGGAUCAAAUAAUUGUGCAAAUGUCAAAUAGUUGUGCAGGCCAAGAUAAUAUCUGCAAGACAAAACACGCACGCUAGAGAGAUACCCGGGCAUCAACCCUUCGACGCUCAAGUCAAAAAGGGAUUCAUCUUUGAGUAAUAAGGAAUAGAAUGAGUUAGAUUCAUUUAGAGGUGGAGAACGGUCGUAUAUUUAUAGGCAGUUGGAGGGUUUGGUGAGGUCCAACUGGUGACAUCUGUUGCACAUAUGCGGGUCACAAACAUAUCCUCGCGUCCACGAACGGCAUCAUAUGAAGGAAACGGAUCCGUACUCUUGGUUUACGGAAGUCUCACCAGUCGGGUGGUACCCAUUGACAGAUACAAUGUCACAUUAAUGUGGUGGAAGUCGUACCAAACCAAUACCCCAGUAAAUCAACACUACUUGGAGGUGACAACGAGACCUAGAGGAUGGUGUUGAUGUCAUCAAUCAGAACUCGCAGCCAUAACGAGGAGGAGAAACGAGUUGAGAGAGAGAGAGAGCUCCAAGGUUCUUGCGCGUCUCCCUUCAUUUUUUCUAUUUUCUUAUGUACUGCUCCCCGUCGAACUCACUCAUUAGGUCUAUAUAUAUUUUUGAUACGAACAGCUCUAAUCAAACGAUGAUAAUUUCUACUGUCCAAAUUACACCACAAUAUUUUCUUUUUAUUUAAAUGUAUUCUCAUAAUUUUCAAACUUUAGAAAUUCAUAUAAAAUAGUUUGAGACUCCGAAAAACUCCUCGAUAAUUCUCACGAACUUGUCCUGACGUAUACAUUAAUAUCAGACACUUAUAUCAAGGUUGUCACCUUAAUGUGGUGGAAGUCAACAAACUCCAAUAACGUCGAGAGAGCUUACUAUUUUGAUGUUUGUAAAAAUCAAACUUCGCUAGCAAAAAUUGUUGUCAUACUAAAUUACUAACACACCAACCACUAGCUAGAGCUAACCACAACCAAUCAGGAUAGACAUGUGUCCAUUUAAACAUAUUUUGUCGGCAAAUUAAGAGACAUAACAUGGGGGUAUUCAUCAAUAAUAUUAUAUAAUAUAUUUAUAAAAUAAUUUAAAUGGACAUGUGUCUGUCCUUGAUUGGUUAUAAUUAACUCGGUUGGGCAAAGAUGGAACCGGGUCACUAUCCUAGAGGGGCUAGACAUGACCGCAACUUAAGAUUCAAGUAAUGUUACGCACAUCGAUCUACGAAAACUUUUGCUUGCUUGGAGGAAUCCAUUUUCACGAACAAACACAACCUGCUAGCAGAGCCAACCCCAACCAUUAUAGUGAUGAGACGAAGCAUCAUUGCACAAUAUCUAACUGCUCCGGUCCUUAUUGUUUGCAAUAAAGUGCCUUAAGUAGCCACUGAAGAGUCCUUUAAUUCUCUUCGUCUGAGCUUCCAAAUAGAUACCUAUGGUAGGUAUCUUACCAUACGAUACCGACAAUCGUCUUCUAACAUUACCGACCUUUAAAUAUAGUGGUUUUCUUGGGUGACUGAUCCUGUCAUAAUCUACUUCUACUUAUGGCCCCGACAACUGAAGCCGAACAUAUAUACGACCAUCCUCAUUCAUGAAUAACCGGGAGGAAAGAAAGUGUGGUAAAUUAUAAUGAAAAAGUUUCUUUGAACAUGAUAAGAUUUAUAGCGUAAGAAGGAGUUGAUCGUAUCAUUUUAACUCGGUUCCGACUUCUCUACUUUUUAGUCAAAUUUUUUCCAACCACUAGGGCUACGGAGUUGCUCACUUCCACCACUACGCAUACGUAUAUUACUCCAAAAAAUUAUUAAAUGUACAAAUCUUCAAGUCAGGUAAAUAUUUAUUUUCACGAGAAUUUUUCCUAUUUUUGAGAGUAAAAAUGUAACGGCUAGAUAUGUGCUAAAUGUAAAUGGUAUGCAGAAAAAAGAUGCCGCCAUGGCCAUAACUCCAAACUGAGAGAAUAUACAAGGUUUUAUACCAAGUUGCACACAAAACGGAAGCUUUGUUAGUCGUGUGUAUGCGUUUGUGGUUGCUUGUGUGCGUGCGUCGGUGCGUGAGAGAGAUGAGUACUGAGUGCAUAUCAGAACCCACAGUAAAGUGUCCAUUGUUACUCUCGUUUUAAAUGCACGAAGCAGAGAGAAAAUAUGAAUUAUAAAUUAAAAAAGUUACAGACUUUGUCCAUAUCUAUUUGCGGUUUAUAUUCUCAAAACUCAUCACUCAUCAUCAGUGAAGCUCUCGGAGAAGAAAACUAGGUGGGUCUCUUCUAUCUUGUAUGGGUCUGUAUUUUCGUUUCACUGAUCGAUUCUCUGUAUUGGGUUUUGGGUCUUGAACUGUUUCUUUUGUUUGAAAUAUAUCUGCUAGUUACUGUAAGUUUCGUGCUUUUGAUUUCCAUUAGGAGUUUAUGACUGUUAGUUGAGCGAAGGUUCAUACUUUGAUCAUAUUUUCUAGUACCCUUUGAUGCAUUUGAAGGAUCGAUCAAUCAUUUACUGUAUUUGAACCUGCAUUUGCCCUUGGCUCUGAUACCCUUGAUUGCUUUGUGGGUUCCCUUCCCAGUUGAAUUGGAUCUUUUUUUGACAAUCAGUUGAAAUGAAUUUGGGGGUUUAUUUGGGAAAGUGAAGCUUAUCUGUUAGGAUGUUCUUGGUUAUCAUAUACAUCUGAUUUUAGUGUUAGUGGACAUUUUAAAAACAUUACAGAAGUGGGAUUUAUGGAUUUUACUUGUUGCUGCACUUGUUUUGGAUUUUGGGCUCCUUGAGUACUAUGAACUGUAUCCUCUAGCUUGCACUGGGACUUUUGAUUAGUUACCAUAUCAGAAAGUUUUAAUCUUGAUCUGAUAUUUCUUUUGUUACAGAUCAGUAAAGUUUCGGGUUUUGGGUAUUUGAUUUUCUUCCCCACCUAUAAUAAUGGUUCCAUGAUCAUGGUUUACCCUGCUUUCCUAUAUGAUUAAGUCCAGUUGGUUUGAGACUUUGAGUUGCUUUUGUGAAGGUAUCUGGUCAUUGCUUCCUUGCCUUUGAUGAUUGGUGCAUACUAAUUUCUUUUUAAAUCCCUUUUUUUAUGUUCACUCAAGCUUUCCUAUUUGUAUAGCAAAGAAAAUGGUUGAUGUUACUACAUUGCCUCUUCACUCAAUUCUGCAUUGGUUAUUACUACAAUUGAUUCAGUCUACUUUUAUUGUUUUUGUCAGGUUUUAAAUCAAAGCGGUAAGGAAUUGCUGGUUCGUCGUUAGAGACUGGGGUCUUUAUCAUAGAGGAAGAUAAGUAUUUCACAUGCAGAUUGUUUGUGUAUGAUGAUCUAAUGGUUGAUUCUAGUAGUUUAAAGCUGAAACACACUAGUAGCAUACUUUUCAGUAUUCCUGAUUUCUUCGUAGGGUUUGGUAAUAAAGGUUCUUUAGAUUCAGACUCAGUUAGGAGCCCUACAUCUCCUCUGGACCUCAGGCCUUUUUCAAAUCUUAGCAACCCAUUUAGACUUCGGUCUGCUAGAUCAUUAUCUCAAAAUGGAAAUCAUAAGAUAUGGGAUUGUAGGAAAGCAGGCCUUGGCAUCGUCAAUUCCCUUGUUGAUGAAACCAAAGCUACUAGUGAAGUUCUUGGUUCAUCGAAGAGGAAGACCAUAAUUUUUCGACCACAGUUGGAAAAAAUCAACCCUCAUUCCUCAAAGCUUCGUUCUGGUUCAAAGGAUUAUUUCAUGAAAUCCCGAUCUUUACCUAGAAACUAUAUAAUUAGGCCACUUUCUGAAACCAUAUCUCUCAGGCUCCAACUCAAACCAGAUAAGGUGGAUGUUUCCUCUGGGAGUGUGGGACUUCUUUUAGAAUCUGAACCAUCUGAAAACAUUGCACCAUUUUUGUUGGACUCCAGCAGGGCUUCCUCACAAAUUGUCUCUAUGCAAGGAGAAAAUUCGUUGGGUUUUAGACCUAGUUCACUUCCAGCACCAAUUGUCUCUAACCCUCAAUCUGCAUCCUCUAUCCCUGCUAGAGAGAUGGAACUCUCUGAGGACUAUACCUGUAUAAUUUCUCAUGGUCCAAACCCGAAGACCACUCAUAUAUUUUGUGACUGCAUAUUGGAAUGUCACACAAAAGAUUUAAACAAUGUUGACAAAGAAACAGUCGAGAUAAAAGCACCUCAACUAGGUAAGCAUCAGGAGGGAUUGACACAUGACCCUUCAGAUGAACUUUUGGGAUCCUGUUACACCUGCCAGAAGAACUUGGAAGGAGAGGAAAUUUACAUGUGCAGGUUUGUUUUAAACCUCUAGGUGCAAUUUUUACUUAAGUUCCACAUUUUUGAGGCUGAGCUUUUCUCUGAAUGUUGCAGAAGUGAGAAAGCAUUUUGUAGUUUUGAUUGUCACUCAGAUAAGAUUUUUGCUGAAGAGGAAGCAGAAGGUACUUGGGAUAAGUCUGCAGGAAGCUCUCCUAAAAGCUACCAGGAAGAUCUCUUCUUAUUGGGUAUGCAUAGUCAUGAGACUCCGGACAUAGAGUAGUAGUAGCCUCAUAGGUCUUGUUCUCUAUAAUCAUAAUUGGAUGAUUUCAAGUGGCUAAAAGCCCUGGUCAUCAGUUUUCUUCUCCCUUUUGUUUCCUAGUGUUUUUGUGUGCAAGUGUUCAUGCAAAAAGUAUUUUGGACCACUGAACUCAUUGUUGAUUGCAUGAGGUACUGAAAUAAUAGCUGCACUUUUUGGGUUACUAUUUCAUAAGCUUCGAUGAUUUCUGUUUUGAAGUAUGAUGGUUUGGUUCACUUAAUGGUCAGAAAUUAUGAUAAACUCUGCUUGUGUCACUUGUUUAGUUCUUUAACUAUUAUGUAUUAGAUUGAUUAAGGUUAUAGAAACUAUUGCAGGAUUGCCCAUUUUGUGUAAUGCGUCAAAGAUGCGUGUUAACUUUGUGAUUAGAUAUGCCUAUAGUCCUAGUCCUCUGUAGUUUGCAAGAUCUGUGCUCCAUAUGGCGAGAACUUGCUAUACAUUUUGGAUUUUCUUUUAGUGUAAACCCAUUUGAACUUGCUUACUGAGAGAUCAUUGCUGCUACAUUUCCAAUGGUUAGUUUUGUAAAGGUCGUCUUCUCUUCCAGAUUCAUUUUGUUUUGGCCUACCCUCUUCUUUUUUUAAAGCUUCCUUUACCUUCAGUAUGUCCUUUCAGGUAAUGAGGUUCUUGUUGACCCUCAUUCUUAAAUUUUGAAAUGAACAUAUUUGUUCCGGGAGCCUUUCUAGUGAGGACUCUUAAAUUGAGGACUAGUUGAGGACUUUCCGGUUUAUGGUUUAAAAGACUUAUUUUUCGAUCACAUCUUGGCAUCUCAUCCGUUCAGUUUUUAGGUCUAUAUGUGUAUAUCAAUCCUACAAAUUUUCAGCCAAAUAAGUGAUCGUUAAGGUAACAAACUAGAUCAAAUUAAUGGACGAACCAAAUCUGUCAAAUAUGAACCGUUCAAGUUCAUAAUUGGUAAAUCACACUUAUGAAUGUCUUAACGAUUUUCAAUAUGGUUGAAAAUUUACAGAAAUGAUCUACUUAUAAAUAUCUAUAAACUGAACGAUCAAAAUGUGAAUAUAGAAUUAAAAAGUGAGAUAAGCCAAAAAAAUCUUUAACUAAUCAUCAACUUAAAAGUUUUCGUAUAUUCCCACCACCUGCAAAUAAUUAGUGUCAAGUUGGGGACUCUACAUAGUGACCCAGGUCUGCGUAUCCCUACAAAAGUAUAUCUCAGAAGUUGGUACGAUGUGUAGCAUCUCUCUCUUCACAUGGGGGCAUUAAGCAAAGGAGCAUCCACAUAUUUUUGAAUGACAUAACUUUGGAAGUUCCCCCACACUCAAAGCAAGCCUAGCAUAACUGCAUAAACUCACCAUGUUUGUCUCAUCUGGUUUACCAAAUCAUUUCCACAAUUCCACUGUUGUUCUAAACCUCCGUUAGAGUUUCAACUGUUUUCAAACUUGUGGUAUCUAGUCUGAGACUUGAGCUGGAAAAACAAGUAAAGUAAUGGCAACAAUUCACCAUUUCACUGUGCAUAUGAGUUAGCAGUGAACAGUAAAACAGAUUAAUGGACCGCAAUGUGAGUCAACUAUAUAGUAGUGCACACCAUUUGGCUCUACAGAGUCUCACAUUGCUGAUUCUCAAUGUCUACUAGAUUUGGUUGAGGCUACGAGAUGGUACUAGUUCCUCCUUCGCUUAUGAUUUCUCCCAUCGUAUUGUUUCCGAGGCCUCGUCCAUUGCAAUUCUUUGUUUUCACAACGAAGAGCAACAGAAGUAUUCUAUUUCAUUGUGGUUCUUAUUUUGUUUAACUUUUAUAUUUUCUUUUUUCGGUAUAACAUUUAAAGUUUUACGAAGCUUUAUGACUCAAUACCGUAAGAUUGUAAAUUAUCUAAGCUAUAUGUCAUACAACGAGCAAAUCUACGGUCAUGUAGAGUUUACUCAAAUUUAGUACCACAAAGUUAUUAGGGUAUUCAUAGAAUCACAGAGGGGUAAAAAGAAAUAUCUUACAUUUUCAAAAAAGAAAGAAAAUGAAAAUAAGGAAAAAUCUGGGUGGUAUAAAUAUGUAGCUUUCGCAGAAACUGAAAAUUGAAAAGAGCAAAAAGAUCAAAACUUUGAGCGCUAAAGUCUAUCCUCAUAUCCAACCAAAGAUGGGUUUUGCAAUGCGGACCUCCUGCUUCUUACACUCUCCCCUAUUCCCCUUCUCUUCUUCUUCUCACUCCAAAACCAGAAAUGCAGAGACCAACUCAAGAACAAGAAGAACAAGAAGCAGCAGAACGACAACCGUGGCAAUGUCGUCUAUGCGCCAAGACGACAUCAACGACGGCGAUCACGGCAAGCGGAGGGCUAUUCUCUUUGUGGGUAUCACUGUUCUUCCUCUGUUACAACUCAGGGCUCACGCCUUUGAACCCUUUCCCACUAGUAAGUUUAUUUUCAAAGUUGUUGCUUUGAGUUUGUGAAUUUUAGGAAAUGGGUUGUGAAUAUUUUGCUCAUUUCUUGUUGGGUUUUGAUGUGAGGUAAUGGGUUUGUUGCAAAUGGGUCAUAGCAUUUGAAGUUUGAAACUUUUAUUACAAGUUGGUCAAGGAUUGUUUGUGAAAUCUUGAUGAUUUUUUAUUGAAAGAUGUAUAGGUAUGUUUCAAAUGACCUUGUAGUUCUGUCAGUACCGUAUGAUUCAUAUGACAAUGCAGUUUGAAGUUGAAGUUGAAGUUGUGGGCUGCUAGUUAAGGUGUUGGAAUUGAAGUUGAAAUUCGAGUUGAUUAAGCAAUAUUACAGGAUUCCUAGUAUAAUUCCUUUUUAAAGGCUUCACAUUAAGAUGGGAGUUAGAUUCCAUUCGUAAUAUAUAGGUCAUUAUAUGCUGCAUAUACAUUUAAGAUAGUGAAUCACUUGAGAUUAGGAAUAUUAUGAAAAUGUAGUUUUUUCUUUUGUACUUCUCCAAAUCUCUAUGUGGAUUGUUAAUAAAACAAAGAUUCAAAAAAUAAAGAACAAAUUUUACCCAGCUUUUGAUGCUGUUUUAACUUUUGCAGACAUAAUAUAGCCAUCUCUGCUAAUUCAAAUGGUAAUAUUAAGUUUGGUGUCAACAACAUUUAGACUUUUGGUUCCCAAAUGCUGAAAAUGUCGGAAUGUCAUGGUAAUUGAGUGUGUGUUUUUUUUUUCCUUCUAGAUUUAAUAGCACCACUUGCAUAAGUUGACAGAUUAGCUUAGGCGCAGGUACUGGAAUAAGUCAUGCCUGAGAAAGGUAUUAUAGGUGAGAAAACCAUAUCUGAUGCCCCAGAUACCGGUUCAAUUCUUCUCUUGAUUCAAGACUAAGUAGGAAAGCAACGGGACUAAAGACAUCUUUCACUCCAAGUAGCUAAAGAAUGUAUCAUACUGUGGGCUGUAAUUGGCCUAUUUACACCCUUUUUUUCAUCCUUUAUUAUAUGAGGAGUCAUAGGAGAUGCAGUUCUAGUAAAACCUACUCGUGCUACCUUUGCAGUGCAGAUUUUAGGUGCAUAACUUUGUUCAAAUCGUCUUGGUUUAAAUUGAUAAUAUUACAUAAGAUCAUUUAGGGCUUUUUCUUUUAAAAAAGAAAAAAAAAGCGUCUUAUAUCAAGGUUCUUACUUCUGCUACACAUAUAGGUCUUUCUUAGCAUGGAUCACUGUUCCAUGAAACACUUGCUCCUUGUAUCCAUUCCCGCAUCGAUUCAUGGUUUGUUCAUGCAAUGAUCUUUUUUCUUUAUCUUUUUGCUUUUUCAGAAGAAAGUGAGCCAAAGACUCCAGACAGUAACAUAAAGGCAGAGGUCUGAACACUAAAUUGCUAUUCAAUCCCAGUUAAUAGCUUACAGUAUUUUAAUGGUGGCAUAAUUGCCAAUUUGCUACCCUUGAAUUCACCUUAGUGUCAAUUUGCUACCCUAGCUUUUAUUUCUGCCAAUUUGCUACCCCAGCUUUCUAAAUUGGAUUAAAUUCAGUUUACCUCCCCCCCCCCCCCCCCGAGGUUUGGGGUUAGCAUCAUUUCAGCCAUCAUACUCUUAAUUUUGAAAAUUUAUUUCAAUUUUCAUAAAUCAUCCCCAAUUGCUGAAAUUUUGUCUAAUUUGGACGUUAAUUUUGACUUCAUAACUCACUUUAAGGGCUAAAAUAGUCAUAUAACAGCAUAAAUCACAUUUUAGAACCUUUUUUCUAAGAUUUCAUGCUAGCAUUUAACAUCCAAAUUGGAUAAAAUUUUAGCAAUUGGGCUUGAUUUAUGAAAAUUGGAAACUUUAGGGGUAAAUUUUCAAAAUUAAGAGUAUGAGGACUGAAAUGAUGUUAACCCCAAACCUUAGGGAGGUAAACUGAAAUUAAUCCUUCUAAAUUUGCUACCCUAUGUUUUAUUUUAGCCAUUUUGCUACCCUUGUGUCAAAUUUAUGACUCUAGACUUUCAAUAUUAACCAAUUUGCUUACCUACAUAUUCAAAUUUAGCCAUUUGCUAUCCGACAUUUUCAAAAGACAUCAAUGUUUGGAUGGAGAAAUGGAUCAAUUUAUGUGACAAAAGGUAGCAAAUUGGCUAAUUUUAGAAACCUAGGGUAGCAAAUUGGCAGAAAUAAAAGCUAAGGUAGCAAAUCGGCUAAUUUUGUGAAGCUAGGGUAGCAAAUUGAAACUUAAGUGAAUCCUAGGGAAGCAAAUUGGCAAUUAAGCCUUUAAUGGUUGUAAUGAGGCUUAAUAUUCUAAAGAGAGCAAAUCAUUGAACAGCAGGUACUGCAAGGAGAUGCCCCAAAUCCCAUUUUGUCUAUCCUGAAUGGUCUUGGUAUUUUCAGCUCUGGUGUCAUCGGUGCUUUUUAUGGAUUGGCUGAGAAAGAAAAGAAAGCCGCUGAAGUAAUAGUAGAAUCUGUAAGUCUGCACUUCCACAGUCAAGCUUUACUUUACCUGCCGUGAUAACCCAUAAAAAAUAUGAGUCUAGACCCUUUAAAAAGGAACUUCAUGAAAUUUAUGACUAUUAAUCUACAAUGUUUGUCCUUGAAUUUUUUGCUCUUUUAUUGUAUGUUCAAAUGGUUAAGUAGAAAUUAAUUUCUGAGUCUGAGCCUGAUAAACCAUAGUCCUUUGGUUUUGUUCUCAUUGCAAGGAUGUACUUUUGGAUGAUUUGCUUGAUGUAAUCCACAUCUCCUGUGAUUGAUUUGCACAGAUGAAGAACCAGCUGAAAGAAAAGGAAGUUGCUAUUGCUUCCUUGGAGAAGAACUUUGAGUCAAAGCUACUGAAUGAACAGGAAGAACGGAGAAAGCAACUUGGAAAAGCAAAGGAAGAGCAGAGGUCUCUAACAGACCAACUAAAUUCAGCCAAAAGUACUAUUGUGGGCUUAGGGAAGGAGCUAAACGGCGAGAAGAAGUUGAUUGAGGAGCUUAAAGUUCAAAGUGAAAACCUUAAAACAAACCUUUCAAAGGCUACCGAAGAUAAGGUAGAGCUUGAAGAAAGUUUGAAGGAAAAGCUUCACUCCAUCGAAGAUUUGCAGGGAAGGAUUAAUUUGCUCAAUUUGGAACUGAAGGACAGAGAGAGUAAUGUUCAAAGCCUUAGCUCUUCUCUUGCUGAAAAGGAUUUGGAGUUGAAGAACUUAAAGACUGCCUACAACCAAACUAAGGAUGAACUAGCUCAUGCAGUUUCUGAUAUUCAAGAAUUAAAAGUCGAACUCCUAAAGAAUCAAAAGGAACUGGAACUGAAGAGUUACACUGUGGAUGAACUGAAUUCAACAGUAAGUUCUUUGACUUCUGAGAAAGAUGAUUCUAAGAGGAAGUAUGAUGCUAUUCAGGAGGAAUACGAUAAUCUGAAAUCAUCCUCUGGAAAAAAGGCAGCUGCGGAUGCUAAUCUUUUGGGGGAAAAAGAUGAGGAACUUCAGCAGCUAAAGGAGAAACUUGAAUUUUCAUUGGCUGAAUCAAGUAGAAGCAAACAGAUAAUUGCUGAUUUGACCCGAGAGAAGGAAACCUUGAGGGAAAUGCUGGAUAAAGCAUUGAACAGUGAAGAGAACUUGAAACAUGAACUCCAUAUCACUCAGGAAGCUCUUGGAAAAUCUAGAAAUGAAGUUUCAAAUCUGGAACAUCAAUUAAAACAGUCUAGAAAUUUGUGUACCAAACUUGAAGCUGAGAUCUCUCGGGUCCAGGCUGAGUUUACUGGAGUUAGGGAAUCACUGCAGAGGAGCCUUGAUGAGGCUACAUCAAGUGGUGAUGUGAUUGCUACUGAGCUUGCUUCAGUAAAAGAACUUUUAAAGAAGACAGAAGAGGAGCUGCAGGGUGUGUCUCAUCAACUAGCAGUUGUUGCAGAGAAUCGUGAUAGCCUGCAGAAAGAAUUGGUUGAUGUAUAUAAAACAGCUGACAAAGCUUCUCAUGAUUUAAAAGAAGAGAAGGAGCGAGUUUCUUCUCUUAAGAAAGAACUUCAGUCUCUGGAGAAGCAAAUUUCAGAGAACAAUAAGUCCCGUAAGUGUCUUGAGACAGACCUGGAAGAGGCUACAAAAUCACUUGAUGAGAUGAACCGAAAUGCUUUAGUACUUUCCAAAGAGUUAGAGAAGGCUAAUUCUCUAAUUUCUAACCUUGAAGAUGAGAAAGAGGUGUUUUACAAGUCCCUUACAGAGCAAAAGAAUGCAUCCAAAGAGGCCCGUGAAAACAUGGAAGACGCCCAUAAUCUUGUCAUGAAACUUGGCAAGGAAAGGGUGAGUCUGGAGAAGAGAGCAAAGAAAAUGGAAGAGGAAUUGGCAUCUGCCAAGGGUGAAAUAUUGCGGCUGAGGAGUAAAAUAAAAUCUUCAAAAGAUCUUGUAAAUAAUGAGAAACCACAGAAAGCCAAGGCUGAAGGUGCUGUCACUGUUACUGCAAAGAGAGGUAGGAGGAGAAAGGCUCCUGCUGAAUCAGAGUGAACUACUGUCAGAGUCGUAAUUAGUUCUCCUGGUUACUUUGGGUAUUCCUUAAUCAUACUUUGAAGCCAUUUGUUCUCUGGCUUUCUCCUUCUCUAACUCGAAAUUCUUUCCCAGUACCAUUGAAUCAUAGGAACAAUGAUUUAUAUGCAACAAAUGUUGCAUAUGAAAUUGUGACUCUUGUACUUGUGCAGUGUAUAGUAGGAUCGUAUCAGUCCUAGAACAUAGUGGAUUGGUAGUACAAUCUACAUUUUCCUACGGAAGUGUUUUUGUAUUUGCAUUUAUUAAGUCCAGUGGCAAAUAAUUUUCUUUCACUUAACACAAACAGUGUGCUGCUGCAUUCUGCUGUCAUUUGACACAAAUUUGCAGUUACUUCUCAGAGAGAUAAUUACUUGGGUUAAUGCUGGAGCUGGUAUUGGCACAGAGAUAGGAAGUUAAACCCAGGGGGCAGAAGGAUUGAGGGUUUCUUUGGCCAUCAAAAGGACCACUUGGUAAGAUGCAUAUUUUCAAGCACUAAAUAUGAUAGAAUUAUGGCGGCUGGAUCAUACAGGCAAUGAAGUAACAACCAUAGCAAGUUACAAAUGAGAAAGCCCUUUCUGUAAUCCAAGACAUACAAACCAGCACAUCAGAGCUUACCUUUCCCCCUCCAUUGCCAUUUCUCUUCUAACAAACAACUAGGCUGCAUUAACAUAUUCAACGCUACUGAAAUGUGAGUUUCCUAAUAAUAAUAAUAAAUAAAUAAAAAAUGUGAGUUUCCUCUAGCCUCUUUGAACUGUUUAUAUCCAAUCUAUAGGUGAUUGUGGUUAAUAUGGUAUAUAUAUUAUGUUUAGAGAAUCAUCUAUCCUGCAGAAACAUGAAUAUGUUCCAAUGAAGAUAAUCAUAAAAUGAUUAACAUUAAACGUAAUUUUGAAGUUGUGGAUAUUAUUUUCGUUUUCCUCUUCAUAUCUUUUUGGGUAGUUACAACGACACUCGAACAAAGUGCAUGCUUCUACAACAUGCUCAAAAGCUUCUGGGAUAUGAAACAGGAAAAAACAAAAAAAAACAAAUGUAAUUUGCAACCGACCACAGUGGGAGUCGAACCCACGACCUUUUGAUCCGAAGUCAAACGCGCUAAUCCACUGCGCUAUGCGGUCGUUGUGGUACACACUAUUGCAUUACUGGUACAAAACGAAAUGGUUUUUCAAAAUUUUGGCAUUUCAUUACUCGUCUUACAAAAAAGUAAAGCACAAGGCAGCUUGCCUGGAUACAAACAACUAAACAAAGGGGAGCACCUUGUAAUUGUAUAUACACAGCAAACCAGUUAUCAAAAUCUCCAACAUGGAUAUAAUGACCCCAGUGAUACAUAAAAAGCAAAAAGUCUAAAAGAUUAAAGGUACAAGGUACAAAAUCAAUGUCUUAGGCUCUGCUUGAGCGUAUCUAAUUAAACUCAACUUCCUUUUUUUCCUGCUUCUUCUAAUAGCCUAAGCCUGGGUGCCACUCAAGGCUUUCAUCUGAAUGUGGGUGUUGUCACUGGGCAAGGCCUCGUAAGAACCCAAUGCUCGAAUACCAACCGACUUGGCAGUCAUUGCAUAGGUGACCAUCACAAUAAGCAACACAAACAUUACGUGCACCAAGAACACCAGAUCCAGAAUGGCCACAGCCCUUAACUUGGACUCGUCUAAGUCACACUUGGUUGAACCCUCGACUCCAUUUACCACAUCAAGAAGCUUGUGGCAGCCCUCCGGAAUGAAGGCAUCCACAUAGAGGGAGAGGCCCGUCUGUAGGACCCAUAGGCCCUGUAGAGACAGGGAAGCGCCCAAGCCUACGUCUGCCACGAAUAGUUUUGGCUGGCAAGCCAAGACGAGGCAGAGGAUGGAGGCUAGAGCGGAUAUCCGUCCCGAGACAGAGUCACAUUUGGCCUGAAGGUCGGAUGUCUGGACAGUGGCAGCACCCCAAAAGACAAAUGACUGCAAGUAGAAGAGGCCUGCAGCGAGGCCGAAGAUGAGGUCGUUGGGGAGGGGCAGCAAAGCUGGGAUCCACUCGGAGAGGAGGAGUGCCAGUGUGAGGAGUAGAAAGAGGAAGAGGGAGGCAGCGGACUGGAGGGAGGUAAAGUAGUGGACCGGUGAGCGACCCUUGAGGAGCGGAUCAGCGUCUAAGGAAAUGACUAUCUGGUGGACUAUAGCGACAACGAGGAAUGCAAUGACAAGGUAGAGCUGGAGGAACCUGAGACGGUGGUUGUUGGACGGCGAUGAGGAUGAGGACAGAGGGAAAGGGUGAUAAGGUCUGGCAAAAUAGGCCUGCGGUGAUCUCAGGUGGUUGCGUGUGGUGGCAACCAUGUGGUAGAGUCCCAGUGAGACCAGUGCUGCAGAGGAUAUCAUCUGGUACACUAGGGCUGCCAUAUCUCAAGUUCACUCUCACUUUCUCAGAGUUUCUUAAUCCAUGCAGUAUUGUAUUACACUAUAGUUACAGAGGCGUGCACUACUCUCUGUUUGAGCAAACUAUCCUUCUUGAUUCUUCAGUCCUUGUUAGCUUGUUUGAUUUCAGUGGUGAAGGAUUUGUGUAUGGGGACCUAAACAAAACAAAAGAAAUUAUGUUACCCAACAUGUCAUAUAGAAAUACACAUGCAUUCUUGAAAUUAAAAUUAAUUACAAUAGCAACUGUCCACCAACUCCAAGUACAAAGUUCCAUACUCUGAAAUCCUAAUGUAAUAACCUGGUCAUCUUUUUAUCCUGUCAGAUUCAGCUAUAUUUCUCACUAUAUGAAGGGAGGCAAUUUUAUUCAUCCAGUAAAUAUCCAAAACUUAAACAAUACAUCUCUUAUAAAUCAACAACGAAAUCCACAAAUAAUGAUAUAUGGAGACAAUCAACCGACACUCACAAUUGUGUACUAAAAGAUAUCAAUUUAACAAUUAAAAACAAAAAAAAAUACACGGAAACUCCACAAAGGAAUGUCCUCAGCAUCUACAGGCUACACACCAGUAUGAUCUAUUAAUGAAGAAUUGAAGAUCCAAAAUCUAAAUGGUCAGAUGGCCAAAAUAUGAACAAAAUAGGUCUCACAUGUGAUCUUUAAAAUGCACAAAAAGUUAAUGAUCCCAGGAAUAGAAACCGCUAAAAAGAUAUAAGCUAAUGAUAGAGAAAUGGAAGAGAACUUGAGAACUUAUACAAGGACAUACUUGUAGAUGGAGAUUUGAGCCAAUUGAGCAAUCUGAGUUUUUACAACAAAGCAACAAUAUAAACUGAUCAACAGAUUCUUCAGCAACCUGUAAAAAAAUUGAUUAAAUUACAAAAUUUGAAUUAAGAUCUCAAGUAGUAUGGAAACUUUCAAUAUUCAAGAAUAAAUACCAUCUGGGAAAACUUGUCAGGCUCGACGACUACAUCAUAUGCGUGAACGUAGAAGAAAGAACACACUUUUUUUAUUUUUCUUUUCGAUGUCUAGCAAGACAGUAUAAACAAAUGUAAGGGAAAGAGGGGCCAAUGACCCAUCUUGUCCCUUAGUAGUUACGCCCUUCGUUUGAUUAUUUCCUCACCAACCAGAUACUUAGCAUGCUACACGAUUGAGGUAUACUAGGACUUCUUAUGUUGCAUUUCUAUGAAAGAUGUUGUAGUUGUGAGUAUUAGUAAAAGAGAAGAGAUAAAUGGUAAAGUAUCAUGGAGCACCAAGAUCUGGCCAAAGGCAGAGAAAUAUUGGUCCUAACACUUCGAGGCGAUUAGCAAUGGAAUGGGGAGUGUAAUUAGUUAUAAAGUUUAUGAUGCCCAACUAUGAGCUAGCUGGUUCCAGAUGAAGGCUAAAGAAAUCAAUCAGAGGAUCUUUAAUUUACUCUUUGACUAUGACAUAACACCCUUGUAGGCUAUGGAGGAAACUUGCAGAAAUGUAUGGUUUCACUAAGGGUGAGAAAUAAAAGGUAAAACAGUUUCACUCUACAGCUAAAAAUAGGUCUUUACUAACAUUGGUCUUAGCCAAAAAUAGGUACACUACACUGCAGUCUGCAGGCCUCUACCUCCUUACUUUUUCUCUCUUCACUCUCUUAUCCCUCAGAUUUGCAGGGCACUAUUUUCAAUUGAAACAUACUUGCAUACAAUACGAUUAAAUCAAACCCAUUUUGGAUUGAAACAGAAAGCUCACAUUACUGUUAGCAAGUGUCUUAUACUCUCUGAUCUCAUUAACGACAAAGGGAUUGGUUCAACAAGGUUGACUGAUAUGAUCCGACCAGAAACAUAUAAAUGAAAAAGUGCAUACACUUUGAACAGAGAACACAUAUUGCAACAAAACAGAUCGAGCAUCAAGUUAGCAACUCAACUCCUUCAACCCAAGUUGUAGGCUAACAGUUGGAGAUUGAAGUUAUAUGAUUUCUCAAUUAGAAUUAGAGGAAGAGGAUGGCGUGGAAUCAGAGAAAGAGAGAGUUUUAGUUACCUCAAACUCAAGUGCUCGGACAAGUUCGUCUGAUCUGACUUCUCACAGGGCUUCCGACUUCUGCGCAGACCCUACGGAAGAAAAGAAUGCAGAGUGCCUGCAGCGAGAGAUUCAGUCAUUUUAUUCCUUUCAAUUCUUUUUUUUUUUUUUUUUUGAAGACGGUCAAAGAACCCGUUAGGUCGACUGGUCGAAACCGUCGAGUGUUCCUCCUCCGUGAUGUAUUAUUAAUCGUAUUUGGCAUUUCGAUAUAGGAGCUAUUUUAGCGAGGACUUUUAAGUUGAGGGUUAGUUGAGGACUUUUCGGUUUAUGAUUUUUAAGACCCAAUUUUCGAUCACAUUUUGACAUCUCAUCCGUUUGGUUUUUAGGUUUAUAUAAGAGAUCAUUUCUACAAAUUUUCAUCUAAAUUUGUGUUCGUUAAGAUAACAAACUAGAUCAAAUUAAUGGACGAACCAAAUCUGUCAAAUAUGAACCGUUCAAGUUCAUAAUUGAUAAAUCACACUUAUGAAUACCUUAACAAUUUUCAAUAUAGCUAAAAAUUUAGAGAAAUGAUCUACUUAUAAAUACUUAUAAACUGAACGGUCAAGAUGUGGAUAUAAAAUUGAAAUAUGGGGUAAGCCGAAAAGUCUUCACCAAGUCCUUAACUUAAGGAUCCUCAAUAGAAGGGCUUCCAUUUGGAUAUAGUGUCUAAACCAUGUUAUGUGAUACCAUUAUCUAUGAGGACAUUGUUUAUAAGGACAUCAUCUAAAAGGAAGGAAAUCCUGAAUAAUACAUGGUGUAUUGUCUAUCCAAAAGUUAUCUAACAUAAAUAAACUAACAAAAUGUGAUGAUCUAUGUAAAUACCAAAACCAAACACUUUGAAAGUGUGAUAAUCUAUGUUUAACACUGUUUGUUUCACGAUAAACAUGCAUAGAUGAAAAGAAGUUAAAUUCUUGCAUAUAGUAUUUGUAAUCAUCAAGAACCACUCGUAUCUCAAACAAGUUAAUUUCAUCUCUUACCAUGGCUGAUAGCACUGCACAAUCACUUGCUCAAUCUCAUUUCAUUGAUGGUGAAUAGCUAUAAGUAACCCAGCCCUAAUGGCUUUUGCCUCAACACGCAACGCAGAUUGUGCAUGCUCCAUGUACCUAGAUAACGCAGCUAAACACUUCCCAACCUCAUCUCGUGCCACUACUCCAACUCCGCCGUUCCCAUACUCUGCCAAGAAUGCACCAUCAACGUUAUGCUUAACUCUAUGGUUCUAAAUUACCACAUGACAUUGCUACAUGGUGGUUUGAGCCAAUGUUAUCACUUGAAUUUGACCAUUGCAAGGGUGAACAAAAACAAUAAUUAAACUAAAGGAAUCAUUGCAAAAAAUACAUUUCAAAAUAAUAUUAACCUCGAGACCAUAAAAUAAUUCCACAUGAUCCAUUUGAACCCUUAAACUCCCUGCAAUUAAGGUACAUUUCCAGGUUAAAUAGUUGUGUGUCAGUUAAGGCUAGUAUUGUUUUUUUUUGUUUUUUUUUUUUUGUUACAAAAAUGGCUAAUACGUUGUUAAAAAAAGUCUACAUUUGAUGUACCCUUAAUGUGUCGUAUAAGUUUGUUAAGGUCGUUGAGAUGAUAGUUGGGGGUUGGGGGAAAAUCUUUGAGGCUAUGUUCGGUUGUUGAUUGCGACCUCAAAUGUAUGGACAGUUUGGUGGUGGAGAGAUAUAUGCACUCUGCAGUACUAGUUAUGACAUAUUUUCUAAAGAGAAAAAUGUACCGCUGGUACCCCAAUUUUUGUGGCACGGUCAAAGUGGUACCCAUACUUUAAAAACUAUCAAUAUGGUACCCAAACUUCUAUUUCGCUACGAAGGAAAGGCCUGAGGCCAAUUUUCGUAACUGUGCCGUUAGUUUGCUGACGUGGCUAGUAUGAGGUCCACUAAAAAAAGAUGUAAUGACAAAAAUAACCUUCUAAUUCUCCAGAACAGUUUUCCCUCCAAAAUCUUUAAAAUUGAAUAUUUGGUUUUCAUCCUGGAUAUCACAUUGAUUAGUUCAGUAAAAUUUAGGUAUCACAUUGAUCAUUUUAGUAAAGUUUAGGUAUUACUGUUGUGUUUAUCUGCUGACAAUAAAUACUAUGCAAUGCAAUAGCUGAAAAUGUAACAUAGAAAUUCAAACAUAGAACCAAAAGGUCUGCCAAUAUCACUGAAUUAAAACCAUUAAAACCAACAUCAGUUCAACAUGAGAAACAUACUAUGCAUUAGAUUCAAGCUUAAUUGCUUUCCAAAAACUCAAGGAACCAGAUUGUUUGCAAAAAAUUAAUUCCAAAACAUGAUGAAGUACACAUUAUGUUUCUCUGAUUUAAAGCCAGCACAUUCACUUUUGAGCACCCCUUGCUCCAUGAUUUUGGCUGCUUUAAGUAGGAGGCUGUGUUGAGGCCGUCUGAUGCACUACCAUUUCCAGCAGAACUACCCUCCAUUGCCAACUUCAUUUUCUUCCAUCCCUUUCUAGACUUUAUGACCUGGUCCUUGAUAGGUCUUGAUUCCUUGGGUGGGGCUGGUGCCCUUUGGACCUGUGAAAGACAAACAAGACAUUUCCAACACAAUUCAACAACAACAUUAUUUCCAACAGUUAACAAAACAUUUCAGCAAUAUUCCUAAAACCAAAGUACUCCUGAAAUGUCAAUGAAAGGAUAGUAAAAAGAUGCAAACACUACAUUGUGUUGUGAAGUGGCUUAAAGCAAUAAAGCAUUCAAACAAAACGGAAAGACAUUCUAAAGCAAUGAUCAAUUAGAUUACCACAACGACAACUAACGUUCAUGUCGUCCAAACGUUGAUUGCUUAAGGAACAGCUCAACCAAAGAUGAUCUCAGCACACUUAUGGACACUGGAAGUAUCGGAACAUUCACCGGAUCAGAAGACACCAAACACCACAUCAGUCCAGUUAGAUGCACUAUUUUGGUGCAUGGACAAAAUAGCCACCUGUUGACAAAAUAGCCACCUGCAUCUGAGCAACAAAAAUAUAUCAAAAAUAACUAUUUUGAAAGCCAAUCACCAAUUACUCUUUUAAUCUUAUAUAAGGGCUUUUAUGCAAAAAAAAAAAGACUUUUAUGAAUUUGGUAUUCUUCUCUUUCCAGAGUUGUUAUAGUAUGGUAGGAGCAAACUUGUUACUAAAAUGGAGCUGAAUUAGUUCUGCAGCAAUGCUAACAAAUUGGUCCAGUCAUAUGCCAUAUUAGCUAUUCUAGGGUCCUCAACAUGAACAAUAAUGAUAAUCCAACAAUGUAAAAUGAAUCCAAUCCCAUACGAAGGUAUCAUUAGAAGCUUGAAGGAACUUUUGGCAGGAUAAUUCAGUGCCUUUGUAGACAACACAGGUCAUUGUACUAGGACAUCUUAGUUAACAGAUUUACAAGUUGACAAAUUUAACAGAUUGUGUCAAACUAAUCAUAUCUAUGAUCAUUAUGCUUAGCUUUGAUAUUUUGAGGUGAUUAACACAUAGAUUACGAUGGGUUGGAUUAUGCACAUAAGGCUGAGAUCUAUUGGUUCUCACCAGUUGCCACAUUCAUGGCUAGUGCGGUUGGGAUGGGGACGUGACACCUAAUUCUUGACAGGUACAUGAAAUUCUGACAGCCAAGUAAAAUCCCAAAUUUUUCAGGUUCUAAUUUGCAUAACAAGCAGGUGAAACAAUGAAAAAGCUGCAUAACAAUAUCCUCGAAACGCAAGCAAUGCUUAAAAAACAAGUGACAAGGCAAUAUCCUAUAUAUAGCCGGGUGAGUCGAACAUUGCAAGACCCAAACAAUCAUCAAAUUCAUUUUAUUCUAAAAGCAUAAAAAACCCCUAAUAAUUAGGUUAACCACCAUUGAACCAAUAUUGACACACCAGCACGAUGAAGAUCCCCAAUAUCCCCAAAAAUACAUAAAAUCAUGCCAGAAAUACGAAAAUUAACAUACUCAUUACCUCAAAAAAGAAAAAUUGAACCGAUUUAUACAGAAGAAAAAGGAAUAAGUGGACCUACCACCGAGCUUAAUCGAUUCUUUGGCAUCGAACCCAGAAUUGACGGAAUGGCGAGGAAGGAUCCAGAAGAUCCCGGAGAGGAAAACCGAGAAGCCGAGAAUUAAACGAAGACGCAUCGGAAGCUGAACUCCUGGGCGAUUCUGUUCAAGAAUCUGGAACAUUCGGGACAAAUGAACCCAGAAGCAUCGAGGGUUUGGUGACUCUGAUCCUGGAGGUGCUGCUGGUGCAGGCUUUUCUCACCUUUCCCCAUUUGCAGGGAAUCUGGGAGUCUCACACAGACUUGGGUCUCGCCGUCUCGUCUCUUUCUCUGUCGAAGAAGAAGAAGAAGAAAGGGAAGAAGAAGGAAGGUGAAGAAGAUGUGAGAGAAAAAGUCGUUUUUGACUCGAUUAGGGUGUAGUCUGUGUAAAAUGUCUUUUUUGCCUUGUUUUUAAUGGACCUGAUGCUGGUUACGUCAGCAAACAGACGGUACGGUGACGGAAAUUGGUCUCAGGCCUUUCUUUAGUAGCAAAAAUAAAAUUUAGGUACCACGUUGAUAGUUUUUAAAGUCUAGGUACCACUUUGACCGUGACACAAAAAUUGAGGUACCGGUGCUCUCAAAACUUCUUUUCUAAAAAGCUGAAACGAGAUUAUAUGUUGACACUCAAAUUAGUUACAUUUCUUUCGACAAUCACGUUUAUAAAUGUCACUAGUGAUAACAGACUCAUUAUUUAUUAGCACAACCAACGGCUGGUCUCUAAGAUAAUCUUUUUCUAGUAUUAUACACUUCUAUAUACUUCUAUACUUGUAGAUUUCUUCUUUUUCAGAGGAUCUAUACCUGUAGUUAUAUGAGUAAUAGCGUAUGUCCGACGGACCUAGAGAAUAGAAAGAGGAACAGAUACAGCAUUUAAGUAGAGGACACCAAAAGAGAGAGUGGAAAGGAAGGGAAUUGAAAUUUAAAAAAAGGAAAAGGGAAAAAGGCCAGCAGUGUAUGCUGGAAUGCUCUGAGGUCACGCAUCUCCUUCUCAUCGAUUUCUCCAUUCUCGAUCUGGGUUUCCUUCCUUCCCUUACGGUUCGUCUCUCCAUUCGAUUACCUUCAAUUCCAGUUUUUGUCUUUCUCAAAUCUCACAUCUUUUUGUUGAAAUUUUGUUGCUUUCAGAUCGAAAUCUUGAUGUGAACCAAAAUUGAAUUCUCGGGUUCAAAGCUUUGUGCUUUAUGCCUGGGCUAUUAUUAUAGCUCAGAGGGUGUAAAGGGUUUGGCUGAUUGUUCCAACAAUUGGGUUUGGCUUUGAUUCUUAUGAGCAGUUGAGGGUUCAAGUCUUUUCAGUUUUUGGAUCAAUCUUAGUGAAUUGAGAGUUUGGAGGAUAAAUUUUGUUGUAGACAAUGUUCUAUGGUGCAGUAGUAUGGGACCCUUGGCUCAUUGUUGUCCAAAUUGUGUGCCUUCAAUGUCUCUACUAUCUCACUCUCGGCUUGUUCUUGGCUAUUCUUGUUGGGACUCGCGUGUCCCGAAUGAGCCUUGUGUAUUUCUUUGAUUUCGCUACUGUCACCGUCUCCACUGUCACCGGGUGGUGCGUCAUUGCUUCCUUUGUGCUCAGUGCACUUGCAAGGUGAGAACUCCGUUCGGCUUGUCUUUGCAGUUACAAUCGCUGUUCAAUUUAAUAAGAUUCUUUUUGUUGCAUUGAGUUAUUAUUGUUUAGGAACACAAAGUGGGAAUGCAUUCCAGUUUUAUCUAUUGCUCGUAGAUAUAGAGCUCGUAAAGUUUGUGAGAGGAGAAAGUGUGCUUGUGAUUUGUGAAAACAUCAGUGAAAAUAAUCUGACAUGAACAGUUUAGGUAAUUUCCUGUCUUGUUUGUUUACAGCGCUGGAUAUCUAGUCCUUCUGAUUGAGAGGUCAAAAAAGUGCUUAGAUUUUUCAGUCACCCUGUACAUCGUUCAUCUCUUUAUCUGCAUUGGUUAUGGGGGUUGGCCUUCUUCAAUAACAUGGUGGGUUGUAAAUGGUACUGGAAUUGGAGUGAUGGCUUUGCUAGGUGAAUACCUCUGCAUGAGACGUGAACUGCAGGAGAUCAAGAUCCCUACAACACGAUAUCGCUCAAGUAAGAUCCCCCCUACCACUUAGUAUGUAAAAGUAAAGCUAAAAGUGUGAAACAUAAAGUUCUGUUGUUAAUAUUAAACUUUCUUUCUGCUGCCAGUGAUAUGUCAGUCAAGUUUACUUUCUCGAUUCAUCCUCGUUAAUGACUUGAUGUGUUUUGAUAUUUCUGCUACUUUUUGGUGUGCGCAUCAGGAACUUGUAGUUCUUUCCUAUUUGUUGGUAGUUUUCAUUAAAUAAAAACUUGUUCCUAGAUGAAGAGUAAACAAUAAUCCUGCUACGGUAAAUGCCUGCUUAUUUAGUGAGAUUCUACAGUCUUAAACAUAUGUAGGAGGAACUUAUAUGCUACAGAUGCACUGUUUUUUUUAAGGCACUCAUCUUUUUAUUUCAUGCUUACGUCCUAGCUACGUAGCAUGGAUACGCCGUUUUGGUGCCGUAUCCCAAAUAUGCGGGGACAGGCGUCUGAUUUGGAUACAUAUCUAAUAUUGCGUAUCCAUAAUAAGUAGAAUAUGCGGAGUAUUCUCUUCCUCUUCUCUUCUACCCGCCCAAACAGAGAGGUAUUCUCCUUCUCUUCUGAAUUCAGUUUCGUAGGUUGGGGCAGUGUCUAUGAUGGGGUAUAUGAUCUGGGUUGGGUAUCUUUAUAUAAUUUUCAAUAUAAUCGAAAAUUGAAUAAGUGAAGUAUAGAGGAGAACCAGGGGGGACGUCUGCAAUGUACCGGGUAUUCGAAAACCAAAACAAUGAAUUGACUCUUUUACCCUGUAUCUCUCUUACCCAGAAAGCAAGAGGCUCACUUUCUGAAGAGAAUUGGUUAGUUCAGAGUGAUCUGCUUAUUUCUCUAAGAAAAGGAACUGAAUAAGAAGAUGGCUCUGGCUAAAGAGAUCUUGGGUUGUUUUGUUUUGGUGGGGAGAAACCAAAAGCAUUUCUAAGAAUAAAAAAAGUACAAUUCACAACCUCCAGGAACUCUUCAAUGAGGUUUCUUAAUUAAGAACUGUACUUCAACUGCAGUUGAUGGGUUAAAAGACUCCAUGUUUUGCAGCUUCCCUCUAUACCAUGAAGGAUGGUUACCAUCUCUGCACUUUACAGCAAUUUCUUUUGGGAAUAUAACUUCUAAAUUGGGAAACUGAGGUUUUAUAAUCUUUAAAUGAGGGGUUAUGUGGCAACUUCUUCAAUUUUCGUCUCAUCCUGACAGGUGGUUAUGGAAGGGUUGACACGUAGCUACUUAUUUAUGGUUCUUGAAACACCUCUACUGCAGCUCCCAUAGAUGAAAAUGGGAAUAGGAUAGCAGCAAUGCAAUGCUAUUUUGUUUAGCCGGCGUAUCCGUCAUGUAGCUUUGUCUCAUCAUAUUUUACAUUUGGCGUGGCCGCGUAUUGUGUCGGAUACGGAUACUCGUACCCCUAUCCGUGCUUCAUAGCAUCCUAGGAUAGUUCCAUGGCUUGCAUUAGGAUCACUAUUCUGCUUCCGUUUCAAUUGGUCCAACUAAGAUUUGAUAAAGAGCAAUUGCAUUGUUGCCCUUGUCUUUCUUCACAAGUUGUUGUAAUGUAUGCAAAUUAAUUUGGAACUAUAUCUAUGCAGAUGUUUGACCGAGGAGAAACACAACAUGCCAGAAUUGUGGGGUUAUAGAGGGUACUCGUUUCUUUGGAGGAGCUUCAGGAUAAAGCUCAUGAACACCACAUACAAUAUUGGAUGAGAAGAAAUGCUUUAGUCUGUGGAUUCUUUUGUCUAUGCUGGUGGUAAUUUACAUAGAACUUCUGUAAAAGUUUGAUACAGUGCUUCAAAUGAUGGGAGUUGUGAGCACAUGAGACUAGGUCUAGGUAUUGUUAUAGGAAAAUCAUAAUGUACAAUUUUAGGUGCAGCAAUGCAUAUAAUGCUUCUGAUUUCAUUUUUUUCUCCCUUCUUUUCUGUUUCCACAGAGAUAAACAUUAUCAAUUCAGUUUAUAUUGUUAGUGUUAUUAUGAUUCUCUUUAUAAUCUGAAGGAGUUUCUUGGUAAUUUUUAUUGUUUGGUUGGAUGCUAUUGAUUAUUGUAGGACUAUUAAGAAAUUUGCUACAGAAACCUUUAACCUUGUAAUACUUGAGCAAAUUUUUCUUUCAUGCUUGCCUUAAUGAUUGUUAGUAACAUAUUAUAGUUUAGCUAGAAGCCUGGGUUUAUUGCAGAAAGCAUGCAUAUGAGAGUUAUAUAUGUUGCAAUCAUAUGGAAAAAUUGCAUUUAAUCACGUCUAAAAUGGAAUUUUUCUGAAGUGGGACAAGGUAUGAGUUAGAUUGAUGAUUAAUUGGCUCUAUAUGUAUCACAAAAUCGAACAUCCUUGGUCAUUUUGAUAACUCCCUGCUGACUGAUGAGCUACGAGCUUGUUAGAUUUCAUGCUUCUGUAGAAUGCAAGUAUGUGGAUUCUCACCUUUCUACUCGUAGUUCUGGUAAUUUUAUUGCUCAUCUUUAUCUUAGUUACACUCAGUAACUGAGUAGUUUAUCUCAAUCAUCUGUAUUUCCGCUAAACAUGCCAAGGGGUUGGUUAGAAACUAAGAAUAUUAGAAAAUCUAGAUCGGCUAAUUUUAGUCUUAGGAAAUACAUGGUGGCGGACAAUUUUUGUAGUGCCUUUGAGAUGAUUUUGCUUCGUAGCAUAACAAUGAAUUUGGUAUUCAUUGAGGGCAAAUCUGAUCAUGAAGCUAUCUGUCUCACUAUCUUCAAUGAACUAGCAUGAAAUUCAAUACUCAAUAGCUAGUUAAGGUGAAGCUUAACCUUGGUCAUUGAACAUGGAGGCAAAAAAACUUCUAUAUUUGCUUGUAUUUUUUGCCUCGGAUAAAUAAGAGUAAGGCUUCUAUAUUUGCUUGUAUUUAGGCAAAAAUGAGUAAACACAUAAAAUCUACUUGGGAAGAACUCAAAGUAAACUGGAACUUUGAUUUUGUACAAUGGAAUAUUCAGGUUUACCACAUAGAAAGUGUUCCUAAAAAAUAAAAUAAAAACAAACUUGUCCAAGUAGCUGUAGAAAGAAGGCGACACUUGCAUUUCCAACCCUCUCUGGCUCAUAAUUUGCAUACUGAACCCUGCAAUAGUUUUUGCUUUUUGGUAGUGGGCGCUUGAAUAGCUUCACAUGGAGUGCAUCCAUAAUUUCUUCUCACAGCUUGGAGGGCUUCACCCUUUUUUGUUUCCCCCCUCUGUAAUUAUAUCCCCUACUUGAGCUUGUCAAUCCCCAAUUUGAUAGAGAAACAAUGUCAAUUACACACACUAGGCUAAACAGACACACCUACACAGGGAAGAAGCGAGGGACCUGCCCCAAGGUAAAUUGUGAAAACUGAUGUGGGUUCUGUAGAUAAAAUCAAAGAUAUCUGCUUUGCCUCCAUCAAUUAGUUGUUGAAGCAUGUAUGUGGAGAGGCGUGGCUAUCGUUGCGGAGUGUUUCAUCUUCGUACACCGUUCCGGCUUCCAGGGGAGGACGAGGUUUUGAUUUGAUUUGAUUUAAGCUCUUCAAUAUGAAAGCAAGCCACCGUCAGAGAGCUGAUCCAUUUACUGUUGAAAGUACAACCCUCGUGGCUGCAACCCAAUUUUAUGUCAGCUUAUUAAGCAAUCCAGUAACAGGUUUGAGUACACACACAAGAUAGCUGGGUCUCUUUCCAUCAUGGGUCUGAACAUCCAACUAUCAUUGAAAAGAUGUACAUGUACCUGCUUCUUCAUGUGGCUGUCUACCCUGAGCUGCCUGUCGUUGUUGCCGUUUGGGACUCACUUGCAUCAGGUAUAGUCCCGGUCUUGUUGUUCCUGCAGUACCCAGUAUUGGUGUUCCUUCAACUAGGGGUUUGGAGGGAAUGAGAGUUGAUACUACUGUGGAAGCAGAGGCUCCCUCACGUGUUAUUUGUACCGAGGAUCUUCCAGUAGGCAAUGUACAACUGAUCAAUCGUUUGCCCAAUGUCAUGCGCAUUGCAUUCUCCAGUGGCUGGAGAUCAGUGGCGUAUGCCCCCUCGGCAGAGCCGAAUGCAGCAAGCAAUGAUAUCUUUGAUACUGGUUAAGGCUCAUGUAUAGGCCAAUGCAGCCUCCCUUAAGAGGUGCCCAUGUCUUCUUAACUCUAUUAGUUUCGUUCUUAAUUGUCGUCUUAACUGUUAAGCUGCUACUAAAUCAAAUCAAGCUUCACAAUUUUCGCAUUGUAUAUCGUCUUUGCUCUAAUUUGUUAGGAACCAUGCGACAUUGUCCUGCUUUAUUUGCUGAUAUUAUAAUGACUUUGUACUUCAAUUAGGGUUGCCAUACAAUUGGGGAUUUGGGGUUACUUCUUAGGUUUCAUUUGGGAUCAUUUUGAUUUCCCUAGACAAACAAGUUGGAUUUAGUCAUGAUGCUUUGCUGUUUACCUUAAAACCAAGUGGUCAGAUCCCUAAGACAUCUAAAAACAAGUCAUUUAUGUUCUUUAGUUCACCUUACUAUUCAUGGUUGGUCAAGAGAUUACUUACAUAUUAUAUGGUGAAAUUUCGAUAUCUUAUGCCUUUCCGGCAUACAUGGCGAGCCUGCAGCCACCCUUUCAUUGUUUCUGCUAUGUAUGCAUAGAUCUGGUCAUGUGAGCAUGUAACAGUUUAGGUUUCACUUGUUUUAAUUUAAGUGAGUGACUUCUCUUGAAAUAGGUUCUACUUUGUGUUUUCUUCUAGUUCCCCAUGAAUCCAUGAUGUGAUUAUGCUUUCGUAUUGAUUAGUAGAGGUUUGGCAGAGACGGCAGACUGUAAAUCCAUCUUGGCAUACUUGUACUGUAAAUGGAAUGUUGACGGUAGAGGGUUCACCACUAUACUGAUAUUCGAUAGGCUUAGCUAUUAGCCAAUUAGUAUGUUAAAUUAGAUAUCUUGAUCGAAAUGCUUGAGGUUUGUUUGGAACACUAGAAAAGUCAAGGCUCCUCAAUUUUUAGAGGAGGCAUUUUGCAGGUCAAUUGAAGUUCCUUUUGUGGUUCCUCCCAUCAACUGCUUUAGCAUAGAUAGGCUUUGCACUAUUGACAGAGAAAUUGAUCAUUUCAUUGUGCUGACUUUGUGCUCAACCGUUGUUGUUGCCUGAGCAUAAGUCCCUCUGUUGCCAGAAUGAUUAGUUGAUUACUAGGGCAGUCACUAUGUUCCCCAUUUUUGAAAUUGAUGAAUGGCGGCCUUCAGAGUAAGUUGCUUUUAUCACAGCAGUGGAGUUGCAUAAAUUUUACGUAUGGUUUUUAUUGUGGUUUAUUAGAUUGAUCUCUCGGCCAUUAGGGUUUUAGUGAUUUACCUAUCAUUGCUGACGGUGCUUCAAAAAUUCUUGCAUAAACGUCUAACCAGUUCUUCUCAUUACAUCUCUUGUCUUGCCUAGUUUGUAAGAUAGAAAUUCGAUGAAUGCGAAGAUGAAGCUUAAACUAUGAUCAAAAGUGAGAACUUGGAGUUUAACAACUUUCUAAUUCAACCAAAAUGGUUAUUUUCCAUGGAUUCCCCACAAAAAGACAUCACAAAGAAAAUACCGCUGGCAUUACUAAAGCUCUUCCUAGACUGUCCAGCAAGCAGUGGCUUUAGCCAUAUUUAUAUACUUUUUUUUUUUUUGGUCGAGAAGCCAUAUUUAUAUACUGGGCCAUCCAGUCCUACUGAGGUCCUUUAGAAGGUCAUGCUCGAGCCUUCCAUAGUGAUGAUGUGUCAGCCACAGCUUCUCCAACUGUGAGAUAGACUCCAUUCAAUCCGAAUGACCCCAAAGUCUUUGAUUGUUGUAGCUUUUCCAUCACGCUUCCAACAGGAUUUGCCAACACAAGCUAGGGUAGUAAACAACACCAAUGUACCAAGAUGAGAAAAUAUGUCUUCCCAGAAACGCCAGAAAUUCAAUAUUCAUUGCAAUAUUAGCAAACCCUUACCUGAAGCAAUCUUUUCUCUAGCAUCUUUCUGAGUUCGGACAAUGUGUCGAUACCACUAGUGUCGAUGGCUGUCACAGCUGAGAGAAUAUGUAUAACCGUUAGUCUAAUGUAGAAAGCAUUUGCAACGGCAAUUUUACAUAAUGUUAAUGUAAAGAUAGGUGAAUUCAUGUAACCUCAUACCUGUCAUGUCUAAAAUUACACAUUUCAAUAUGCCCUCAUUGUUUGAUUUUAUCCUCUCUUCUUCUUCGCGAACCCAUCUUAGUAUUCUGUAGUAGCAGAAUCCGCAAGUUAGAAAACCAUGGCCAGAAGUUUCUCAUUAACACACCAUUUCUUAGAGUAAAAGUGUUUUUCAAAACCCUCUGAUACAACAAGUCUUUAACUUUUAAACCCUGAUUUGCUAAUGUCAUGAGAGAGUAGUUGUAUACAACUGUUACAGGGAAAAUUUUCUUGUCAAAGGGGUGUGAAGUGUAACUAACCUCUCUUGUAGGUAAGUUGAAUUUGCAAAGUAGAAUGGUGCCUCGAUAGCUAGAAUAAGAAAUGAUGGAAUCCUUGAAGCUUCUCCGUAUCUAUUGAGAUUCUGGUAUAUUUGUGUUCCUGGAAUAUUCCCCAAAGCCAUGGUGUUUGGUCUGGUGACAUGAAGGAGGAUCUUGAAAACUGAUACUCCAACCUGCAUUGUACAGAGAAGUUGUUAGAGAUUGAUGAAUGAUGAUGGAGAAAUGACAUUUAGGAAAAGGAUAGAAUUUUUUUUUUUCUAAAAGAAAAUUGUAAGUUUGUGAAUCGUGCAACUAAAAUUAGCUUCGUUGUCUCGCAUUCUAAUCUAGUUGACAUGGUCAAUUAAAAGACAACAGAAUACUUGAGAUUAGGAAAUCUUACUGCAAUUGCGAGACCAAUUGGGACAGAAAUGAAAAGAACGCCGAAGAAGGAGCAUAAACAGGCCAUGCAGUCAAGUUUGUCGACUUUCCACAAGUCAUAUGCAGCUUGAUAAUCAAUUAGUCCGCUCACAGCCGUUAAGAUGAUGGUGGCUAAGAUAACAUUGGGGGUGUAAUAGAAGAGUGGCAUUAGAAACAGAAGAGUUAUAAGCACAGCUGCGGCCAUAAUAAUGUUUGAAACAACUGUUUUUGCUCCAGCAUUGUAGUUGACUGCAGAUCUAGAGAAUGAACCUGAAAGUAAAUAAUGUGCUAUUAGUUGUUGCAUCUAACCAGCGCACUUGCAUUGCUUUAGGAUAGUCUACGUAUCAUAUUGUAGGAUCGAUCUUUACCUGUGGUAACAUAACAUGAAGAACAAGAACCACAAAUGUUCAUGAGCCCAAUUGCCAUCAUUUCUUUGUUUCCAUCCACUUGGUAGUUUUUCAGAGAAGCAAAUGUUCUUCCUACUGCAACUCCUUCCUAUUACAUAAAAAAAAAAAAAAAAAAAAUGCUUGUAUAAUAGCUGUAGGUGUAUAACUACUUAGUAAGGGUCGAGAAUUAAUGAGAAUCUAUUGCAUUUAAAUGUAGUAUACAACCUCUAACAUCACAUAAUUAUUGAUCAAAUGAUCACCAUGUGAAGGGUUAGUGGAUGUAUGCUGUACUUUACUAGAUAAAUUUGCCAAAGUAAAAGAGAAGGGUACGAUUUGAGGUGACUUACGGUCAGAGACAAGAUCCCAGUUAUAAUGCCAGUUUUUAUAGCAAGAGCUAGGUAAGGGCCACUGAAGUAUAGCAUGUUUGAUGAAGGUGGAUUAACACCCUUUGGCAAAUGACCAAUCUGUUACACAAGUUUUCAACUUUAAGAAAGUACUUUAUCAAGAAUAUUCCAUGUACCACCAAAAUUAGACACUAGUUCUUACAACAGAGAUUUUAGGAUUCUUUGAAUGGAGGAGGAAGACUAUGAGUGUCGAAACAAUAACUGAUGUCAAUGGAGCUGCUGCUGCAACCCAGAAGAGUUUGGGGUUUCUUUUGCUCUGUUCAAAACAACAAAACCAAACAACAUUUAUAACUUGAAAAGAAUUGAUACAUACUUGUAAGUGUUGACAGUGUCGAAAGACACUUACAAUAUGCCUGGUUAUGAAUAGAAACAGCAGGAAGCUGAAGCCCAUCACAAUUGUUUGCCAUGACCACUGCACAUCAGAAAGAAAAUAUUACUAAACGCAGUUCCUCCAUCAGUAACAUUUCGAUUAGAACCACUGCAGAUUUUGCAUUAAUAUUCUUACCAUAAAAGAAAUUUUUUUUUUUGAGCCCCCAAAACACCUCUGUAGUUUAACUUGCCCCCAAAACACCUCUGUAGUUUAACUUUCAACCGAACAUUGCUCAAAAGGAACAAUAUGAAAUACUAGUUCCAUACAAUGGUAGACUAACUCAAAAUUAGACUUGGCUAAUUAGCCAAUACAUUUAGCAAGUUUAUGUCUAUUUCGAAUUAAUUUACUUCGUAUAUACGGAGUACUUUCCAAAAUCCAAAAGCACUUCUAAGCAUACGUACAGACACAUGAAAUGACCUUAAAUUUUUCAACUGUUGGAAACAAUAAGCAAAGCAAGUAGGAGAUUCUCUUAAUUAUAAACUGAAAGAAAGUUGACACCUGCUUGGUUAUAAUAAAGCGUCAUGUAGAUACCUUCCAGUUUUGUAAAAUAUAUUUGGAACAUUUUGAUCACAAUGAGAAAGUAACCUUUACGAAAUAGCAAAGUAAUCUUUUUCUCAGAGCAUUAUUGACAGUAGCAAGAAAGUUCUUCCCAAUAGUACCUUCAUGAUUCUAUUCCAAGAUUUCGCUCAAAAGUCUUAAUCUUUGUUUAAGAAAAUGAAGAACAAAUUGCUUGAUCCUGCUCAAGGAACUUAAAUAUAUACCUCCUGUCUGUGGCUGAAAACUGAGGCCAUGACUGGAAUAAAUUGCAUUUUGGUGGUGAAGUGGACAAUCCCAAGCAAUCCUUUCAACUGUUGCAGGGAAACAAUGACUGCUGCACCGGCCAUAAAUCCAACUAGAGUUGCCUUUGACAGAAAAUCAAUUAUGAAGCCUAGCCUGUAACACAAUAUACUAUUGAUUAGUUGCAAUUUUUUUUUAAUAAAUAUCAAAAUAAUUCGUAGUCCAGUAAACGUAAUAAUUAGUAAUAUUAAAAUGUUGUUGCUGUCAAUUUUUCUGCAGGUGAUUACUUACCUUAGAAAACCCAGAGAAGCCUGGAAAAUACCAGCAACACAUGUAGCUGUGAAGGCCAACUUCAGAUAAAGGAUUGGCUCUUCAGUACUAGAGACAACCUCACUUAACAUUGAUCCCAUGACUAAUGAUGCUAUUGAAACUGGACCAACAGCAAGAUGCCUUGAACUCCCAAGCAGUGAAUAUAUCAGUGGGGGCACAAAACUUGAGUCUACAUAAAACCCAAUUAGAAUAUAAGUGAUCAUUGUAAAUAACUGUUGUAUUAAAUAAUCUAAUAAUAUAGGAUUAAGUUCAAAUAUUGGUACUAACAUAGCCCAACUAUUGGUGGCAAAUUUGCAAGCUUUGCAUAACUGAUACCCUGCAAAAGUUGAGAAACAAGUUCAAUCAGAUCACCCAGAACCUGAGUUGUCUUCAAGUUGUAAAUAUUUAGGAGACUAACACUAUAGGAAUAUAUACCAUAUUUGAUUCCAAACAGAACAUGGCCAUUUGGUUUACAUGAAAGAUAAAGACAGAACUUUUAUAUCUGAAUGAAGAUGAAUGGAAAUUGCAUAACCCACCUUUUGGAUUUUCAUUAAAACCAUAGCCACCUUUAUUCUUUUUUCUUAAUCAGAGCCAUGCAACAAUAAAUGCAGAGAACACAAAAUGACAUUUGUACCUGAGGAAUUGCAAGGCUAGCAAUAGUGAGGCCAGAGAUGACAUCAGACUUGAGAAGUUGAGCAUUGUACUCAGGAGCCCACUGGAAUAUUGGGAACAAGAAUUGAAGACCCAGGAGCAGUUUUCUGAACCAAGUUUGGUUCUUGAACCUGUGAAGUGGGUUUUCUGGGAAAAAGAUCUCACCAAGCCUAUGUUUGAGUUUCUGCAAGGUGCUCUGUUUUGGUGGCAGACAGACCCUGUGGAUUUCAAGCGGUGGCAUUGCCUCUAAGUCUAUGUCUGAUGGGAUUCUCACAGUGGUGGUUUGAUGAUGAUCAUGGUGGCAGGGAAGGUCCUCAACUCUGUUUGAGUUGACACCCAUCUUUGAUUGUGAUCUUCACACUUGUACUCUCUCCUCUCUCCCUCGUUAAUAGAGAAAACAGAACGAGCACCCUGGAAGUUGGUAUGAAAUGAGAUUAUGAGAGUAUGGAUUUGUAUUUAUAGGCCAUUUGAAGGAAGUGGGGGUGGCAAGUGUAAGAAGGAGGUUAUUAAUACAGUUGUUCAUUUCCUACUGAGGGGCUUGUUUUGUAAUAUUUGUGUUCAAAGCUUCUUCUUCUUUUCUUCUUUUUUUUCGUUCUUUCUUUCUUUUUUCUUUUAAUUAUUUUUAUUUUCUUCUUCUUUUUUAGAUGGAGCAGUCGUUAUCUAUGUUAUAAAUAUUAUAAUAUAUCUGGUUGUCCACGUAAUUACUCAUUAGUUAUGUACUCUGAUGUAAACUCUACCUCUAUAUAAAGAUGCUAAUGAAAAUAAAUGAGUAGACUUAUGUCUCCUCCCAACUAUUCUCUCUGUGUCUUCUCUUCUUUUCUUUACUUUACAAUACGUUAUCAGCACGACUCUACCUUUGAAUUGAUAACGAACAUUUUUUUCUCUCCUUAUCUCUAACUCGAUGAUGAUCUGAAAGCCUAGAUACAACUUUGUUGUUUUUCAUUGACUAGGUACUCUUGAUCUGUGAGUCUCAAUUUCCAUAAAUCAAUUCUCAGUUUCUCAAUUUCUAUUAGUUCAAUUGCUAAAUAUAAUUAGCAGCAAUUCGAACAAUUGAUCAUUAAUUUUAUUUUUAUUUUUUACUGUUAACGAUAACAAUUAGGAUGGUGGGUGUUUGAUACCAUACAUACUUUAUCUUGCAAUUACAUUUAUUAUGUAUAUCUAUUAGUGCUUGAUUCGUUCAUAUCAAAGACCAAAUUGGUUUUCUAUGAUUGGAUAGUUUAUUUUACGUACUGUUUUGUUUUUCUUUUUUUCUUUUUUAUUAAACUCUAUGAUGAUUUAAGAGUAUUUGGUGAUUGAUUUUUGCCCAAAACUCAUGAUCUACGAGUCAUACCUUUUAUUGUUUAAUUAUCCUCUCUGUGUGCAUCGGCUCCUCUAAUAGGCAGCCACGGUUUUUUUUUUUGUUUUGGUAUGUGCAAUUCAAUUAGUUUGUGUAAUCAAUAAUUAAUUCUAUCUAUGAUAAGCUAUUUAUGUUUCCCUCAUCAAUCUCUCUGCAAACAUAACUUGUCUUGUUUGUUCUUUGUCAUUAGUUAGUAUGCACACAUAAUAGGAGAUGAUUUCAGUUCGUCUUGCCUAUACGAUCUCAUACAUAUGAUUACAAUUUCUUCUUUCAUAAAUAUAUAUUUAUCCUUAUGGUAUGGACGAAAAGUUUCAUGUUCCUCUUCUCCAUGAUAUAGAACACAGAGCCUUCCGAUUUUUUUAUUUCAGGUAAAAAUUUUCAUGUUUUGACUAAUUUGGAUUCAAUUUGUACAAUACCUUAUACAAUUUUAUUUUUCUGAAUUGAGAACAAACUCACGUUUACAACUAGUUUUUUGUGAUCAUAGAUCUAGACUUUAAGUCUCUAGCUUGAUCAAACUACAAGAGGACCUGAAGUUCCUCAAAUUCCUCAAAGAAUAAUAUAAUGAAAUUGCGAUAUGAAGAUUCUCAAAGCUCAUGCAAUCAAAGAGGGCCAUAAGUCCCUUAAAGUCAUAUAUAAUAUGACAGAACCACAUCUUGUGAUCCAAUGACGAACGCAGGAUUAAAUUUAAGUGGGGGUAAAAAAAAAAUUAAUAAAAAAAACGAAUAUUACGAAAUGAGCUAGUUCAUAUCUGUUAUCAAUACUUUUUACCUUCACAAGAAACCUUUAAUCCAUACAUCUCUCAGUAUGAAAGAAAUAAAACAAAAUUGCAUUUUUGAGCAAAACAUAACAAUUAUUAAUCAAUAGUUCAAUCUAACUCUAAUUAUAUAGAGAAAGAAAAGAAUUACAGGAUAAAAAAAGAAAAAAAAAGAUGAGACUCGGUAAAAAUCAUCAACCUGCAAAGCAAUACAUCUACAAAAUUAAAGAGUAUUUUUAUUCAUUCCCUUAUAUUUGCGGGCCAGCAAACUCAGUUUUCCACCAAGUAAAUAAACAUUACUUAUAUGAAUAAAAGAUAUUGUAUUGAUAUAGAGUAAGUUUGGGUCUUUCCAUUGGUUUCUAACGGGGGCAAUUGUGUUCAGACAGUUUUACUUUGUGAAAACUAUGGACCAAAUCUACCGAGAUCAAAAAAAUGAGUGGGGGCAGCUGCACCUACUCGCCCCCACCUGCGUCCGUCAUUGUUGUGAUCCCUAGUUAUAUGAGGGCCCGAAGUUUCUCACCUUAUUUUGAUAUUAGGGAUGUUGUGUAAUUAGAGGAGAGAAACAAUAUGAUCAUCUAUGUGAAGUUAACCAGACCAGAAGUUCUAUGUAUUUUAUUCAUUCAUGAAACCAGAAGUUUCCUAUGUCAAUUUAUUUUUUGCUCUUUACAAUUAUUUCUUUAUUUUGUUAUGUGCUUACAUUACGUUACAUAUUGUUUAAAUUUUAUUGUUAUUCAUACGGGCCAACAACCCUAUAUGUCGAAGAUAUGAAUUUUGAAUGCAUGUAAUAUUGAACCAAAAGUUUCAAUAUUGUACUAUAGAACUUGAAGUUCUAAUAGUAAAAAUUCAAACUUGAAGCUUCGAGUACAAAAUACAAAUUAGUGUGACCCAAAUGUUCACUCUACCUAAGAACUUGAAGUUCUAACCGUGCAGACUCGAGCCUUAAGUUUCGAGUAUAUAUAUUUAGACAAUUUAUCUUGAAACUUUAAUGUUGUCAACCUCAAACCUGGAGUUUUGAGGGGGAGUCAUAUUGUCAUCAAUAUAGAUAAGCGAUAUCUAACAAUUGGUCUAAAUUUAUGAUGCACAAGUACGAGUAUACUCUUUGCAAUUACGUUGCCACCUCAAUGAGAUACUCCUCUUGUAUUAAGGGGGAGAAAGAUUGUUCCUGAAGAACAAUGUAAAUUGGUGUGAGUUGUCCAUCCAUCAUCUUAUUUUGGUUUUGAGAAAUAUUUCAGCAAAUGAGUUAAUAAAAGAUCUUGACAAAAGUAUAUGCUAAACGCAUAAGCAUUUUGCUUGGGUUAAAUUGCCUAAGACCAACCAUAUUGACAUAAACAAUAUAGACCCUAUUUGAUUUGUGGGAUGCACAUGUAUCCAAGUGAUAUGGUUCUCCUGAAGAGAAUGUCAUGAUACAAUGUUAGAGUUCCUAAUACGGCUACACAUACAAAGGUUGUAUGUACGCCAUUAGAGAAUGAUAUCUUGGUUGAUAUUAAUGAAAUGAAUAUAAUGUUUUUGACCUCAUACUUGGUUUAGGUUCUCCACCAGCCAAUGAACAUCUCACUCGAAAGAAAGUGAUAGAUCUUUAGACGCAAUAUAUGUUCAUGGUCAAAAUAAGACAGUCUUCCCGCCGUUAUGGAGAGAAUAAGACUACUGUCAUUUGAAUAACGGCGUGAAUUUGAAUGAAAUGUAUCCACUGGAUCUAAAGUUUUAAGCUCCUGAAAAUGGAAGAUUAUACAGGUCCUCUAAUGGUCUACGUGAUACUACAAGUAAAAUAUCCACAUUCUCUAGAUAAUAUUUAUUCUAGAAGUGACAAUAUUUGCCCCAGAAGUGGCAUGAGUACCCAAUAUAAAAAAUAGCAUGCAUAUAAGAAUGUGUGGGAUCUAUGAAUGAUGAUCAUCUAUGACAAUUUACAAAUGGUAGCUACCAAAGACCAUUAAGGACUGUAUUAAUCGAUGCUAUGUCACGUUUCAUUAUGCAUGUCGACAAAACAUAUUAUUAGCCAAAUUAGAAAGAGACAAUUCCAAUGAAACUAAAUAUUUGAAACGUGAUGAGAUACUUUGACCUUUAACCCUAUAGAUACAAAAGGGUAUGUACCACAGUGAAAGUAAAUCACUAUGAUUUAAUGUCUACAAAAGACAUGGGAUUAUGAAUCUGCCUUUAUACGAAUGAUACUUUUCUAUAAGUACAGUGUUACAUGUAACUAUUAUAUGGACGAGAGACUUAUGACAUGUUGUCAUCGUAUAUUACGAUGGCCUUUAAAGACACAUUGAUAAACCAAAUUCCCAGAAGUGAAGUGUCAUUACCAGUGUAUCGCUGGUCAAAUCCUCAAAGGAUUCAAGUACAUGAAUGAUUCUAAUGUAAUUCGGUCCAUGAAUACUUGAGAGAGCUUGAAGCUAAUUCAUGGAAUCAAAUAGUCUAAAGUUAACUCAUAUAUACUCAUUCUGUUAUAGCUAACGUGAUCGAAAUUGUUUCAAUGAGUAUUAUGAUCAGACUACACAAUCGAAUUCGAAUAAUGAUCAUUAUGUUGCUACAUAUUCUAACUCUUGGGAAGUUAUGAAUUACUCAGAGCUCUUGUAGAGUUUAUAUGAGACGUAUCAUACACGGAGAUAUUGAUGUGUAUGGCUGGAUACGCCAUGAUGAUGUUUCAAUGCUUUAAUGUCAAUUAGCUUAUGUUGAUUAACUAUUACUUAGUGUAUGAAUUAGGUCAUACGACUUAAUGAGGUAAGACCUAUUUAUAAUCGUCUAGCUCUAGCUGUUGUUAUUACUUUAACUUUGCAGGUUUGAAAUUUCAUGAUGAGCCCCUAUAUGCAAAGCACGCAUGCAUGGUCUCACUUUAAUGAUGGACAAAUCAAACCGUUAUUUACGGCACAUGAAGUUUGCAACGUUCAGGGGGAGAUUCUCAUCAGGGGGACCAUCCAAAAGUAUGCUACCUAAGACAUAUGCGCGUUGUACUCUUUUUCUCUUUUGACCAGGGUUAUUUUUCUCCCACUGAGUUUUUCUUACCUAACAAGGUUUUUAACGAGACAACAUUAUGCGCUUCUAAUUUCAUCAUUCAUUGGUGGACAUCCAAGGGGGAGUGUUAUAAAUAUUAUAAUCUAUGUGGUUGUCUACAUAAUUACUCAUUAGUUAUGUACUCUGAUGUAAACUCCACCUCUAUAUAAAGAGGUUAAUGAGAAUGAAUGAGUAGACUUAUGCCUCCUCCCAACUAUUCUCUCUGUGUCUUCUCUUCUUUUCUUUACUUUACAAUAAUCUAGAUUAUGUUCUAAUUUUAGACUAUGUUCUAAUUUACAUCCAAUUUUUAAGUGACAUUUUAAAUAAAAUCCACUAAAUAUAUCUUUUCGAUAGACACCUAAAAUAAUGUGUCAAUUAUAUAUAUAUAUAUAUAGGGAGGAUCGUAAAGGGGAGGUUCUUACUUUAAGAAUUUGAGGAUUUCUACUAUUUUACAUUAGUCGAUGUGACUUCUUUUAACGAUCUCAACCGUUGAUCCUCUAGAUUCAUAUGCAAGAAACAUGUAUACAAAAUUUCAAAUAAUUUCAUAAUCAUUUGGUCAUUCAAAUUAAUGUAAAUAAUUGUAGGCCGUUAGAUAAAAUUAAAACGAAUAUUGUGCUAAUCAAAUGGUUAAACGUUUUUUAUUUUGGCUAAUUUUUUGUCAGAUUCAUAUAUGGGUAAGUAACUAGGGAAUGGGUGACUUUGAUUGUCAAAAUACAUGUUAUAACUAAAAAUAUCUUUACUUUAACAGUUUUAAGAGGCCCUCUCUAGAUCCAUAUUUUUUCUAAAAUUUACACAGAUUGCCAUUCAACUAACAUUAACAUAAGAAAUUAUCUUAAUUGAUGCUAUAUCUUGAUUAUGUGUUUUUCUUGAAUACUAAUUUGUUGUUUCAAUCAAUUUCAUUACUAUUGCAAGAAUCAUGGAGUUUUUCUAUAUUUUUAUGAAAACGUUAGGUGAAAGAGAAAUUUUAAAUACACACAUUUAAUCUCUUAAUACACACCCCUAUUAUUUUAUUUUUUACAUCAGAAUUUAUGGGUAUGUUUAAUUACAAAAAUAUCCAUCAAUUAUUAGGGGAAAAAAUUAAAAUAAAAAUAAAAUAAAAACUUCAUUUUUUCUAAAACCUAAGUCUUCUCCACUAUUACUACGCAUCAAAAGAAAAAAAUAAAAACCUCUUCUCCAAAAUUCAUCACUUGAAUUUCGACUACUACCGUAAUUAUAUGUACUAUUUACCGAUUCAUUUGGUUUCUUUUUUAUCAACUUUAGUUUUUUAUCUUGCAGACUAAAAAAUCAGUUUUUUAUGCUAUUGUACUUCUAUUAGUUUCUUAACUUUGAAAAAAUUAUGUAUGUUCAAUAUUUUUUUUUCUUCAAAUUCUAGCCGAUUGAUGUCAUAUUAGAGAUUUGAAGUUCGAAAAUAAUAUUACUCUUUUGAUUAUAAAUUGAAAAAUAUCAAGAAAAAAAUUUCUAACCUGAUAAAAAAAAAUCUAACUGAAAAUAAAGAGAAUACGUAAAAGAGCUGUGAAAUAGUAAAUAUAUAAUAAUUAUAUUAAAUAAUAUAUUAUUUUUAGUUUUAGAUAUUGAGGGUAUUUUAGGCAGUUUGGGAUGUGUAUUUAGUAUAAUAUUGAAAUGAAAAACUAGAUGAGUAGUGUAUUAAGUAAAUGGUGUGUAUUAAGAAAUUAUGGGUGUGUGUAUUUAAAAUUACUCUAGGUGAAAAGGAAUUCAAACAUUUCUCUAUGCGCAAGGUAUAAUUAUAAAUGAGACAAGAGAGCCUUUCUCUCCCUAAACCCUAAAGCGGCACUUGGUCGUCCAGUAAGAGAAGCUGCCCGGUCCAGCGACACGCCCCCAUGACGUCGUUGUCAAACGGGCUAUGAGAGAUAGGCUUUAUCUGAAAGUCAGGUGAGGGGAGCGAAGCUUUUGUUUUCACCAUGCAGAGCGAGGUACGCCAUGACGAGCAAUGGGAAAAGUGGGAGCAGCGGCGCUUUGUUCUAGGGAGGAGGGCCAGGGAACAGAUUGGUGGGUGAUUUGAGGAGGUACGUCGAGACUGGAAUUCAUCUAAGGGUGGUGGCCGGGCGUCGGCGUCUGCGUCGCUAAAACCCAUUCGAUCGGAUUUUGCCAACCCAAUUUGGGUAUGGCGGGUCUGAUGUAAUAAGGAAGAGAGGUGUUGGCCGAAGGAGGGUGGGUGAAGGUGGUGCUGCUGCAAUGCGAAGACAUCGUGAAGUGGCGGAUGAACGACGGCAAAAGUCUACUGCACUCUGUCAAUUGGGAGGGCUAGCUUUUCUAUUUAGUCUUUCUAGUUUUCUAAGCCCAUCUUGUUUUAGGCCUCUAGGGUUCUAAAUUAGUUUUGCUAAUUUAUUUCCAAUAAUUUUUCUAGGGUUCUAGGAAUCUUAGGGUAGGUUUUGUGCCUGCAUAUUAUGAUGUUUCUUUUACAUCUAGAUAAUGAAAACUUUUGACACACCGUAAUUGAGCGCCUUAGCAACAGAAGUUUUUAUGCAAAAUUAUCUCUAUGUAGGGUAAGAAUAUAGUUUGCUAGGCUAAUCUUAGAUGAGCAGAAAUGUAUAAUGUAAUGAUAUGUGAAUCACCUUUGAGGUCUGUAUCGGUGUUAUUUUGGCUUGCGACUAUUAAUACAAUGGGUUAUAUACCUGCCUUUGUUUCAAAAAAAUAUAUAUAUAAUUAUAAAUCCAUUUAAAGAAACCAAGAGUGCAUGCAGCCACUCGCGAGAAACCCUAGAGAACCCUCUGUCAAAUUUUCUAGUCUCGUCCAGCUGCGUGGCGAACAUGGUGAGGUCCUCUGACCUUGUUGGUGUUCCCAAAGUGUGGUCGGACAAGAGGUUACUAUAGAAGCUUACCCAGGUCGCUGGUCGGGACGGAGGGGUGUUCUUGGCUUCUUUGAUUUUGGUGGAGAUGGCGUCGAAACAACCAAGCUUUUUGUUGCAGGCGUUGGUGUACCUGAUCUAGGUUGGGUGCGUGUUUGUAUCCGCUUGGAUCUCGAUGCGAUCUCACUGAUCGAGCUGGAUUAGAUUCUUGUAGUGGCAAUUGGGACUGUGACUGAGGCCUUAUGGCGACGGGGUUCAGUUGACGAUGGAGUCUUGGCGACGGUCGAAUUCACAAGCAACGGCGGCAGCGGCGUGGUAGACUUUUAGGUUUUGGUGGUGGUGGUGGUGCGACGGCUUGAUCUGAGCCGCAUAUAAAAGCCUGACCCUCUUUGGGCCUUAACCCAACUACUUUGGGUUUGCUUUGGACCUAACGUCUUGAGCCUGGGGUUUUACUCUGGGUUCAAGAUGGUUAUUUUUGCUAGUUUUUGAAAUCCACACACCCACUUUUCAUUUUUAGUAAUCAUUAUUAUAUGAAGACAAAAUUUAAGUCACUAAAGACAAAAUUUAAGUUACUAAAAAAAGAAAAUGGGUGUAUGAAUUAUAAUUUGGGGUAUGUGAAUCUCCUAAUUUUAUUAGAAACAAUGAAAACUUUGUUGUGUGGAACCCCAAACUUAUAAGACUUUUGUGUUUGCCACCUCCCUCGCCCCCCCUCUUCAUCUUUUGGCUCUGCCCAAUGAAUGUUUACUUUGUAAGCUGAAGUUGUUGAGUUUAACUCAUUAUUGACUAGUUAUUGUACAUUCUUAGUAUUUAUAUUAAGGAUUAGUCUGACUUAAGUUGUACGUAGUUAUGUUCUACUGCCAUUAGAUUUAGAGUGUCUUCUAUUACUGGAUUUAAAUAUCUACUGAUAAUAUGUGCACAGAAUAUAAAAAUUAAUUGAUCACCAUGAUAUACAUGGCUUUCUAUUAUAUAUAUAUAUCAGUUAUUGAUUUGAGUUUCGGCUCAAAGAAAAGCCAAAAUGACGUAAUUACGCAACUUUUAAUACCGGGACAAGCACUUUAGCCGACGAAAAUUUUUCGUCGGCCUGUUAGCUUAAUUCGUCGGCUGAGAUCUUAGCCAACGAGACUUCGUCGGCUAUAGUUUCGUCAGGAAAGGCUCGUCGGCAAUGACUUUAGCCGACAAAACUAUAGCCCGUCGUCGGCUAUUGUCCCAUAGCUAGCCGACGACAGAAGACGUCGUCGGCUAGUCUCUCAGACUUUAGCCGACGAGUCUUACAGACUUUAGCCGACGACGAGUUUUUUCGUCGGCUAGUCUCUAAACUUUAGCCGACGAAACAACUCGUCGGCUAGUUUCUUAUCUAUAGCCGACAAAAUAACUCGUCGGCUAUUCUCUCAGCUUUAGCCGACGAUACACUUAAUAUAUUCGUCGGCUAUAGUAUGUAAUAAAAAAAAUAAAAAAUAACUAAAACCGACGAAAUAGACCGUAUUUCGUCGGCUUUUAAGUUUCAUCGGCUUUUAAGGGUUUAGCCGACGAAACAUUCCAUUAUUCGUCGGCUAAACCCUAUUAAAAAAUAAUUAAAAAUACUAUAGCCGACGAAUUAUAGCGUAUUUCGUCGGCUAUAAAUCCAUUUCAGUAUAAAAAAAAAACUAGAAAUUUUUAAAUUACCAUUCCAAACAAGCUGCAAAAAACACAAAAACAAUUCCAUAUAACCAACAACAAGCACAUAAAAGUAUAUAAUUCAUCAACUACACAAAAUCUAGAUCGUCUAAAUUAAUAUCCGGUUCUGGGAGCUGCUGCGGAGCUUGCGGCGGCUGGGGUAGCGGUAUGGGCGGAGGCAAGGGCGGAGCCGGAAGUCCCUGGAGCUGGGCAACAGUAAAGUCCUGCAUGUACUGGAACAUCUGCCGCUGCUGGGCUUGAUGGAUGGCAUGUACCUCGGCAUUAUAGGCUGCCUGCGCGGCAUUAUAGGUUGCAUGCGCUGCAUUAUAGGCAACAUGAGCAGUUUGCUGUUCCCGUAGUCUCUGAAGUUCCGACUGUAGCAGCUGAGUCNNNNNNNNNNNNNNNNNNNNNNNNNNNNNNNNNNNNNNNNNNNNNNNNNNNNNNNNNNNNNNNNNNNNNNNNNNNNNNNNNNNNNNNNNNNNNNNNNNNNNNNNNNNNNNNNNNNNNNNNNNNNNNNNNNNNNNNNNNNNNNNNNNNNNNNNNNNNNNNNNNNNNNNNNNNNNNNNNNNNNNNNNNNNNNNNNNNNNNNNNNNNNNNNNNNNNNNNNNNNNNNNNNNNNNNNNNNNNNNNNNNNNNNNNNNNNNNNNNNNNNNNNNNNNNNNNNNNNNNNNNNNNNNNNNNNNNNNNNNNNNNNNNNNNNNNNNNNNNNNNNNNNNNNNNNNNNNNNNNNNNNNNNNNNNNNNNNNNNNNNNNNNNNNNNNNNNNNNNNNNNNNNNNNNNNNNNNNNNNNNNNNNNNNNNNNNNNNNNNNNNNNNNNNNNNNNNNNNNNNNNNNNNNNNNNNNNNNNNNNNNNNNNNNNNNNCCUUGUGUUGCGUUGCCGGUUCUGAGCGUUCGCCCGGGAAACCGCCUUCAAAGAAAAAACUUAACUAUUAGUAAAAUAUUUAAAAACGCACGUACUUAAUGACAAAUUAACUAAUUAAUUUUUUUAAAUACCUGUUUACGAGGGUUGUUGAAUUCUGAUGUCAGCAGCCAACGCCACUCGUACUCUCUGUACUGGAACUCAGCAGGGGUACCAGAACGUGCGUUCCCGUGCGUAGUCCAAUGGGUCCGCAACUCGUUCUUCCACUCCUUGUACCUACAGAUACAACAAAAAUAUUAGAAAUAUUAUUAAUAUCACAUACAAUUUUGUUUUUUCAUUAACUUCCCAACGUACCUUUCCCCAUGCACAAAGUCCGCCCAGCUGCUCUUCAGGGGCUCGGGAACCUCAAACCACACCUGUAUUUAACCGUUUAUUAGUUUAUUUUUUCGAGAAAUCUACAAUGUAAUGCAUAAUAUUAUUGAGGCAUUUUGUAAACUCACCGACAUCGCGUUGUGGACCAUGUCCUUAACCUCCUGCGGGACCUCGCCCCAGUCUGACCACAACAUAGGGACUCUAUCCCUAAUGAGUGCUCCCACGUGGCCGGAGUACUUCCUUGACUUCUCGCCCGAUACUAUGUGGCCAUCUCCGUCAGUAUCGAUGACGAUCCUCCCUGAGGUACCGACGAUCUUUUCGAGAGCCUUCCCUGUGACGGGGCUCUCUUUUUUUUUGUCGGCUUCACUCCGACGGUGCCUAUCACAUGAUAAACCAAAUUGAUUAUUAAAAUAGAGAAUUAUAAGAAAACAAAUCAUUCAUCUUUCAUUACCUGAGGGCGAUGCGGCGGACGCGACGGAUUCCGUCUCCGAUGAUGAUACCCUCGCGGAAAUAAAAGGCGUAUCAAAAGGCACGAACCGGUACGCCGCUGAUGGAGCCACUGGCGGGGGCAGUGGAUAAAUCGGCGUCCAUGAGUCAUCGACUGCAGGUAUGGCCGGUAUCAUCCGUGGAAGAAAUAGGUGAGGCGGCGGCAUCUGUACCCCAGAUGACCCAUUAUCCGAAGAAGUAGGACCUGGAGUGGGCGCCCAGUGUAUCUUAGGCAUACGGGGUGCAAACACCUCUGUCUGGGGCUGAGUAAACAACUGCCUCGAGGAAUGAGGGAAUCCCCGCUGCCUUGAUGAAACGGGCACCUCCGGCUGCCUCUGCGCCGUCUGCAGAAGGCUCGCAUAUCUAGCUGUCAUAAGGCCCUAAAACGACGUCUGAGGGUUGCUAGAUGUUCCCUCAGACGAUUCGGACCUUUAGCCCUUCGAACCCUUCGUCGAUCUAAUAUUAACACUCAUCCUGUUUAAAAUAUUAAUUUGAAUCAAGGCCACAAAAUCAAAAAAUGUAAACUCAUUCAAUUAGUCAAAAAAAUAUAUAUAUACACUUCCUAAAUACAAAUUUCUACUUCCUAAAUACAAAUAUACACUUCCUAAAUAUACACUUCAUAAAUAAAAAUAUACACUUCCUAACAACACCACAACAUUGCAAUUGACCNNNNNNNNNNNNNNNNNNNNCUUAUUAAAUAAAAAUAUACACUUCCUAAAUACAAAUAUACACUUCCUAACAACACCACAACAUUGCAAUUGACCGGAAAAUAAAAGCAAACACAAAAUAAAACUAAAGCUCAGAAAUGUACUCGAGGAGGAGGAGGGAGGACCGGAGCAGCAGGAGGAGGAGGCCGGCCGGCCGGAGCAAGAGGAGGAGGAGGCCGGAGCAGGAGGCCUAAGGAGGAGGAGGAGGCCGGCCGGAGAGGGAGAGGGAGCGGAGGCGAAGACCGGGAGAGGGAGAGGGAGAGGAGGCGGAGACCGGGAGAGGGAGAGGGAGAGGGCGGCGACCGGGAGAGGGAGCGGAGGCGGAGGAGGGAAAUUCGGAGAGGGAGAGGAGGCGUAGGGCUUUCAACCAGUCGAGCGCUGGGUUAUACCCGAAACUUUAGCCGACGAAAUUAUUAUUUCGUCGGCUAAAGAUAAUAAUUUCGUCGGCUAAAAUAAUCAUCUCGUCAGCUAAGAUAAAAUUCGUCGGCUAAACAAUAAAUUUGUCGGCUAAACCUUUGAAAUUCGUCGGCUAUAGUACUUUUUAUACAUCCGUCAAACUGUGAUUGUGAUUGUGAUGAUCAAAUUUGAGAAACGAAAAUCCGACAGUCAGAUCUAACCAUCAUGAUAAAAUACAUGUAUGGGAAAACACUUGAACUUGAUCCGACAAGGUGAAGGGUUCGAUCCGGACGGUCAAUCCAUUAAGUCAAACCCUAAACGCACGGAAAAGGUCAUUGGACUGUCUAAAUUACGUAUUUUGGCCGGACCUUCUACUGAAAAUAGUUUCAAACCGAUGAGACGCAACAAGUAGUAUAAAAAUUUUACGCAAAAUAACCACCGAAGAUACGGCUACCCAUAGGGAGAAAGAAUGAAAAAUUCCAUUGACCGCAACUAUCGGCACCGAAACUUUAUUGGAAUACUGUGAUUUUUCAACCGUGGACGUAUUUCGCCAUUCUGGUCAUAUCUUAUUUCACGACUUUUUUGCGUUUAAAGGUGUUACGUAUAGUUUGUUUUUGAAACGGAACAUUUACUUAACACUUGGUAAAUAAGUUAUACAACAUUAGUAGGCAUGUUGUGGUUAUGAUGAUCAAACUUGAGAAAUGGAAAUCCGACGGUCAUAUCUGACAAUCAUGAUAAAAUACUUGUAUGGGAAAAAAUGCAACUUGAUCCGACAAGGUGAAGUGCUCGAUCCGGACGGUCAAUCCCGUAAGUCAAACCCCUAAAUGCACGGAAAAGGUCUUUGGACCGUCUAAAUUUCGUAUUUUUGCCGGACUUUCAACUGAAAAUAUUUUCAAAUCGAUGAGACGCAACAAGUCGUGUAAAAAUUUUACGCAAAAUAACCACUGAAGAUAGGGCUACAGUAUGUAACAGAAAAAGUUUAGGGUUUAGCCGACGAAUACCUUAAUACAUUCAUCGGCUAUAGUAUGUAAUAAAAAAAUAAAAAAAUUAAUAAAGUCAACGAAAUAGUAGGGUAUUCGUCGGCUAAGGUGGUUUUACCCGACGACUUCUAAUUGACUUCGUCGGCUAAGAUGGGUUUAGCCGACGACUUCUAAUAUAAUUCGUCGGCUAAUAUGGUUUUAACUGACGACUUCUAAUAUAAUUCGUCGGCUAAGAUGGUUUAGCCCGACGAAUUAAUGCGUAUUUCGUCGGCUUAAGUAAAAAAAUACAAACCCUAAAACAGAAGGUUUAAACCAUACUAAUUUCCUGUUCAUAUAUCACCAAAAAUUCAUAUAAAAUAACAUAAAUAUGAAUUCAACAUAUGUAAACUAUAAAUUAAGGUAAUACAAUCUUUUUUAUUACAAAUUAAUGUAUUACGUCCUCUAAAUUAAAACUAAGGCUAGUAAUCGGAAUCAUCCGAUGAGUCUUCUUUGGUGUCAGAAUUAAUUUCUGGUAAUCUAUGUCGUUCCUCAUCGCCAGAGUCUUCGUCUGUUUCUUGAUUUGGACCAACAUCAAUAAGCCUUGGCUCUUCAUCACCAAUUCACACCGAACGACCAGCUUUAAAAUUAUUAAGGCGAACGGUAGAGGAGUUAGGAAUACCUAUUGCGUUGGGCUCUUGAUAUGCAACAUCUUCUUCCUGGUCUUCGGCCUCUCCAAGUGUAGCCGCCCGGUAAAUGUUUCGAGGGUGAACAAGGUUGACUACUUUUCACGCGUCACCCUUAGCAAGGUCAUCAAGAUAAAACACUUGUUUAACCGAUGUGGCAAAAACGAACGGGUCAUCUUCGUAAGAACUUGUAGCAGUGUUCACCAAUAAUAUUCCGUACUGAUCGGUCUUCAUGCUCUGCGGGCUAGUAUCAAACCAUCUACACUUGAAGAGGUGCACUGUCAUGCCUUCACCGUAAACGAGUUCCACCACUGAAUGGAGAACACCGUAAUAGUCAACUCCAUUCCGCCCACCAUGCACCAUCACCCCAGAAUUCUGUGUUCUCCGUCUGCUGUCUCUCUGUUCACAUAUAAAUUGCACGCCAUUCACCUUGCACAUCGGAUAAACUCUUGACAUUAUCGGCUUCAUCGCUAGAAGUCUUAGUUCGUGCGACCAAUUUAGGUGACCAUCAAAUUGAAUAUGGUUCAUCUGCAACCAACCAUUCAACAUUGUAAAUAUGGAUAAUUAUGAAAUAAACAUAAAUACGUACAGAAAUAUUAGNNNNNNNNNNNNNNNNNNNNNNNNNNNNNNNNNNNNNNNNNNNNNNNNNNNNNNNNNNNNNNNNNNNNNNNNNNNNNNNNNNNNNNNNNNNNNNNNNNNNNNNNNNNNNNNNNNNNNNNNNNNNNNNNNNNNNNNNNNNNNNNNNNNNNNNNNNNNNNNNNNNNNNNNNNNNNNNNNNNNNNNNNNNNNNNNNNNNNNNNNNNNNNNNNNNNNNNNNNNNNNNNNNNNNNNNNNNNNNNNNNNNNNNNNNNNNNNNNNNNNNNNNNNNNNNNNNNNNNNNNNNNNNNNNNNNNNNNNNNNNNNNNNNNNNNNNNNNNNNNNNNNNNNNNNNNNNNNNNNNNNNNNNNNNNNNNNNNNNNNNNNNNNNNNNNNNNNNNNNNNNNNNNNNNNNNNNNNNNNNNNNNNNNNNNNNNNNNNNNNNNNNNNNNNNNNNNNNNNNNNNNNNNNNNNNNNNNNNNNNNNNNNNNNNNNNNNNNNNNNNNNNNNNNNNNNNNNNNNNNNNNNNNNNNNNNNNNNNNNNNNNNNNNNNNNNNNNNNNNNNNNNNNNNNNNNNNNNNNNNNNNNNNNNNNNNNNNNNNNNNNNNNNNNNNNNNNNNNNNNNNNNNNNNNNNNNNNNNNNNNNNNNNNNNNNNNNNNNNNNNNNNNNNNNNNNNNNNNNNNNNNNNNNNNNNNNNNNNNNNNNNNNNNNNNNNNNNNNNNNNNNNNNNNNNNNNNNNNNAACUUACUCCAGUAUGGGAGUUUCCAGAAUAUGCUCUUAUGUGUCCAGAAUUUGUACCUGUCGGGUCUUUUAGGUAUUGCCGCCACAAUGUUGGGAUGAUUGCUGAGCUGCCCAAAAUCAUACUCAUUAAGCACUGCUAAAAUUUCUUCUCCUGUCCAUCUUCUGGGAGGCACACCGUGUUCUACGGUCCCAUCAAAUGCCUUGUCAUCGAACCGCCAUUCGUGAUUAUAUGGAAGGAAAGCACGGUGACCCAAUCUGCAUAUCUUGUUGCAAUGACUGCAGCUCCUCUCAUCGCUAAGGCACUCUGGACAAGCCUUGUAUCCCCUAACAACGUUGCCCGACAACAUCCCACGUCAGGAAAAUCACUUAUGGUACCAACAACCAUGACAUGCAUCUGGAACAUCUUGUGCAUGUACUUGUCAUAAGUGGGAUGACCAACGUCCCACAAAAACUGAAGCUCUUCAAUCAAAAGUCUCAAAUACAUAUCGAGACACUUCCCUGGAUAACCGGGCCCCGGAAUCAACAAACUCAACAUAUUGUAUUCCUUCUUCAUGCAUAUCCAUGGAGGAAGGUUGUACGGUACCAAAAUCACCAGCCAUACGCUGUAUUGAAGACUCAUGUUGCCAAAAGGGUUGAACCCGUCGGAUGAGAGCCCAAGCCUCACAUUUCGGACCUCUGACGUAAAAUGAGGAAACUCCCUGUCUAUAUGCUUCCAAGCCUCCCCGUCAGCAGGGUGUAUAAGGGUAUCUUCGUCAUGCAAUUCCCUAUCAGCGUGCCAUCUCAUAGCUUUGACCGUGUGUGAAGACAUGUACAGCCGCUCCAGCCUAUCCCUCAACGGGAAAUACCGAAGUACCUUUACAGGUUUCCUAUUGCCUGCAGGAGUCAGCUUAUACCUGUCAGUGUGACAUACCGGACAUGCGUCAUGCCCACCAAGGUCAUUCCCUUCUGGAUCUUUACCCCAGAAGAGAACGCAGUCAAAUCUGCAUGCAUGGAUCUUGAUGUAGGAAAUCCCAAGAUCUUUCAGGAUACAUCGGACCUUACGAUGAGUGGUAGGAAGACGAUGACCGUGGGGCAGCAUCGAAGAAAUGUACUGUAGAUAAUUAUCAACAGCCUUCACGGUUGAUUUUGUCUCAACUUUAAUCUUCAUUACGUCCAUCACACUUUCAAGAACGGUCUUCUGACAACCGGGGUACACAUGGGUUUGUUAGAAAGCAAGCAGUUUGUUGUACUUUUCAAUACCAGCAGUGUUGACAGCUCUAGGGAAGGGCUGCACCGGGUCAGACAUAUACUGUUCUUGAGCGCAUACACCGCUCUCAUAAGGAAACAUGUCGUUGAUGAAUACCGUUGUUGGAUCGUUGGAUGUACUAGUACUGCCCGUCUCAGAAAAUUGGCCAUGAUCAUGCGGACCCUCUGAUGAUGUUUCACCGUGAUAUAAUCAACAUGUGUACUUCUCCCAAAACCCGUUACUCCUCAGGUGCUGCCAUACUUUGUCAAUGGGAAAUCGAUGCAUAUCGCUGCGACACUGACAUUUCGUGCACGAGCAAUAGAAAAUUGUAUUCCCGUUAGCAUUAGCCAGCGCAUAUUCUAUAAAACUCAUAACUCCUGCACCAUAUCUUUUGUCCCAUUUUGGAAGCGAAAUCCAACUCUUAUCCAUAUCCUGAAAAUAUAACAAAAUAUAUAUGUAUAACGUUAGCUAAUUAUUAAUGAAAUUUCAUGCCAUGCAUAUAUAAAAUCUCAAUUCAUUUAGUAUAUAUUCUACGUACGUACUACAACUAAUUAAUAACAAAUUAAUUAACACACACACAGAUAUAUAUAUAUAUAUAUACUUAAUAAUUACAUAACAAUAUUAUAUAUAUAUAUAUAUCUACAUCAUCACAAAAUCAUCAUUGACAUAUAUACCAUCAACACAAUAUUAUAAAUUAAUUAACAUAUAUAUAUACUACUUAUAAACAACUUCAUAUAUAUAUAUAUUAUAUCAANNNNNNNNNNNNNNNNNNNNNNNNNNNNNNNNNNNNNNNNNNNNNNNNNNNNNNNNNNNNNNNNNNNNNNNNNNNNNNNNNNNNNNNNNNNNNNNNNNNNNNNNNNNNNNNNNNNNNNNNNNNNNNNNNNNNNNNNNNNNNNNNNNNNNNNNNNNNNNNNNNNNNNNNNNNNNNNNNNNNNNNNNNNNNNNNNNNNNNNNNNNNNNNNNNNNNNNNNNNNNNNNNNNNNNNNNNNNNNNNNNNNNNNNNNNNNNNNNNNNNNNNNNNNNNNNNNNNNNNNNNNNNNNNNNNNNNNNNNNNNNNNNNNNNNNNNNNNNNNNNNNNNNNNNNNNNNNNNNNNNNNNNNNNNNNNNNNNNNNNNNNNNNNNNNNNNNNNNNNNNNNNNNNNNNNNNNNNNNNNNNNNNNNNNNNNNNNNNNNNNNNNNNNNNNNNNNNNNNNNNNNNNNNNNNNNNNNNNNNNNNNNNNNNNNNNNNNNNNNNNNNNNNNNNNNNNNNNNNNNNNNNNNNNNNNNNNNNNNNNNNNNNNNNNNNNNNNNNNNNNNNNNNNNNNNNNNNNNNNNNNNNNNNNNNNNNNNNNNNNNNNNNNNNNNNNNNNNNNNNNNNNNNNNNNNNNNNNNNNNNNNNNNNNNNNNNNNNNNNNNNNNNNNNNNNNNNNNNNNNNNNNNNNNNNNNNNNNNNNNNNNNNNNNNNNNNNNNNNNNNNNNNNNNNNNNNNNNNNNNNNNNNNNNNNNNNNNNNNNNNNNNNNNNNNNNNNNNNNNNNNNNNNNNNNNNNNNNNNNNNNNNNNNNNNNNNNNNNNNNNNNNNNNNNNNNNNNNNNNNNNNNNNNNNNNNNNNNNNNNNNNNNNNNNNNNNNNNNNNNNNNNNNNNNNNNNNNNNNNNNNNNNNNNNNNNNNNNNNNNNNNNNNNNNNNNNNNNNNNNNNNNNNNNNNNNNNNNNNNNNNNNNNNNNNNNNNNNNNNNNNNNNNNNNNNNNNNNNNNNNNNNNNNNNNNNNNNNNNNNNNNNNNNNNNNNNNNNNNNNNNNNNNNNNNNNNNNNNNNNNNNNNNNNNNNNNNNNNNNNNNNNNNNNNNNNNNNNNNNNNNNNNNNNNNNNNNNNNNNNNNNNNNNNNNNNNNNNNNNNNNNNNNNNNNNNNNNNNNNNNNNNNNNNNNNNNNNNNNNNNNNNNNNNNNNNNNNNNNNNNNNNNNNNNNNNNNNNNNNNNNNNNNNNNNNNNNNNNNNNNNNNNNNNNNNNNNNNNNNNNNNNNNNNNNNNNNNNNNNNNNNNNNNNNNNNNNNNNNNNNNNNNNNNNNNNNNNNNNNNNNNNNNNNNNNNNNNNNNNNNNNNNNNNNNNNNNNNNNNNNNNNNNNNNNNNNNNNNNNNNNNNNNNNNNNNNNNNNNNNNNNNNNNNNNNNNNNNNNNNNNNNNNNNNNNNNNNNNNNNNNNNNNNNNNNNNNNNNNNNNNNNNNNNNNNNNNNNNNNNNNNNNNNNNNNNNNNNNNNNNNNNNNNNNNNNNNNNNNNNNNNNNNNNNNNNNNNNNNNNNNNNNNNNNNNNNNNNNNNNNNNNNNNNNNNNNNNNNNNNNNNNNNNNNNNNNNNNNNNNNNNNNNNNNNNNNNNNNNNNNNNNNNNNNNNNNNNNNNNNNNNNNNNNNNNNNNNNNNNNNNNNNNNNNNNNNNNNNNNNNNNNNNNNNNNNNNNNNNNNNNNNNNNNNNNNNNNNNNNNNNNNNNNNNNNNNNNNNNNNNNNNNNNNNNNNNNNNNNNNNNNNNNNNNNNNNNNNNNNNNNNNNNNNNNNNNNNNNNNNNNNNNNNNNNNNNNNNNNNNNNNNNNNNNNNNNNNNNNNNNNNNNNNNNNNNNNNNNNNNNNNNNNNNNNNNNNNNNNNNNNNNNNNNNNNNNNNNNNNNNNNNNNNNNNNNNNNNNNNNNNNNNNNNNNNNNNNNNNNNNNNNNNNNNNNNNNNNNNNNNNNNNNNNNNNNNNNNNNNNNNNNNNNNNNNNNNNNNNNNNNNNNNNNNNNNNNNNNNNNNNNNNNNNNNNNNNNNNNNNNNNNNNNNNNNNNNNNNNNNNNNNNNNNNNNNNNNNNNNNNNNNNNNNNNNNNNNNNNNNNNNNNNNNNNNNNNNNNNNNNNNNNNNNNNNNNNNNNNNNNNNNNNNNNNNNNNNNNNNNNNNNNNNNNNNNNNNNNNNNNNNNNNNNNNNNNNNNNNNNNNNNNNNNNNNNNNNNNNNNNNNNNNNNNNNNNNNNNNNNNNNNNNNNNNNNNNNNNNNNNNNNNNNNNNNNNNNNNNNNNNNNNNNNNNNNNNNNNNNNNNNNNNNNNNNNNNNNNNNNNNNNNNNNNNNNNNNNNNNNNNNNNNNNNNNNNNNNNNNNNNNNNNNNNNNNNNNNNNNNNNNNNNNNNNNNNNNNNNNNNNNNNNNNNNNNNNNNNNNNNNNNNNNNNNNNNNNNNNNNNNNNNNNNNNNNNNNNNNNNNNNNNNNNNNNNNNNNNNNNNNNNNNNNNNNNNNNNNNNNNNNNNNNNNNNNNNNNNNNNNNNNNNNNNNNNNNNNNNNNNNNNNNNNNNNNNNNNNNNNNNNNNNNNNNNNNNNNNNNNNNNNNNNNNAUCAACUCGAUCAUAACAAUAUUAUAUAUCAACAUCAUCACAAAAUCAUCAUCAACUCAUAUAUAUCAUCAACAACUUCAUACCAUAUCAACACAUUAAUAUUAUAAAUUAAUUAACAUAUAUAUAUAUCUACUAUUUAUUAACAACAACUUAAUUCAUAUAUAUUAUCAAAUCAUCAACCAAAUCGAUCAACACACAUAUAUAUAUAUACAUCCAACGUACUCAAAAUCAAUCAACUCAAUCACACUCAAAAUCAAUCAACUCAAAUAAAACUCAAUUAAUCAACAUAUAUAUAUACAUGUACGUACCUAUAUAUAGCUCUACAAACUAAUUAUGGACAGAUUUCGACAACACCCAAACUUUUCUCCCGUUUUUCUUCUCUCGUUUUUUUUCCCAGAUGAGCUACUGUUGGCCAGAUCUGCAAAUAUAAAGCACUUUAGCCGACGAAAUUAAUAUGUCAUCGGCUAAACUUUUAAAUAUUUCGUCGGCCAUAGUCUGUGAACUUUAGCUGACGAAAUAAAUUAUUUAGCCGACGACAACUUAAUUUCGUCGGCUAAAGUUUACCAUAGCCGACGAAAAUUUAAUUUAGCCAACGAAGGAAAAUUUCGUCGGCUAAAAUAGAUUUUAGCCGACGAAAAAAUGGUUCGUCGGCCUGGUUUUUUUUUUCGUCGGCUAAAGCUUUUCUUCUGGUAGUGUUUUUGAUCAAAUAAACACAACUAAUAUGCUAUAAUGAGUGUAUUGAGUCGAACUCACGAUUUUUCACUUACAAAAAGAGACUUAUGUCACUAGACCAGACCAUACAAAGUAAUAAUUUAAAUUAAUUUGGAUUAAAAAAAAAGUAAUUUAAUGUAAGGAAAUACAAAAAUAAUAAUUAAUGUACAACGAGGAGCUAGUGGACGUUUUACUCGCAUCAGUCGCAUGGAUAAGAGAAAUAGAUAAGGGAAACCAUUCAAUCUAUCUCUGCUGCUUGGAGAUAUAAAAGAACUAGGCAGACAUCAUUGUCAAAAUAAAACUAAGCAAUCAUGGAAAUUUCGUCGAAACCAAAAUUCUUCAACUUGAGCAUUUUAAUAUAUAGAAAAAUUACUUUCUCUUUUCUUAUGGUUAAUUAGAAAAGUAGAAUGAUUUCAUGCUGUUCCGUUGCCGGACAUAUACAUCAACGGCACACAGUAUUUUCUUCUAGGUGCAAUUAUUAGUAAUCAAUAUUCGACACGAGUCUUCUUGUGGUCACUGUUAAAGGCUUUGGGAUGCUCAAGGCACGAAGCUAGAAACAGAGAAAUUAAGGCUAGCUAGCUGCUGCAUGAGUGAAAUAACUUGCAUGGCAGCGAAUACUGGUCCUGUGGAUAUAGAGAUGUGGGAAGGGAGAUGAGGUAAAUCGUAACAACAGUUCCACUAUAACUGGUUUCACUGUACGGGAUGCACAAGCAAAACCUCUCUCUGCUGCUUCGAGGAGUGUACGUACGUGCAGGAGAAACUAUAAUGCCUAUGGCAGAAGCCAUUGGUUUUAUCAGAAUUCCUUAGAGAUUACUUAGCAUUGUGAAGAACAUCAUCUCUAUAAACCCUUGCCAAUAUAUAGUUUUGAAGAUGUUUCUUUGAAGCAUGUACGUAUAUUUAGGGAAGCAAAUUUUGUACUUAGGGCAUAGCUUAGCUUCCCAAUCGUAAAGUCAAUUGGGUAGAGAGAGAGCGAGUGACCAAUGAGGCAAAGUGGCAAACAAUGCCUUACUGUUUGACAUGCAUUAUAAGUUAAUUGUGCAUGGUUCCCUUUAGAGGCUUCAAGCUUUAAUAUAUUAGUUUCGUAUCAAAGAGAAGAAGAAAAGGUUAAGGGAACCAAACAGUGAAGAACUCAAGGGAACCAAACAAUAUUCUCGCAUGUUUUUCUUUGUAUUGACCCCUACAGUUUCAUAUAUAUGGAUCCGACGGAAAGCUCGAGUGCUUGCUUUGUAGGAUUGAACUCGCAAGAUGGAGCAGUUGGCACAAUGUCUUUGACCACAAGAGUCGUUUACAUGCAUAAUUAGACACAUGGACUUAGACGUCGACCUACCAGAAGCCAACCUAUCCUACACCGGAAUAAAGUGAUUGUGCACACUUCAGAAAACGCGCGUAUAGGCAUCUUCCUGGGGUAUUUCGUUAAUUUAAACUAUCAAUUCUUAGGUUAGAUGUUUUUCUUUCAUUAAUGUGAAGAUUUUAGUUAAACUUACAAGGUUUAAUUAAGGGGAGUGAAAUUUACACUCCUUAUUUUACAAUCCACACUCCUACCUUUCAUUUUUGGGUAAAGUUUUCACAAAAAUACAAUACACAUAUCACUAAAAACAAAAUUUAAAUUACUAAAAGAGAAAAAUGGGAGUGUGGAUUAUAAAAUUAAGAGUGUAAAUUAAAUUCCAGUUCCCUUAAUUAGACUUAAAUCUCUCAUGCCAUUACAUUAUUAUUUUCUAAAUCAUUUAAGCGUGGGUACGUUUUAAGCCUUCCAACAUGACUGGAUUCCAAACCUCAUUUUCUAAAAUACUGAUAAUAAUUUAGCUAAUUAACAUUAGUGUUUGGACAUCUAAACCAAAGUGCAUAGUUUAGUUAAUUAUUGUUUGGUCCUUUCCUACCUUUGUGAUCAAAUUAAUUAUGUACUAGCUAGUACUUCAUGUGAGUGAUAGAUCUGCUGCUAAGCAGGUUGGGUAAUAUUCUUGGUUCUCUCUGCUAUGACUUCUGCACCAAUCUCGUAAGUGGGUGAAUUACUGUGGAGAUAAGUGAAAGUCGAUCAUCUUCGUAUUCUUGGGGAUUUGUUUUUCUCCCAUUUUCCAUUAUGUUGCGUUAUAAUAUGAUUGUUAUAUAUAUUGCACUUUCCAGCCUCCAAAUUUCUUAUGCUUAAUUGUUCUAGUAUAGGGUUAACAAUGUCGGUUAUUAUUACUUAGAGAAAAUGACUUAACAAUGUCGGUUAACAAUGUCAUUUUCAGGGUCCUGAGCUGCGGUCAUUUAUCAUCGCUAGGACCCCAAAAAUGAAACAACUAUAUUCUUUUUGAAAUUAAGACAUAAAGUGUAUAUAUAAGUACUUAAAAGUAAUCAAACCCCAUAGUUAACUAAUCGUACAUCGAUUAUCAGUGUUAGGUUAACCUUUAGGGUGCUAAUGAUGAGUACAUUUGAUAUAUAUGGCCGGCCGGUAAAUGUAAGCCUAACUAAUUAGCUAAAAAGAGCAUGCCGGUCGGUAUGAUAUAGUUGAAUCCCACCAAUUCCUCGCUCUAGGGUACCAUUUGGACUAUCGUGUCAAAAAGAUGUUAAAGAAAAAUGAUAUACCAUCCACAAUAAUUCCAUCACUAGUUCGAAUGGUUAAGACAUGACCUUUCUGUUUGAAUUAAUAGUAUUGCCAAUAUGUAUUUCUAGCUAUAUUGUAUCGUAAAAGGGGUAUAGAUAAAGUGGCUUUUAUAAGUGCUCAAUUGAAAAUUAUGGUCAUUGUAGAAUUCCAAACAGAAAAUAGUAAUACUAGCUCGAAGGAACUUAUCAAGGUACGUACACAUGCAUAUAUAUGGUACUGUAAUUUAUUCGGGGAUCCAGAAAAUUUGAGAAGACGCAUCCCUCUUUUGAUUGGUGUUUUUGCGUGUCUUAAAUUUGUCCAUCGUUGCAUUAUGAAAUUGUUUCGAAGUUGAAGACAAUCUAGUAGGCAUAUAAUUCAUGCAUGAGAUUCUUUUCGCAAAGAAAGAGGAGACGAAAGAUUCUAUAUAUAUAUAUAUAUAUAUAUAUGAUUCUUAAAGCUAAACUCAAAACCUAAAUUGAUGUCGAUGGUCAAUUAGUAUCGACUGAAAGAAAAUAUUUCAUUCACACGAAAUGAAAAACACGACACCUGAUAACUUUGAUCUUUGUCAUUUGUGACUUUGUGUGCAUGGCUGCAAUGUACUGUAAUUAGGAAACAAUAGGAACAAAAGCAUAUAUGAAUGCGAGUUGUAUGUAUUAGCGGUUAUUCCUCGACCUAAAAGUUCAAAUCUUGAUCGGUUAAUUGCUCUCGUAUCAUGGUAAUUAAAUUUAUAGUUGUCGUUGUCGAUUCAUUGGUGCUCAUAGAAGCAUCACCGGCCAUUUGGUUAGGUACUUAAUUAGGUUAACAUUGUAAUCCCAUCUUCUAGCUAAGAUUCUUGCACAGAAGAAUCCCCAGCACGAGUAGUCAAAAGUUUCAGCUGUUGAACGUGCUGUGAUUUGGCCUCCCACAAGAGAUAAUAUAUAUCUUGAAGCACUAGCUAGUAUUAUUAUAGCGAUUUCUAAGGCGAGGGCCAGAGAGAAUACUUUUGACUUGCAGCACACGUAUCUCCAAUGAUAUACGAUCGCAAUAACAACAGAGCAGAGAUUCUAUUACAGAAGGACGGAGACAGUUGCUUAUACGCGGCGAUAUGAAGAUGCAUAUCGUUGCUUAUUCUAUAUAAAAGAGAUUGCAGGUAGCUAGUUGAGGUAUGGCCGAUCAGUUCUUGUUGGGGCAUGUCCACUAUUGAUGGACCAGUUUAAUCAUAAUAUCAUAUAUAUAUAUAUAUAUAUAUAUAUAUAUAUAUAUAUAUCGAUCGCAUUCUCCUUCUGAUUAGCUAUAGGGCCAAUUUCUUUCUGUUUUUUCCUUUUAGAUAUGGAAGAAUAUUCUGGUUUGUUUGCUUUGAAGAAUGAGAUCGAUUUGAUAGAUAGACAUGGAGUGCUCGCCAUCACUCUGAGCCUAGUUCACGAUUGCAGGAGAGCACUUGUGGUUGUGGGUCGGUUUCUAGGGUUGUGGUUGCAACACCUCAUUCAUUUUAAUCAACCCCCCGUUGGUUUUAUUUGCCUGACAGGAACUGAUUCUUCUUUUUCUGGAAAGAAAAUUGAAAACAAAUAAUUGACAGUUUUUUGGGUCACUUUUCGAGCUAGCUAGAGCAAGCAAGCCAUAGAAAUGUCAUUUUUGCUUUGGAGACGUUCAAAAUGAGCAGAAAGACACGACAUUCACUGGCAAAUAUCACACUUUUAAUUUGGUCUUCUACUCGAUCUAGCAGGUCUAUCAUGCAAUAUAUAGCAGUACUUUAGUUUCCAAGCACUAGUGCUUAUGUUAUAAAUCAAACACUUUAACUGGAACUAAAUACAAGUAUACAAUAACUUAUAUGAUGCAAAGGACUUGAUCUUAGUAUUUGAAACGAAUGGAUAUCCAAACAGCAGAAGCAGACUUUGCACCAAAAUAUAGACUAUGUACUCCUCGAAAUCAUUAGCAGUGCUCUAAGGUUGUGGUUGCAACACCUCACUCUUUAGCUGCAGUGGCUUUUAUCGUGCAAGGUCAGCACACGACUUCGCAUUUGCAUGUGAAUUGAACGAAACACGUUUGCUAGCUAGACCUAACUGCUGGCUCCAAAGGGAACUGAUGGAGUGCCAAUAUUUCAGAUAUAUAUAAUUGCCAAUGAAUUUUUAUGGAUCUUAACUAACAUUGCGCAAAUGAUCGAAAGGGGAAAACGCACUGAAAGCUCCACCAAAUUAUUCAAUUAUCAACAAAUGUGAUCGAUCAUUCUUAUUGCAUAUAUGUUAGUGCGCGCUUGCUAGAAUCUAGACCUAUUCCACAGGAUGAGUAUAAGAUAUAUGUAUCGAUCAUUGCUAACUAGAAAUAAACUAAGUACUGAAAAGCGUCUUGAAAUCCCAAAAGCUAACCCCGCUUUGGGAAACCAUUAUUAACAUACCAAACUCCAUUUACUUGUUAAUUUGUUGCAUAUCCCUAUUACACACAUAAUGGAGAACUGAGACAAAUAUAUACUCACGGAGGUUGAUUUUCUACAUCUAUAGUACCUCUCUCAUGGAAUUAUAUACCAGACCACACUGAUCGACCCUAAACCCGUUUGGAUUAUUGGUGACAGCAUAAAUAACAUGUCGAAUGAACAAUGUGUUUGUCAAUUGAACACGAAAACAAAUAGUUUCGAUAGGGAAUCAAAAUAUGCAGUAAAAGAAACAUAAUCCAAUCGAUUAAUUCUGAAACAUAUUUCAGAACAUGUACCUCAAUAAAGACUUCACAGGGUAUAUAGGUAGACUAAUUUGAACCCUACACGUUUGUAAUACUUGCUCAAUAUACAUAUAUCCACAAUGCUGCUAUUUUCAAGGUAGCUAUAGUUGAAUGCCAAUGUCAUUCAUGAGGAUUCAAUGCAGCUAGCAAUUCAAGAAUGCCUUAAUACUAGCUACACACAAUUCCCACUGCUGGUUUAUCAAUCAAGUCUCUGUGGGUGUUCAUCAAUCAACUCAAAAAACCGUGUGUAACCCAGUAUACUAGCUAUAACAGAAGUAGCUGCAUGAUAGCUAGCUCUGGUCUUCUAUAUCUGUACAGAGUGUCUGAGUCCUCCAAUGUUAAUGACCAAAACUUAAGUCGCGUUAGUCUUCCAAAGUUGAUCAACUUAUGAAAACUGAAAAGGAAAAUAGGGCUAUAGAUGUGGGCAAAUCAGCACUUCCGUUGGUUGAGGUUAUUGGGAUCAGACCAUCGAGCACUUUAAGAUGAGUAAUCAGUGCAGAGGUUUAUCCUUGGAAUAUACCAUAGGCACAUUCUGAAUUCUCGUCUCUUUUAGUCUUUCACAAACACCUUUUGGUGUAUUCUCAUGGCUAUAAUCAUGCUCGGGUCGACUACUGGUUUUAAUUUCAUCAAACCUAGCUUUUUCGUGUUGUUGUUGCUCCUUUAAGUACACACACAUUACACAUAUGGUCCCUCACUCCACCCAAGUCCACUGGGAUGGAUAAUAUUGAAGCGUUCAAUCAAGCUAGCUUUAGCUUAGCUUCUUUGCUUGUGCUUCUGCGCCUCAGUUUCUACCGUAAAUAUUUGUAGUGGUUAUGGCACUAGUAUUCUGGAAUCUGAUUCAAGCUAGCUAGGUAGCUCUUGAUCGAAUGAUUGCCGUAUAUAGACCAGUAUAUGUUUGCGGGAAAUCGGUUGAGUAAAGUCAUAUUCUUGCUAUCUAGGGUUUCAAGUACGGAUUGGCGGAGGAUUUGUUGAAAUUGGACUUGGAAACCAAAUAAUAUAUAUACGGUUUGAAAAUUUUUCUAGCUAUUUUCUUACAUUUUGUUGUUGUGCUGGUCGAUUUGAAACAUAGAAACCCUAGCUAGGGCCAAGAAUGUAUUCAUACUCAUAGAACCGUCGUACGUAUACGACAAUUUUCCUAUAAAGAAUCUGGUGCAUGCAUGCAAGCUUGUGGAGAGGUAAAUUGUGUAUGAAAGAAAUUAAAGUUCAAUUGUAUACAACUUUCAUUUUCCUAUAUAUUCACUUGAACUUAAACAUGGACAAGCGUGACCCGUGGAUCAUCAUUAUACCAAUAUUGUCCUAAUUUAACCAUUUUUAAGGUGUUGGUUUUUAAUCAAAAAGGCCUUAGUACAAUUAGGUAUAAUCCAUCCAUUUAUAUUUUUUUUAAUCCUUUUUCUAAUGUGAGAUCUUUCCUCUUCAACAUAUUCAAUGGUACUCGAUCUUAUUCAUAUAUAUGGGUCAAAGACGUGGAUAAUAAGGGUGUUUAUCACUAAUAAACCCUAGCUAGAGGAAUGAUUAUAUGUUAGAGUUCAAUUGAAGAAUGAAAUAUAUCAUAGAAAAGGUACAAAGCAGCAUUUGACAAAUUUUACUUGCAUCGUGCUACGUUUCUGAUCGAUGUUGAUAUGUUAGUAUUUGAUAUAGGGCUUUUAGCCACUUAAUAGUUGCAAUUGUCUGUUUAAAUAGAAUUAUUGCAUAAAGAACACAACAUAAUGAGUAUAUGUUCUGAGUGCUUAAUAAGAUUCCAUGGAUAUUCUUCCAUCUCUGGUUGUUUAGAGAUCGAUGGGUUGCCAUUGUUGGCUUCUCCAUCAAUGAAUUCAUGUCCGCAACAAAGGCAUGGGCAAGUCAUGACUUCCAUUAGAAAUUGCUUAGUUAUAUCCUCGAUCAUAUGACGGCCAAAUAACAUAAUAUAAACAAGCAACUAAUUCCAUGAUGAAAAAGUACAAUUAAAAAUUCGUUUUCGUAGCUCUUUAAUUAGGGUUUACUUCGACAUUUUGGGUAACCCUAACCCUACAAUCUGAGGCCAGCUAGAAGAACAAUAAUUCAACAAACUUAAGUAAUAAGUCGGUGGUUCCACUUUGAAGGAGCGAGGAAUUAAGUGGCACGAUAUAUAGAGGAGUUACUACUUGGGACUUAAGAAUAUAUAUGCAGAGCCUGCAGGCAUGAACUCCUAAUUAAAAGCCCUCGCGACUAGACAAAGGAUCAAAUCGUUUUAAACCCGGCCAGAACGAGAAGAAAACUAUCAGGACUCGAUCGAUGAGACCCGAAAGCCUUUUAAUUUGGUCAUAUUUUGAUCGAUGUUUUCUGUCAAAUAUAUUUAUGUAGAUCCAAAGCAGUACGUGUGUCCCAAGAACUAACAAGCUAACUCAGUACGUGGACUCAUGCAAAAUAUAUACUGGAACAAACAACCUCUGAUCGAUAACAUCGGAUUCCGAUCAAAACACGGUCUAUACAUAUUCGCAUAUAUGCAAGUUUAUACUCAUUUUGCUAAAAGAAAAAUAUUAAUUCAUCCUUACUUAUCAAAUAUCAGUACAGUGGCUGAAUAACCCUGAAUGGCAGUACUUUAUAUAUAAUAUAAAUGGAAAUUAACCCCAAGCCUGCAUCGAUCUUAUGGAUCAAUUAUCCUACACAUGACGAGCUAGCUAGGUAUAAAAGCAUUUUAAGUGAGAGUAUACAAACCUAAUGGGGUUUAGGAACAACAAAUUUGUAUAUGUGCCAUGCUGGCCCAUGCAUAAUAUAAGAAAUUUAUACUCGAUGGAGAUGAGACUAUCUCCCAAGUUUUAUCUCAUUGUCUUGCAUUUCAAAAAUGUAAACAGCGAGAAAUUGUCUCUGUAUAAAGAACUCUCAUCAACACACAUAUAAAGAGUUUUUUUAGUUUAUGAGAUCAGACCAAAGCAGCCGAAUGGAAAUGGCAGCAAUCAAAGUAAUUUAGAUUUGUUAUUUUCCCUCUGUGACUAGGUGUCCUUCAGAUCAGAGCAAUUCAAACAUGCAGUCAAACCCCGUCAAAAUUGGGCCGGGCUUCAGCGAGGCCCAGUAGGUCAAGUAUAAGAUAACGAGAAGGGGAUAGAAAGGGAGAGGGAGUGAUGGGACACGUUCUGCCUCAACCUCUCUUCACCGCAGUAGCCUCAUCUUCACCGCAACAGUAGCUUCUCUUCAUCCCAGCAGUAGGUAUCUUCUUUUUUAUGUAAAAGGCUUAGCCCAAGAUGUAGUAGGAUAUGUAGGAAUUCUAUUGCCUUCCACAGAAACAAGGAGGCAUGUCAUCAGCUUCUCAAUCAGCUUCUUAUUGCAACGAAGCCUGCCUCAGUGAUGCCCUCAGCCAACUUGAUCGGUAACGUUCAAAAUUAUGAGGAACUCUCAGGUAAAGCAUCACACACCUUGCACAGAGUAGAAAUGAGAAACAAUAUGGAUAUUGGAUAGUGGCGCAAGUGACCACGUUGUCUGUAAAUGGGUUUACAAUUAAGAUCAAGUACUUGGAUCAAUUAUCGAUCCUACACUUGACGAGCUAGUUAUAUAUAACAGCCUUUUAAGAAGAAAAAUAUGAUAAUUAAGUGAGAGUUUACAGACCUAAUAGGGGUUUUAGGAACAACUAAUGCCAAGCUACUGGUGAUCUAAUCACUCUCGAAAGAUCCAAAUCAACUGUUGACACCAAGAUUAUUAAUUAAUAUCGGUUUGAUUAAUAUCUGAUUUUAACCUUUUGCAUAUGUGCGAUGCAUAGUACUCGAGAUGAGACUAGCAUAUGCGCUCCCAUGUUUUAUCUCAUUGUCUUGCAUUUCAAAAAUGAAAACAGCGAGGAAUUUUCUCUGUAUAAUGAGCUCUCAACACACAUUUCUAAGCCUUUGGUCGGAUGAACCAUUUGUGUUCUUUGUCAAUUAUGAAAAGGCAAACUUGAUAUAAAACGAUGAAGGCAUCUCCAACCUUAAUUUGGUCUAAAUUAACCUAAAAUAUGUUUAGGUAUUACAAAACUUUAUCUCCAACCUAUAUUAAUGCAAUUUGAGCUCAAAAAUGAUUUACCUAAAAUUCGUUAUAUUUUAACUCAACCAAAUAGCACAAAUGCUAUAACCUAAUUAAAUGUAAUUUGCUUUCUAUCAUUUCACGCUCUUAUAUAAUUAAUGCUAUUAACCAUAUGAUGAGAGGAUGAUAGUUAAUUAGUUACCCGGCGAACUAGCUACAUACUAAUCAAUUAACUAGGUAACUAGCAAUACUUUUAUACGCACUGAUCCUUUUUUAUAUCAAACUGACAGGUGUGGAACGAUAUACAUCAAACUGCUUGGAUGCAUGAUAUAAUAACAAGCUCGAUUCACUGAAAAUUAUUAUGUAACUAGUAAUUAAAUAUAUUAUCAAAUAUUCAAAAUUUACCAUCAAAGUGAUUUCAAUUAAUAAAAGCUAUAUAUAUAUAUAUAUAUAUAUAUAUAUAUAGUAGCUUCAAAAAUAUCAAGUAGCUUAAAUAUUUUCUAGCUAUAUAAGACAAUUAUAUACGUAUGUAGUUCUCCUAAUUUGUUUUCUGCUCCUACCUUCUUCAAGAAAAUGACAUUGUGUUAUUCUAGAUUGUUUCCUCCUACCUCUCCGUCCAAAGCUUGAAGACUAAUAUAUUCUAUUCCAUGUGUUGAAAUUUCAAAGAACACGUACGUAUAAUGAACCUUAUUGGCUAUCUGUGAGAGAUAAACACCAUUACAUUUAUUUCUUAUGUACGCAGUCAAUAUUAAGCGCCAUAUGAGAACAAGACACAGUACGUCAAAGUUCAAGUUUUGAGUAAUGAAGCUCGAUCUUCACCGUCUGUUAUAGCUGACCAAGUUAAUGGACGGCAUCUAACAUAUCUGAUGACAACACAAGUAGUGAGGAGUCCUGACUCUUCAACGUUGUUGAAAUAUAAUGACAUGAAGAUUCCAUUAAUCGAUAAGCUUCCCAUUCCGAUGGGUAUAAAAAGAGGAUAUGCAUGCCUCAUAUCUGCAUUAUCAUCUCCCAACUUCGAUCCCCAGCAACUUUCAUACAUUCUAUCCUCACAUAAUUUCUCUGCUAUUCACUAAAAAUGGUGAGUUUAUGAGUAGUCGAUCUUCCACUUUGAGUUGCAGAAGGUCUUGCAUGUACUGAUGAUCAGUUUUCUUUUGAGAUGUUUUAUAUCUUUUGUGGGAUAGUCCAUGAGAUAUCAUGAGUUUUAGUUAGCUUAAUAUAUGCAUCAUUAUAUGAUCGAAUUACCACAUAAAACAAGAUCGAUGUCUAUUACAUAUAGUAUAAGAGGUGCAUUGGCUGGCUAUAUUUAUCUUUCUUUUUUGGAGUUUAAUUAGUUGACUAAAUGCCUAUCAUAUAGUAAAAGAGGCACCUGAUGAGGUGACUGCAGAUUUAUUUGCUAAUAUAUAACUAGUCACAUAAUUGAACUAUAUCUCAUUUUGAUUGUUUAUAUUGGACUGACAAAUUUCUACUUGUUUGCUGGUUUCUGCUGUUGGUGUGGGAUCAGGCUCUUUCGCUAACUAUUGAGGUAUGGUACUUCAUCAUUUCUUGAAAUUGUGUUUGUGGGAACAAAGUCUAUAUGUGCUUCAAUAUUCCUUCCAAAUGAAGUUCAAACUAUUAACAGUUUAAUUUCUGCUGAAUCAGAAAGAAUUUGCUCAAACCUCAGAAAGAGUGAAGUCUGUGGAUCUGCAUCCUACGGAGCCAUGGUACGUAAUCAUCAUCAUCUAUCUGCUGGCUAUCUUAGGCAACUCUUUUAUGUGAUCGAUAUUCUGCGCGCGUCUCCAAAGUUUGAUUUUCAUACAUCUGUUUAUCGCUGCUGGUUCCUUUCAUCCUUAUAAUUUUUCAGUACCAAAAAUCAAAUCGAAUUCCAGACUAUAUAUAACCGGAGAAUACACUUUCUAUGCAGGAUGCUAGCAAGUUUGUAUUCAGGAACUAUUUGCAUCUGGAACUACCAGUCACAGGUAAAUCCAUUAGUCUUCGUCACAUAUAUACUUAAUUAGCUUGCACUUCAUAGCCAAACUCCUAGAGUUUAAUGACUUAAUUUGAAAUUUUCACGCUUUUAAUUAUUCUGUCUCAUCCAUGGACUUAACUUAAUUUAUGUAAUUGCACAGACCCAGGAGAAGUCCAUCAAGGUCACUGAGUCACCAGGUACAUAUAUAACGGGUUUUUUUUUUUAAUUGCUUUCAUUUUUUUGUAGUGUUGGCAUGCUACAUUUCUCUCAAAGAAUUAUCACUUGAUAUCAUCUGUUUUGUGCUUACAGUCAGAUCAGUAAAGUUCGUGGCUCGCAAACACUGGAUUGUAACCGGUGCUGAUGACAAGUUCAUUCGCAUAUACAACUACGAUACUAUGGAAAAGAUCAAAGAGUUUGAAGCACACACUGACUUUAUCAGGAGUGUCACUAUCCAUCCAACUCUACCAUAUCUGCUGUCAUGUUCUGACGACAAGGUCAUUAAGCUUUGGGACUGGGAGAAGAACUGGGAAUGCACACAAGUCUUUGAGGGACAUUCUCACUAUGUGAUGCAAGUGGCUUUCAAUCCAAAAGACACCAACAGUUUUGCUAGUGCCUCUCUUGAUGGAACCAUUAAGGUAUUGGGAUUGCGAGCAGCUAGCUAGGAUUGCUUAUUGUUACAAACUAGUUGAUUAAGUACUGCAUCUCAGUACAUUUUUAUCUGUCACUUACACUUUGACAAUGUCUCUUAUUCUAGAUAUGGAACAUUGGCUCUCCUGCCCCUAAUGUUACCUUAGAAGGCCACUUAAAAGGAGUUAAUUGUAUUGAUUACUUCAUUCGUGGAGAUAAGACAUACCUAUUGAGUGGUUCUGAUGACUUCACUGCUAAGGUUUGUGAGACAUUUGAUAUUUUCUUUUGUUCACUUUCAGCCUUAUUCGAUCUGGCUAAACAUGACAUUUGUUCUACUGUAGUGUCUGUAAUUGCAGCCCUACUAAUUAUUCUUUGAUAAAUUUCAUCACAAUAGGUAUGGGACUAUGAAACUACAAGUUGUGUGAAAACUCUAGAAGGACAUGAGCACAAUGUAACAGCUGUUAGUGUUCAUCCUGAGCUUCCCAUAAUCAUUACAACUUCUGAGGAUGGGACUAUUCAAAUAUGGAAUGCAGCCACAUUUAGGUAAAUACUUUAUGAUUCAAAACGCUUACAUUGCAAAAGUUGUGUAGUUGUAUUUUUUUCUGAUAUUGUGAGAUGGGAGGAAAGUCUUGUGAUGCUUUGCUGAUUUCAUAAAUGUCUAAUUGUCAUUGUAUUACAGUCUAGAGCACAAACUGAAUUAUGCUCUUGAAAGAGUUUGGGCCAUGGGACACUUGAAAGGAUCAUGCAAGUAAGUUUCUUUCUUUUUCUGUGGAUUAUAGAUGUAGGAUUUAGACUACGAAAUCGAGGACUUUCGGGGAAAUGUUUGAUAUAGGAAACAUGUUAUGUAGCAAAUUAUUCUGCUUAAUCUGUUGCUCUCAGCUUCUGAUCAGACUUUGUUUUCAAGUGGCUCAUUGUUUUAUCAGUAUAUAUACUUAUUGUUCAAUUCUGCUUACAGGGUUGCAUUUGGUUUUGACAAUGGAACCAUCAUUGUCCAAAUGAAUGCUGCUGCUUGAUUUUCUGUGGACAUCAGCUCCAAGCAUAUGAGAAGCAAAAGUUGAUGAAUAAAAGACAUCUAAGUUCUAUUUUCUGUAUUUUACACUGUGUUGUGAUGAAGAAACUUAAAAGGAUCGGAGGUUGUAUUGUUGUAUGGUAUGUAAUCCUACUGUAAGAAAUAUUCUAUGUGUGGCCAAUAAAAGUUUUCUUGUAAUGAAUAUUCUGAUAUGUAAUUCGAGUGUGCAUGCUAUGUAGCACUUAAUUCUCAGGAGGAACGAUUUCCCUUGGGACUACUUGUAUUGCUGUUUCUAUAUAUAUAACAGGAAAACAUUGUUUGUCUUGUGGUGGAGCUGCCCAAAAUGAACCAAUUGUAAGGAUCAGUGGUAAAAUUAUAGUGCUCAUGUGUCCAUUAUUUAGCAAUUUAUAAUCAUGAAAACGGUAUAUUCACUAAAAUGUGUUCAUUCAUGAAGUGCAAAUUGCCAAAAGUAGUUUUGAAGUCCAUGUAGUAGGAAUUCAAAGAUCUUAUGAGCAAGGGUGGAGGCUUGAAUCCAUAAUAAUUGGGGUCAGUAUUUGAGACUGAAUACAGCAGGUGAAACACAAUUCUAUAACUACUAGAUAUUAAUAUAUCUUCAUUCUAGCUAUAUGGUUCAAUCUUCCAGUUUCGUAUAUAUCUCUAUUCAUGGGAACACAAAAUAUCUUCACCCAAAUCCUUAUGUCAGAUUGGUUCUUCAGUAGAUGAAAACAACACUAGUUAGUACUAACAUAGCCAGUAGUUGAAGACAAACUAUUGUAAGCUUUUUGCAUAACUUAUUUCCCUGAUACUAAUACAUUGAUGGCUCAUAUUAAGUUCUCUACCUUAGCUUUCGUAUGUACAAAAUAAAAAGACAAGAAUUUAGCUCUUGCUGCUAGGGAAAUUGCUAUCCGCAUCAGAUCCGACUCUUCUGUCCUUCAUACAUGAAUCUUUCCUUAUUAUAAACAGAAUGCAUUUACAUAGCCAAUGCAUCAGUUUUAUAACUUUACUGGACAAACUUGAACAGAAUGCAUUUCGGUAAACAUGCAUAGAUCCAACUAAGCCAUGGCAAAGCUUUGAUUUCAUUUCAUUCUCUAAUGCUACAAAUCAGUACUAAUCUCUCAUUGCAACACAUUUAUUAAGUUCUCACUUUCGUACGACUGCAUAAUGGUGUUUUCAUCUACCAAGUUUGCAUUCCAGAACUGUUUGUAUCUGGAACUAAAUGUCACAAGUAUAGUCAUGACUGUUUGCAUUCCAGAACUGUUUUUCAUAGUUAUUAACCAUAGUCUAGAAUCAAAAAAUCGUUUGUUUGGCAAUGCGAAAUGAAAAUCCAGAACCUUAUCGUCUGCGUCGUUGCAUAAAUUCCAUGUAUCUUCUUUUGCCUGUAUAAGAGGAGUAUUGGAGUUGUACGAUUACUUCGAUAGCUGUCUGCUAUAGAAUUCCAUGACAUACAAACCUCACUGAAUCUCAUAUAAUCUAAUGGUGAUGGUAAUCUCUCUAAAACUGAAUCCAAUAGCUUUCCCCAAGUUGAGGAGUCCAUGAUUUUGAAAUCUACAAGAAUAUUGAUUGAGCUAUUUAGUUGAGUGAGAUAAUUAGCUAGGUGUUUAUGAGAUGUCCAGAUGUCCCUUUAUUUACAGACAAUCCUACUCCUUUAAACUUAUGAAAGUCUCCCAUACAUAUCAGGUAACCUAUUCUCUACGUACAUAGAGAAAAAAAAAAUAAUAAUUAAUUCUUAUGUAAACUACAAAACUAGCAAUAAAAUCGUUCCCUAUUCUUUAAGCUUACCAAAGUCCAGAGCGGAUUCUACCACUAAGAUGCACUUGCAGUAUUAAUAUGCAAGUCCUUAAAUCGCCGUAUACGAACAUCCAGUGAAGACUAGAGACCCUAGCUAAAUUCAUUCAUUUCAUUUUUAUUUUAAUCGUGAUCAAAUUAAGCGCUCAUAAUAAGAGUAUCUCUUACUUGACCUCAGGUCCUCACCUCCUAUGUUAGAAACACUUAAGAUUAUUUUUUUGGGUUUUAAUUUUGUUAACGGUAUUAGAAUACAUGCAUGAUAAUGCGACGUGGAUGACUGGAUCAAAAUAUUACAUAUUAGUUGCUCAGUUCACUUACACCUUGGUGCGUAGAAGAAUUUUCAACGAAAAUCUCCCAUACAUAUUAGGAAGCCUAUUCUCUACGUACACAGUAGACAAAAUAAAUAAUUUUCUUAUUGUGAACUACAAAACUAGGAAAUCCUUCCAAGAAGGAAUGGCCAGUUGAUUGAUCUUUUAAUUUCAAAAAGCACGUGCUUGCUUUUUCUCCAUUGCUUGAUUAGGGCACUUGAUCAACCAUCUUAAAUUAAGAGGAAUUGAAGAACCAAUUGGUGACAUGAUCAACACAAUACCCUUAAAGUUUUUCUAGGCCGUGCUGAAUAGUUAUGUCAAACGCUUUCUCACCCUGACCACUGAAGAAGAAUAUAUUAAAAUUUAAACUCCAAUCAAUGUUAGAAAGAUUCGAACAUGGAUUUGAGAGUUCUUUAAUUUGUUUUUAUCUAAUUGAUAUUGUUGUUAGCAUUAAGAGGUAGAUUCAAAAUCAUUUCCACAGCAAUCCGACUAAGAAUUUAUUAAGUAAAUAUGAAGUGGUUCUAAUAUGAAAAUAUGACACAAAAGUAUUUGUUAGCCUCUGAUCGACGGAUCAAACCACUCAAAUCGUUUGACGAAUUGAUCCAAUAUCUUUUCCAUGACGGCUUAACGCCUUAACCAAAGGGUUUCUCCGCUACCAGAAUAUCACUCUCCUUGAAUAUUUUCGUGUACGCGGCAUCUUACACGUCACGUUGUUCACUUGUGUAUCAAUGCCACAUCACGUUGUUCACAUUUUACACCAAAAGAGCAACCAGUCGGCCAAUCGACACUGUCCGUCAAUACAUGUCCCUUAGACGAUCACCAAAGCUACGUUAUGGCACCAAUAACCUGAUUGCAUCACUAGUGGCAUUAUCGUAAAUUUGCCGACGUAACCGCAAAGCUUUGCUGAAUCUCGUAUUUACAUAGAGAAAAAAAAAAAGAAGCUCUCUCUUUAUUAUACAAAGAGCACCAAAAUCUCUCUCCCUCCUUCUCUUUCUCUCUUUCUCUGAACUCGGAUCACCUGGAUCGCUUGGGCUCUUCUUCACUGUGAUCUCCGCCGGAGCUCUGCAAAAAUGGUGAGUCUCUCCGAUCGCUUCACUCUCCCUGAACGUUUUCGUGUACGCGGCGGCAUCUUAGAUCUGAUUCAAAUCUCAAAUCCUUUAGUUUUUGGUGCGAAUUCCUCAUUGUUUGUUCACUGCGUCAAUUAGAGUGAGAGUGUUGGAAUUCAUUAGGCUCUGUUUGAUCGCUUUGAUUCCUACGGUUGCUUCAUUUGUGAUUUGAUUUUGUUUUUGUCUAUUGGCAACCGGCGUGAGCGAUUUUAACUUGAAUUGCGUUGAGAUCUGGUGGUUUGUAUUGUCGAUUCUGAGUUGUUAUGUAGAUUCUAAUCUAUCAGAAAUGCGAUAUUGUAAGAUUUGGAGUUUUGAUUUGGCACUGAUCGGUCUUUGUUUCUUUUGCAAUGUGUUAACAGCCUCUCCGACUGGAAAUCAAGGUAAUGCUGUUAAAUUUUGUUGAAUAUUACUCGUUCUCCGCGGGAUCGGAUCUCUUCUUGUUUUGUUUUGAAUUGUGAUUCUAAUAUUAUAGUCGUAAUCUUUUGGUUCAGAGGAAACUUGCUCAAAGAUCAGAGAGAGUAAAAUCUGUGGAUCUACAUCCAACAGAACCAUGGUAAGUCAUUUCUCAUUUCAUCUUUAUUCGUGUCACUCGUAUUAGGAUAGCACCCUAGUCAAAAUAGUGAUAUAAAUAGAUUGUGUGAUUGAUUGUUAGUAAAGUAGCAGUGCAAGCCCCGAAGCCUAAUAAAUUUAUUUCCCACUGCCAUUUUGUUGUAAACCUGUAAGGUUGUAAGGUUGCGGCCCUACAUAUUGUAUAAGGCGGGUAUCUUGCUAAGGCCGUCAUUGCUUCCCUAAGUUUCUUUUGCUUAACCUCAAAUAGCCUCACUUAGAUUGUUCAUGAGGAGUACAUUGUGAUUUGUAUUUUUUUCUUGUGAAGCUGGUGACAUGAUUUUGGUCGGUGGUAGUCUGAAUUGAUCUUUCCAUUUUAACUUAGGAUAGCAUCCGGAAUAGUUCCAUUAACAUUUAGUUUAUAUGGUUCAUAUGCUUUAUCAUUAAAAGUGAAAGGAUUUAUUGUGUUCUAAUUUGUUGAAGUGUGAAUUUACCGCAGGAUAUUGGCGAGUCUAUAUUCUGGAACAGUGUGUAUUUGGAACUACCAAACUCAGGUAUGAUAUUGAUAUGUUAAACAUAUAAUAGCAUAUGUAGCAUUUCCAAUCAAAUUAUACUGACACAUUUCUGAAACAGAGAAAAAUAAGUGGUACAUUUUCAACAAAUCUCUCUGAUAUUGUUGUUAGUUAUGACCCGGGAACACUUUUAACUUAUUAAAAUUUUGACCAAAAAAGUUCACAAAUUGUUGGAGGUGACCAUGUGCUAAUUUGAAUCUUUUGUUAAUGUUGCAGACCAUGGCUAAGUCAUUUGAGGUCACUGAGUUACCAGGUAUGUAAUGGGAUUCGUGUUGUGUGUUUGUAUUUUUUUUAUGCUUGGUAGACAUUUCAUUUCUGGGAUUUCCCAACAAGGUUAUUUUUGUGCUAACGUCUAAAUCAUUUUUCUCCAGUUAGGUCAGCCAAAUUUAUAUCACGCAAGCAAUGGGUUGUUGCUGGAGCUGACGAUAUGUUCAUUCGUGUAUACAACUACAACACCAUGGAUAAGAUUAAAGUAUUUGAGGCCCAUACUGACUACAUUAGAUGUGUGGCUGUUCAUCCUACACUCCCAUAUGUGUUAUCAUCAUCUGAUGAUAUGCUCAUCAAGCUAUGGGAUUGGGACAAGGGUUGGAUCUGUACUCAGAUAUUUGAAGGACAUUCACAUUAUGUGAUGCAAGUGACAUUUAAUCCAAAAGACACCAACACCUUUGCAAGUGCGUCUCUUGAUCGCACCAUAAAGGUAGACAUGACAUUUCCUGGUUGUUUUCAUGCAUUUUCUUCUAAAUUUGGGUGUAAUGGUACUAAUUAUGCUACCUGAUUUUUCUUUUUUUUUUUUUUUUUUUUGUUUCUCUCCAGAUAUGGAAUCUAGGCUCUCCUGAUCCAAAUUUUACACUGGAUGCCCACCAGAAAGGUGUAAAUUGCGUUGAUUACUUUACGGGUGGUGACAAACCUUAUCUAAUUACUGGUUCCGAUGAUCACACUGCUAAGGUCUCCAUUAAGUAACUUUUUCUGCUCAGCAGUGUUUUGUUUUAUGUGUAUUUGAUUCUUUGGAAAACUCAUGCGUAAUCUUGUGAAAACAGGUGUGGGACUACCAAACAAAAGGUUGUGUCCAGACACUUGAAGGCCAUACACACAAUGUUUCUGCUGUAUGUUUUCAUCCCGAACUCCCUAUAAUAAUAACUGGAUCAGAGGAUGGAACAGUACGAAUAUGGCAUUCAACCACUUACAGGUAAUCCCUGGCCUGUGCAUCUCUAUCUCUUGUUUUUAUGAUGUAGUAUCUUUUUCGUAGGUAUCCACUUUGUUGUGGGUUUUAAACCAAAGCAUUAUGCCACUAAGUCCUAAGAUAAUAUGUGAUUCAUUUACAGGCUUGAAAACACGUUGAAUUACGGGCUUGAAAGAGUUUGGGCUAUUGGAUACAUGAAGGGCUCACGACGGUAAAUUUGAUACUUAUUUUUUUUUAGUUUAAUUAUUUCGUAUGAGUCUUUUUUUAUAAGAAAUUAUCUAUUGAGAUCAUAUAUGUAUGUAUAACUAUGUGAAGUUGUCUUAUAAGCUGAGUGUACUGUCCAAAAAAGAACAGAAAUUUUGUGUUGAGAUCACUUGUUUAAUUAUCUAUAUAUAUAUAUGUAUGUAUCUAGAACUAUGAUGUCUUAGAGGGCCGAUACUGCCGAAAAAAGAAUAUCUGUACAUUUUUCUUAAGUUGGUAUUGCUCCCGAGUAUAAUUAUAUUAUGGCAAGUUUGCAUAAAGAGUAGAUUAGUGCAUUUAAGGUGCCCUAAAAAUUGCCUAAAAUAUUUAAAUCCAUCUGUCCAGGGUUGUGAUUGGUUAUGAUGAAGGAACCAUUAUGGUAAAACUUGGACGUGAAGUGCCUGUUGCUAGUAUGGACAAUAGUGGAAAGAUCAUUUGGGCUAAGCACAAUGAAAUUCAGACAGUGAACAUUAAGAGUGUGGGUGCUGAUUAUGAGGUAUGAGCUCUCCUCAGAGUGGCUGCUUUUCUUUGCUGCUUAAUGCUCAUGUUCUUGACAUUGCCUGUUCUAUGUUCGCGUUUCUUAUUAGGUUACUGAUGGAGAGAGAUUGCCUUUGGCCGUCAAGGAGUUGGGCACAUGCGAUCUUUACCCCCAAGUGAGGCUUUGUUCCUUUUUUUUGUUUUCUUCUGUACUUCAGUUGAAUGAAACUUCUUUUGCUGUUUCUCUUUUAUGGAGUUUUUGGGCUUCAGUCAUAUAUGCUGCUGUUGCCAAUCAUUAAGAAAAUUUUGAAGUCGCAUAUUGCCAUCUUGAUUGGAUUUGUCUAGGCAAAAUUUCAUUUUGAAUGCCUGGUAGAUGUACUUUUGUUUCCAUAUCCAACUUCAAGAGGCAGUAGCUGUUUUAUGCUAGAAUUUUAUUGUGUUAUCUGUUGGAAGUUUGCGUUGAAAGAAUAGGAUAGAGAAAAAAAAAUUGUAUGUGCGUUGUUGUUCUUCCUAUAUGUGCACAUUGAAAAGCAAAGGUUAAAGCAUUUAGGACUUAAUUCUAAUAAAUUCUGUGGCAUACAUUGAUUCCUUCUGCAAAAAUUCUGUUCACAGAGCUUAAAGCACAACCCCAAUGGGAGGUUUGUUGUAGUUUGUGGAGAUGGAGAGUACAUUAUAUAUACUGCUUUGGCAUGGAGAAAUCGGUCAUUUGGUUCUGCUUUGGAAUUUGCUUGGUCAUCUGAUGGAGAGUAUGCUGUUCGAGAGAGUACUUCAAAAAUUAAAAUUUUCACUAAAAACUUCCAGGUUUGUAACUUUGCAUUACUUUCAGUUUAUCGACCAUUAUUCUUUCCGCUUGGAAACUGUUCCAAUUCACUUGGUCAUUAGUUCUGAGGUGGAUACAUUGGAUAUGCUACCUUUAUUUAGUAUAUCAAAGUGUUUGGCUUGAACUACUUAAUGUUAGGUGGGUGUAUGUUUGUUAGGAUGUUAAGACGAUGACUUCCUAUUUAAGUGGUUAUGUGUUUAAACCUCAUCAAGGAUGGAUAGGGGUGGGUUAAAAAAAAGAACUAAAUGUUAGGUAGCAACCAUAUCAAAAAUCUAGUAUCUUGGCUGUAAUUACUGUAUGCACUUUUGGAGCACCUCAAGUCUAUCAUUACCGAUAGUGUACAUAUCCAGUCUUCCUUCAAGGUAAUGAGCUUUUUAAUUUGAAUGGCAUAUUUCAGGAGAAAAGGAGUAUUCGACCGACAUUUUCAGCUGAACAUAUAUAUGGUGGAACCUUAUUGGCAAUGUGCUCAAAUGAUUUUAUUUGCUUUUAUGAUUGGGCUGAGUGCAGAUUGAUUCGUAGAAUUGAUGUGAAUGUGAAGGUGAGCCCCUUCUUACCUCAAAAUUUGAAGAACCAAUAAUUGCUAUUAUCAUUUUGCUUAUUCAGUAUUUUGAACAUGCCAGAAUCUCUAUUGGGCUGAUAGUGGCGAUUUAGUUGCUAUUGCCAGUGACGCCUCAUUCUACAUCCUGAAGUACAACGUAAGCUUCUCUAUCUGGGUUUUUUGUCUCCUUCCAUCGAUCUGGGUUCUUAGAGAAUCGUUAUGCCACAAUGUUUUAUAAGAUUGUAUAUUAUAAUGGUGCAGCGGGAUGUGGUCUCCUCUUAUUUGGAUAGCGGAAGACCUGUAGAUGAACAAGGUGUAGAAGAUGCAUUUGAGCUUCUCCAUGAAAUGAAUGAACGAGUCAGGACUGGUAUAUGGGUUGGCGAUUGCUUCAUUUACAACAACUCAUCCUGGAGGCUUAAUUAUUGUGUUGGUGGGGAGGUAUUUGCGUCUGUUUCAUUGUUGGCUGCAAAUAUCUUUUGUAUAUAGAUAGAUGUUGUGUUUGCAGUUAACUUCAACAUAAUAUGCCUAUUGUUCAGGUAACUACAAUGUUCCAUUUAGACCGGCCAAUGUACCUGUUAGGUUAUCUUGCCAAUCAAAGUCGGGUGUUUCUGAUAGACAAAGAGUUCAAGUAAGUGCAUUCUUGGUUUGUCAACUUUGUGUAGUUGAAAGUCAUCAUGAUUAUAUUUAAUAUUAUGGUUCUUUAAUAUAUUUGUUUCUUUCUUUUCCAAUUUGCAGUGUGAUGGGGUACACACUACUUUUGAGUCUGAUCGAAUACAAGACACUUAUGAUGCGUGGAGACCUGGAAAGGGCCAAUGCAGUUUUACCUUCAAUUCCUAAAGACCAUCAUAACAGGUGCCCAGUUAGUCUUGCACUUUAUCCCUUUUUAUGGUUGAUUAGUCAGUUACCUUUGAUUGAAAGGUUAUGUUUUUUUAAAUGAAGGGUCUUUUAAAUGGUAAUGACAAUCUCCUGUAAUUGUAGUGUGGCUCGUUUCUUGGAAUCACGAGGUAUGAUAGAGGAUGCACUUGAAGUUGCCACAGAUCCUGAUUACAGAUUUGAGCUAGCCAUUCAGCUUGGUAGAUUGGAAAUUGCAAAGGUAAAUCCAAGAAAAUAUAACUAGUACGAGAGGUGCUGUUUACUUUGGCUUUUGAUGUUCUUUUGUCUUAUCCUGAAAUGGUAAGUGAAUUUGUGUGUUUUAUUUGCAGGAAAUUGCCAGUGAGGUGCAGAGUGAAUCUAAAUGGAAACAGCUAGGUGAACUAGCCAUGUCUACUGGAAAUGUAUGUUAUUUAUUUAUUUGGAUUCUCUUGAUAUUGUACAUAAUUAUUGCUUUACAUAUCUAUGGAGAGCAGUUAUGUUUGUUUUCCUCCUAACAACCUUAUAUUAGUUUCAUCUUUUGUUAAUAUAAUAUAUUCUUGCAGUUGGAAAUGGCUGAGCAAUGUUUGAAGCAUGCCAUGGACUUGAGUGGUUUAUUAUUGCUUUAUUCAUCUCUUGGAGAUGCUGAGGGAAUCUCAACACUUGCAUCCCUUGCUAAAGAACAAGGGAAGAACAAUGUUGCAUUCCUUUGUUUGUUCAUACUGGGUCGCUUGGAAGAGUGCCUUGACCUGCUAGUUGAAAGGUAUUCUUAUUUGUUCACUAGAUAUAUGAAGACACAAAUAUUGGAAUUAUAGUUGAUUAAUGAAGUAUUCUCUUUGCAGCAAUCGGAUACCUGAGGCUGCUUUGAUGGCUCGAUCGUAUCUUCCAAGCAAGGUUUCAGAAAUAGUAGCUAUUUGGAGAAAAGACCUUAGCAAGGUGACAUUUAAUAAUUGUGCUCAUGUCUUAUUUUGACACUUCAGGUCAUGUCUGCAUUUUGAAUGUUGAUUCAUUUGAUUUAAGAAAAUUAUAUAUGACAACUGAAUGCUCGUAUAGAAAGUUCACACAGCUGUGGAGUUGGAUGCAAUGGUUAUGUUGAGCUGGUUCACCUGGUUGUCCAUUUUGCACCCUCAUCCCUUUUAUUUGUUUGGCCACGAUAGAUUUGGUUGAUAACAGGAAAACAUCAUUAGCAAUGAAUAUGGAUUCCAUGUCCUAGAGCUGAGAAAUCAGAAUAUUGACUUAUACUGAGUGUGUCUUUGUUCUAGUUUCUAUCUAUAUUUUUAUUUAUUUGUUUGUUAUUUUUUCUUGAAACUGUCUAGGCAACAAGCAUCUUUAGUUCUAUAUUCGUUCUCAAGGAAAUAGGUGCCAAUUCUAGGAUUUGAAGUUCAGGAAAAAGAAACAUGGGAUUGUUUUGAACUCAUAUCCUGUAUAAGUUGUACAAGUUCUACUUAUCUCAUGUUGACAAAAAAGUGUUACUAAAUCUCAUAUCACAAUUUUUUCUGUAAACUUCAUGGACUUCUGCAAUUUUUUGUUCUCACUAGUUUUUCCAACUAGCUUCUUGUAUGUGUAUUUAUCAGCUGUAUUCAAUAAUGUUGGGUUUUUAUCGUCCACUCUGCUUUUGAUAUUGUGUCUUUGGAAUUCCAUCAGUAGACAACGAAGGGUUCAUUGUAUAGGACUUUAGGCCAGUACACCAAGUAUAUAUUAGUGUGAAUCUGGGCUUGGGAAAGAUUUAAUCUGAAACUCUUAAAUCAACACUUGUGGAUAUCACUGUGCAUCCAUGUGGGCACAUUUUUUGGCAUUAAUGUGGAGCCACCUUUUGUAGUCUUGUUCACUAAUGUAAUUUUAUUGAAAUUUAUUGUUGCCUCCAGGUUAAUUCAAAAGCUGCCGAAUCUUUGGCUGAUCCUGAACAGUAUUCUAAUUUGUUUGAAGAUUGGCAAGUUGCUCUGUCGGUUGAAUCUAGAGCCGCGGAGACAAGGUAUAGUUAAUGUGGCUAAAAUGGCACAAGUCUGUACAUCUUGUACUGGAAAUCUGUUCAUCUUAAAGAUUUCCCUGGGGAUGUUAUUUGAUCUAUUCAUUAAUUGUUGUCUUUUGAUUGUUUAUGUAGGGGUGUUUAUCCUCCUGCAGAGGAGUAUGUGAAACAUGUUGAUAAAACACACAUGACCCUUGUGGAGGCUUUCAAGAACUUGCAAGUGGAUGAAGAAAACUUGCAAAUGGAUGAAGAGGAGCCCCGUGAAAAUGGAGACUCAAACCAUGAGGUAAGAAAACUAACAGCUAAUGCGAACUAAUGCUACUUAAAAAUGUUGUUUCUGGUAAUCAAUUUAUUAUAGCUGUUAAUAUUUGUGAUAUCAACACAGCAGAUGUUCUGCCGGGAUGGAUCUUGUUAUUGUUUUUGUUUUUAUUUGUUCAUAUUUUAUUUUAUUUGUUUAUUAUACUUUACACCUAUAGGAGUUUAUAACUUUUAUGUUAUAUUUUCAUUUGAUUAUAGGUUUCUGAAUUGAAUGGGGAACAGACUGUAGAGAAUCAUGCAGAUGAACAUCAUGAGGAAGGGAGCCAGGAGGAGGCUGUUGUCGUGGAUGCUGAUUCUACGGAUGGCGCUGUACUCGUUAAUGGUAGCGAAGCUGAAGAAGACUGGGGUACGAAAAAUGAAGGAACCUCGACAGCCUAAAAAGCUAUGGGUUGGGCCAGUGUGAAAAUCCAAUUUUGUCUCUGGUGAUUAAUUGAUUCUAAAGUGCAAAUCUCUGACUCCCAUUCUGACAGCUUUCUGAUCUAUCUACUAUACCACCUUCUCCCCUAACUAUCUGAAACUUAAAAUAAUUUCAAUGAAUAACGGGUAAACGGGAUAUAUAUAUAUAUAUAUAUAUAUAUACACACAGUCCGUCUCAGCUGCGGACGUCUGCACCAAUGAUUUUGGUGCGGAUUUUCAUUUUUGCACCACUUUUCGAUCGAAUUUUCUCAUCUCCACCGUCUAGUAUCUAGAUAAUAUUGUGUAGAUCAUCUCUGUAAAAUUUCAGCCAAUUUGGUAAUCGUUAAGGCCCUCAAAAUUGUGUUUUUCUGGUAUAAACAUGAACCGGACAGAAUUCAGUCCGUCUAUUUGUUUUUCGAGUUUGAGGGCCUUAAUGAUUACCAAAUUGGUUGAAAUUUUGCAGAGAUGAUCUACACAAUAUUAUCUAGAUACUAGAUGGUGGAGAUGAGGAAAUUCGAUCGAAAAGUGGUGAAAAAAUGAAAAUCCGCACCAAACNNNNNNNNNNNNNNNNNNNNACUCCAGCAGCGUCCCCAGCCACUUUCCCUCCCCGGUGAGUCCAUUCUUUUCCGGUUUUCCGGCGAGAUCACCCAAAAACCAAACAGAGUCGAUCUCGCCGGAAACUGGAAAAAAACGGACUCGCCGGGGAGGGUAAGUGGUCGGGGACGCUGCUGGAGUCUUCUGGGGCGGAGGCGCGCCGGAGGAUGGAGAACGGACGGACGGACGUCCGCACUUUAAGCCGAGUGCGGACGUCCGCUCUACAUCCUUUCUUAUAUACAUAUAUAUAUAUAUAUAAAUUUAAUCAAGUUUUAGUAAAGAAAGCCUGUGUUGUCUGUGCUCAAGGGAUAUACAGACAAAACAGUAGGAAAAAUGGAUUUUCUGCUGGUUGGUUUUCUUGUUUGAUUUGAGUUUUGGCUUUUUUGGUAUGUGUGUGUGUAUUUAUAAUUAUUCUUAUAUGUGCUAAUUAGCUUGUAAAACCUUGGUAGUUUUGCAUUUUGGUAGUACGAUGUGGAGAAUCUCUUUCCUGUCUGCUUUCAUUAAUUUUUGUUGUUUAAUUUUAUCAAAAAAUGGUUAAUUGUGUAUAAUAGCUGGGAUCUUUUGAUAUCUUGAGGAGGUUUAGAUUGGGGGAGGAAUACAUUUAUUUUUUUUUUCUUAUUUUCUUGCGUUUGUUAGUUUCCAUCUAGGUAGUUUACUGCAUCCUAAUGCUUUUUUAAUAUGCUGUUUGCAGUGCUUACACCACGUCACUAGGUCCGUGUAAAGACUGCUGGUCCAGCUUCAUGGAUCCUUUAUUAAUGGUGAGGUGUUAUUUUUAUUGCUAGGAAUGAUUACUUUUGCUUAACUUAGAAAGUUGUUUCAAAUGAAAUAUACCAAAAUAUUGUUUUUUCCUGUAAAAGAAUUUUAUCAGUUCUUUGAGUGAGUUGAGCCUCACAGAAUUCCUUUCAUACUAGUGGGUAAAGCUGUUAUGCUCUGUUAUACACGUAGUUGUGCCAGUUAAUAUGCUAUUGUUUCAAUGUUGGUUUCUUUUCCUGUAACCUGAUGUUAUAUUUUCACAACAGGUCUCCUGCAAGAGGCUGACAAAGAGGUGAUGUAACGGAUCGGUUGUCUCUGUUACCCAGUGGUGUGGGCUGUAACCAAAUUAUAGUUUGUCAUGGGGCACAACAAAGUUAGUUCAAUAGUUUUAGUUAGUUUGCUCUUUGCGUUGCAGAUUUAAAAUAUUCUUUGAGGCCUUUCUCAUCAAAAAAUUUAUGGUGUCAUUGUGAAUGUAGAGAGAAUUGAGCUAGUAACAAGGUCGACCUUUACCAUUCACAUUUUAGAUUUUUGGUUCCCCUUAGCGUUUUAUGUUUUGGGAAUUCUUUUAUGCGGCUCAUUGUAAACGUGUUCGCGUAUUCAAUACAGUUUAUAUACACUUUUGAGUAUGAUGCAGCAACUAUUGCACUUGGCUUGUGUUAGCUGGUACUGGAUGAUACAUCUAGCUACUUGUGAUGUAAAGAUCAGCAUAAUACAAUGCUAGUCUCUGCCUACAAUUUCCAGGACAAGGUGCAUAAUAUGUUGAAAAAGUUGCCUGGGAAAAUGCUGGUGAGUGAGGCAUCUGAUUUUUUAAAGGUCUAAACCAAAAUGUAAAGCUUAUCCACCUCGAGUUGUCACACUGAAAUCAACAUACUUUUGAUACAAUAUAAAUGAUUCAUUUUUCACUUCCGGUGACGCAUCUUUGCGUCCAACGGGUAACCCUUAGGAGAUCUUGAAGUUGUUAGAGGAUUGCAUAUGAGAACUUGGAAACUGAUGGAUGGGCUUUGAUAAAUUGAUGUGAUGUGUGUAGUUGGCGAUGUGCGCAUGGAGUUUGGAUAGUUGGUCUGUUGUCAGUAAGACCUAGUUUUAUUAUGGCUGCUAGUGUUUCAUAGCUACCCUGCCUUGACAUGACAGGGAGAUGCUGAGAUUUUCCCCCUCCGUAGAAAAAAAAAAGAAAAAAAAAGAAGAAAAAAAGGAAAAUACGUUGUGUUUGUUGAUGGUUUUCAUUUGUUGUAAUAUCUUCUGUGUAUUGUGAUUACGGUUAGUUUGUAAUUAAUUUUUUUAAAUGAAACCUAAAAGUAAAAAUAAGUUUUUUUAUGUUUAUUAUAUUAAAGGUUUGCAGGUUUCCAUUUUAUACAGUCUCCAACUCUCCAUCAUAUAACUCGAUGCUAUAGUCCGAACUUGCAUAAGCUUUUAAAAAGAAAAAGAAAAACAAAAACAACUAAGAAAUAAUUAUUUGAAAUAUAUAUAAUAGUACUCCUCAAUGGACUAAUGAAUUUUAAUUUUUGAUACAAAAAGGUUUCCAAAGCAGAACUUCAUUAUGGAAGAAGAACAAGGCUCGUGUAACUGAGCUUAAAAUUCAAUUACUCUUAGAUCAUCCAGAAAUUGGCGUCCUUGGUGAGUAAUGGUGUAGCACUGUAGCUCAUUGCUUCCGUGUAGGUAUGAAUGAUUUAGAGACAAAAAUAUGGAUCUAUAAAAUAUAAAUUAGAAAAAGUUUCUCCAAGCCCAAUCACACCCCCAGCAACACGUGUCAGAAAAUGACCUGAAUUACAUGUGAGUCCUAUAAAACCCUAAGUAAGAAAAAUAGCCUCGUUUCGAUCUCUGGUCUCUUUCUCUUCUGCUCAAUUUGAAGGGCUAACAGAGAAACCCUUCUCCUUCCACCCUUCCAUAUAUCCCAAUCCUCCUCUCCAACCACUCACUCUCCCAAUAGAAUCAAAUCAAAUCCGGAAAACACUAUACUAUAAAACUCCACAUUUAUUUCUGGAUCUCUCUCUCCUACUUCUGCGGCCGCUUCUCUGUAAGUCCUGCUCCGUUUUCUAUUUACUUUUACAUUUUCAGGUUUAAUUUCAGAUACUGACCAGCAUCGUAGCCUUCGUAUAUGAUUUCAUAGUUUUCUUUAACUUUUUAUCCUGUAACAUUUGAUUUUAUUUGUAUUUUUUGAAUUUUUUAAUUCUGGGUUUAGGGUAUCUUAGUUAUUUCCUGCAGUAUUGGUUCAUUCUGGGUUUAUUAAAUGUUUAGUUCUGCAAUUGUGACGACCCAGGUUUUUGCUUUCUGAGAAAGUAGGGUUUUAGGUGUUAAGCCUCUGUUUGGCUUCUGAGGAAAUUGAUGAAAAUUAUUAGGAUAAGAUAACCCUACAGGCUUGAUUCUAGAGUUGUUUGUAGUUCGGCAACACAGUUAACUGUGCUAUUGAAAUUAGGGUUUGCAAUUUCCAUGAUGGGAAUGAAGUAAUAGUUGAAUUAGUUAACCCUUCAAAUUGUUAACAGCAUGCCAUAUGGUUCUAGUGGCAUUUUUACUUCCCUAUUUUAAUUUUAUCUUUUGAUUUAUGGGUCAGUUAUGAUUAUACCAAUGAUCUUACCUAGCAGGCAUCGUAUCCAUAUUCAUCUCUGGUCGAAUCCAACGUCUCAUUCUUUUCUCUUAUAUAUAUUGGAGUUUUUAUUGAUUUAUGUUUGCUGGGUUUAGUUAUUUACUUGCAAUUUGUUUCUUCUUUUGUGUUCCUGCAUAUACCUGGCAAAACUACUAGUUCUGUUCUUGUAGUUUAAGUCUGUUUCGUGUGCACUGGGAGAAAAACUUCCAAAUUCCAAUUCCUUUAGUACUUGCUCUUUUCAAUUGUAAUUUUGUUACCAGUCUGCAAACCAAAUAAUAAUGACGCUUUGUUCAAAAUUAAACCAGCGGAUGAGUUUUCCCAAAAUUUAUUUAUUAUUUCUUUCUACUAAGAUGCAAGUAUUAAUCUCCGCUUGAUGUGUCAGAGCUGAGAAUUUAUGUUCUCCUUGGUUAAGUUUUUGAACAACCCAAAAACGUAGCAUCAGAUACUUGCAACUCUUAGUGGUUAUAAUUUCUUAUUAGCUUGUUAUCUUCUUUCUGUAAUCACGGUAGGUGGAAUUUUAUAUUGGUGUAUCAUCUUCUAAUUGUACUCGCUUUACCUUUGGGACUAAUAACAACCAAUCUAUUUGGUGCACUUUGUUCAUUGUUUAAUCAUUUGUCCUGAUGCAUAGUUAGAUUCAUUAUGUAAUGCUUUGAGUUUUUAAAGUGUAUUGCAUCUUCUUGCCUGGGUUAGUGAACACUGUUUUUUUUUUUUACUUUUUUGAAAGCGAAUACUGUUUGUUUAACUUAAAUAGAUAGAUUUGACUGUC